UUUUUUUUUUUUUUUUUGUGUUGGAUUGCAUCCUUUUUUUUUUUUGAUUAAGUGUUGGAUUGCAUCCUAAAGUUGCUCAAUAAACCACACAAAUCAAAAUCAAUAGGUUAUUUAGUUUUAGAAAGUUUUCAUCCGAUUUUAAUAUCAAUAAAUUCCAAAAUAUUUUAGCCGAAAAUAAAAAAAUCAAUGGGUCAUGAUGUUUUAUUUUUAUUGCUUCAGAUUGCAAAUAAAGUUGCUCAAUAAACCACACAAAUCAAAAUCAUAGGUUGUUGAGUUUAAAAAGUUUUAAUCUGAUUUUAAUCCCAAUAAAGUCCAAAACCUUUUUUCAAAUAAAAAAGCUACACAUCUAUGAGAAAAAUAUACAAUUUGAUAAGGUAUCAAUCGAUCAAUGUUACAAUAAAAUUUUGUAUUAGAUAAAAUAUUAUUAAAUUUAUAUAAUAUAAAUCACGGAUUGGCCAAAAAAAAUCAAUUUGAUAGGGUAUCAAUAGGUCAAUGUUGCAAUAAUAUUUUGUAUUAGAAAAAUUAUUAUUAAAUUUAUAGAUUUUAUUGGUUCAAAAAAAACCAAUUUGAUAGGGUAUCAAUCGGGCAAUGUUACAGUAAUAUUUUGUAUUAGAAAAAUAAUUAUUAAAUUUAUAUAAUAUAGAUUUCAUUAGUUCAUAAAAAAAGUUUAUGGAUUGGAAAAAAAAAUCAAUUUAAUAGAGUAUCAAUCGGUCACUGUUACAACAAAGAAUUGUAUGAUUACAAUGAUUUUGAGAUGACACAAUAUACAAUUAUAUUGCACAACUUAUGCUACGCACGAGUCGGAUUAAUCACCCACUUUUGAUGGAUGAGAAACCGUUGUGAAAGACAAAAAAAAAAAAUGGAUUGAUUUGAUCUCGGCUUAUGUGGCGAAACUUUGAUUUGAUUUAUUUCGGCUUAUUUUAGCAAUUGCAUGAAAUUUAUUUUGAGCCAUCUUUAUUCUUCGUAAGAUAAAACCAAAAUGAUGCGAUCAUGUUUUUUGAAUAAAAUCUUAGAGAAGCAUUAACAGUACAAUAAUCAAUAUAUAUUCAUUUUUUUUUUGAACAAAUCAAUAUAUAUUCAUUUGUUUAUAUUGUUGAUUACAAUUGUUAUAAAUAACCAAUUAAGAUGUUUAAGCUUAUAAUGCAAUCUUUACAUUUUUUAUUUAUACAAAUAAUUGAAUCAUACGAUAUAUAUAUAUAUAUAUAUAUAUAUAUAUAUAUAUAUAUAUAUAUAAAAGAUUUAAAAAAGAUCAACUAUAUGAUCGAUAUAUGAUUCGACCAUUGAUUCUUUAAAUUUCUUUAUGCAAAUGGAGAUAUUGGGAACGUAUGCGAAUGAAGAUACCACGAACUAAUUCAAACAAACUAUCGACUAUAUAAAAAAGAUCUAAAAACAUAACAAAGUCGAAUGAGAAAUAUCAGACAUGAAAUUAAUUUUCGGUGUUAUUUGGAUUGUAAAGAAAUAAGAAGAAGAAACAACAAAUAGAAAGACAUAUGGAGUUGUGAUGUGAAAAAAUUGUUAAACCAUAGGUCUAAUUUAUAGUAAUUUUUACAGGAUAUUUUGGUAAAAUGAUCACAUAUAAUUUCAAAUAUUCAUUAAUUUCACACUUUUUUUUGUCUUGCUUUAACUUUUUUUUUUUUUUUUUCGGUUACUUUUAUUGCCUCACCAUUUACAUAUGGACGUUUCCUUAACUGUUUUUUUUUUUUUUGGCUUUUCAUCCAUUUUUGAUUUUUUUUCGGUUACAACUUUGCCUCUCAACAAAUCCUCACAUUUAUAUCACUUUGAUUUUUCCCUAAAAAAAAAAAUCACUUUGAUUUUGGAAAAAGAGAAAACUUAGGUACAAUUCCUUAGGUGCUUUUCAUAUGGUUCUUAACUAAAAAUACAUAUUUUUUUGGAUAUAACAAACUUUGAAAAAAUUAUGGAUUUGAGAAAAUCAUGAUGAAUUUAGUUAAGAACCAUACGAAAAGCACCUAAGGAAUUGUACCUAAAUUUUCUCUUUUGGAAAAUCCGUUUUUGAUUGUACAUUUUUAUAUAGUUGACUAUCAAAAUUAGAAGUUUUUCUUCUUCUUUUUUUUUUGCCUCAAUAAAUAUUUCUUUAAUUUUUUUCCCUAUUGUUAAGGAAAUCAAAACAUAUCGUGUUUAAUUGUUUUAAUGCAAUUACAUAUAAAAUAUGUUUGACAUAGUUUCAAACAAAAUAUAUAUUUUUUGAAUAAAUUAAACAAAUAAAUUGUAUCACAUUAUUAUUAUUAUGAAAAUAAAAAUUAAGAUAUUGAUUUCAAUGAAAAAUAUGAUGUUAUUUAAAAAAAAAUUAAAAUUGUCUGACAAUAUUAUUAUUAUUAUGAAAAUAAAAUAAAAAUUAGUUAAGUUCAUUAAUUCGUUAAUUUUAUUAAUUCAUAAAAGCAUAAAAAUGUGAAUUGGUUAAAAAGAAACAUGAGUUGAUAAGGUUAUAUUAUUUUUCAAUUUUUUUUUGUUUAGUUUAAAACUUAUAUAAGCUAUAUUAAAUCGUAUUUUUAUUAUUUGGCAUAUAUCAAUUGUUUGAUCUCUUUGACAUUAAAAUAUUUAAAUUUUAUUAUUUGUUUUAAUAUAAUAUCUGAAAUUAAAUAUUUAAAUUUAAAAUUAUUUGAUUUAAAUCUGUAUUAUUUGAAUUCAAAAUGUUUGAUUUUUAAUUUAAUAUGAAAUAUUAGAAAUAAAAUUGAAUUUGAAUUUGAAAAACUUCCUUUUAUUCAUAAGCAUUAAAUACAAAUUUGUGAGGAUGAAUGUAGUGAGAGCAUUUUGUGAGGAAUAAUAUGGUGAAAACAUUUGUAAAAAAGAAAGGAAAUUGUGGCAACACCAAAACAAUAAUAAUUCAUUUCCAUAAAUGUCUAUGAAAUGGGUCCUAAAUUUAUAUAGAUAUAGAUUCAAUCUCCAUAGCUCUUAAUUACCUUCAAAAUUUUGCUAUUUACGUGUGCAACUUUAUCAACAAAUGAAUUAACCACAUAUUUAAUAACAAGAUGUCCAAGAUAUUUCAAAGAUGCAAGUUGCAAUUUAUGCGUGCAACAUUUCUUUGUAUAUUUAUUAUUUUGUCAGAUGUAGUUCCAUAAACCAUUAUUGAGCCAACAAACAAGUACUAUUAUUAGUUAUUACAACCAUUGUUGAGCCAACAAACAAGUACUAUUAUUAGUUAUUACUACCAUUAUUGAGUCUUAACUCCUUAAUUGCAAUUACUACUAUAUCCUUGAAUCUUCAUUGCUCUUAACUUUCUUUCCUCCUUGAAUCUUCAUUGUGGUAAAUAUUAACUUUCAAAUAUCUUUAAAAAAUAUCAUAAAAAAAUAUUUAGAAGAUAUUAUAGGAAAUAAUUGAAAGUGUGUUGUUAGGAAACAUGGCAUCCAUGGAAAGAAGGAGAGAAAACUAACAAACUUUUUGUAUUGAUGGAAAUGAAAUAUUACAAAUGAGUGGAAGUAACCAUCUAAUAAGGUGGUUACAAGUUAUUUAUACUACUCUCUACUAGAACUAAUAUGCCACUAAUCUAUAUCUCUAAUAUGUGUUUUGAAAUAUCAUUUACGUUCAAACUUUCAUUUAGUAAAUGCUAUAAUUUUCAGUAAUGAUAUACUCAUCAGUUAUUACAUUUAGAAAGGGUUAUCAACAUAUUAUAGAUAAGAAAGGUUAUCAACAUACUCUCAGAUAUAUUUAUUUUUAAUUUUAACACAGGUGAUAAGAAAAAUGACAUAUGCUACGUUUAUUUUUAGUAUAUGAGAGGACUUUAACGAGAAAUUGCAUAUUUGAAUCACUUUCCUAAAGUAAAUAUUAACCACUGCUGAGCUUUUGCUUUCCAGCUUUCAAAUUUUGUUUCUUACCUAACCAUUGAAAAACAAUAAUGUUAUCCAUUCAUAUAAGUGUUCUUGAGUCUACCCUUUACUAUAUGCACUUCAAGCCACUCAAAAAUAAGAGAUUUAAGGUUUGGGGUUGGUUACGUAAAGUGAAUGUAUUAGUACACUAAACGUCUAUAGUAUGCUACAUGAAUUUCUUGUAUUUUUUUAUUUUUGACUAAAAUUGAUUAUUAUUUGCUUGCGAAAAAGAUUAGUGAGAUAACAAAAAAAGAAAAUAUUUUGUUAUAUUUUUUGAUUUGGAAAGACGAAGUCUUUUGCCUCCGUACCCGCGAAGGAUUAAAAUCACGUAGUUCGGGGUAAAAAGCCGAGUGAUUUGUUCGAUGUUUUUUAAUCGUUUUUGAAAAGGUUUUAAAAAAUAAAAGCCAAAAGGCAAAAUGAAAGUUGUUUAGUGUUUUUUCAGUUUUAAGAAAAAAGUUUAAAUAUGUUUGAAAUGGAUUAAAGUUUUUAUUAAAGAAAAUAAGAAAGGGAAAUUCCUUGAUAAGAAUCAAGGGUUUUUUAGAAAAAAAAAUAGUUCUUUUUUUUUUUGAAAUUUGUUUUGCGACUACUUGAAUAUUUUGUUGAUUUUUCAAUAAAAGCCUAAAAGAAAUAAAAAUUGAAAAUAACGACGAUUAACGCACGAGGAAACCGUAGUGUUUCCCUUGGAUAAUAACGAAAACUACCUAAUAUGAGAAAGUGAAGUUUUUGAGUCCUAAGUACCAUUAGAUGACUAUUGAAUCCAAUAUUGAUAAGUCUAUUUUUGAAAUUGAGAGCAGAGUAGUUGUGAACAGAAUUAUUGGAUCCAUACAGAACUUUUCAAAAUAUGGAACAAUCUCAUUUUGAGUGCCAAAGACUAUCAAAGUCUAUGCUUUUCAACUACAUUUUUAUAUGUGAAUCAAUCAUAAUUUUUGUAUCAACUACAUGAAUCAACCAUAAUUUUCAACGUGAGUUGAAUUAAUUAUCUAUCCAAUUGAAUUAACCACAUUUUUAUACGUGAUUAACCAGGUGUCGUAAGUGUAUGAUAAAAUAUGUGCAUGAGGACCGAUAUCUUCUUUGGAAUAUAGAAGUCUACGGUCUUCAUAUUGUCACUGGCCAUAAAGUCAAGAGGAGGACAACGAGGUUUUAUUUCUAGGCGAGUUUUAGCAUGAGGCAAUUGUCAAAUUGCUCUAUCUUAGAUCAAUUUUGUUUUAUUUGCUAUUAGUUGUACAUCCUGAAUUUUUAUAUUCCAAUUUAUAACCAUAUUCAAUUAUAAUAUAUUAGUUUUAAUUUUAAUUUAACGAAGACUAAAAUAUUUUGAAGAGACAAAAAUGUCAUUAUUUAUAAGAACUAAAAACAAAUUUAGUUAUAUUUAUAAGCACCAACAAUAUAUUUAACCCUAAUUAAUAUUAAAAAGUUUUGUGGAUGGGAUUAAUAUUAAGAUACAAACUAAAUUUAUUUCUUUACAAAUAAUGUAGUAAAUAUAUAUUUACGCCAUAUUUUUUUUAGCCCAGAUUUAAACAUGUCUAUAUUUUCAAAUUUAAAAAAAAAAUGUUUUCAAAUGAAAAAAUCAUUGAGAAUGAGCUGGACCUAUUAGAUUUUUAAACGAAAGAUUAAAAAAUAAUGUAUUUACAAAUAAAUUAAUUUGAGUCAAAUUAUAAUUGAGUAAGGCUAUAAAUUAGAAUUUUUUUUUCUUCUAAGGAACAUGAUCAUUAGAGUUUUAAAUAAUUUUGAAAUAAUGGUCCAUAAACCCAUAGUUUUGAAAACCGGACCGGACCGGCCGAUCGAACCAGUCGGACCGUGAACCGGAGGGGUAACCGGUUCGGUUGACAUAUUGGAUCGGUCAUGCAUUUAAACCGAUGAGAACCGGCAUGAACCGGAAAAACUCGGUUAAAACCGGCGAACCGGCGGUUUAAUGAGCUGACCGGUUUUUUUAAUGAACAAUUGUUUUAUAUAUCAAAAAAUUAAAAAUUGGUGCAGCUGGGGAUCGAACAGCCGCGCAUGCAUUCACUAAGGCACUAAGAACCACUGCACCACUUUCGUUUGUUGUGAUAAAAUAUUGAUUCAUAUUGAUUAUAUAUUAAUUCAAAAUACCAUAUUGAUUUUCCAUUCAAAUAUUUUCGUCAUUUUUUUUUAAUACCAUAUUGAAUAUUGAUUUUUUUGAUUAUAUAUUUUCCAUUCAAAAUACCACUUUUUUUUUUAAUACCACUAAGGCGCGCAUGUAUUCUCUUUUUAUUUUUUAUUCUAUCUUCAUAAUAUAUUAUACAAGUAAACGUUUCUAUUUUUUUUAAAGGGAACCAAACACUCUUUUUUAUUUUAAGGAAUCAAGCUCACUCUUAUCAUUUAAAUAUUAUUGUCCGACAUCUCAAAUAUUUUAAUAAACAUUUUUUUUACAAUAUUUUUUUUGAAAGAAUAGUUUUAUUUUACUAUAUUUAUUUGAAUAUGUAUUACUCUCUUCGUCCAUAUAUUUAAACACCCAUUUGAUUUUAUUUUUGUCCUUAAAUGUAAACAUUUUUUAAAUUACAACACUCAUUAAUUAUUUUAGUUUCUAAAGUGACCGAGUCACCGAUUCAAUCCGAGUUAAUCCGGUUAAAUAACUAUAUAAAUUUAAUCUAAGGACCGAAUUAUCUAACCGAGUCAUCCGAGUGGUUCCGAUUCAGUCAUGCGGUUCGACCAUUAACCCAUUGACCCAGUACCCCCGCCGAGUCGAUGACCGAGCCGAGUUUUAAAACUAUGCAUAAACCACUAAUGAUCUUUGCCGACAAACAAGCAUUAUUACUAUUACUACUCAUUCACAUGUGAGUUUUAUUGAGUCUUACCUUUACCAUAUGUACUGCAAACCAUCCAAAAACAGUACUGUUGUCGGUUCAUUCAUAUGCUAAAUCCUCUUCAGUCUUAACUCCUUUACCAUAUCUCCAAUACGAUAUCCUUGUUAAGGACACUCAUUGAAAGAAGAAAAAACGAAUCCCCGUUAAGGAACAGACAACUAUAUAAAAAUCCUCCCUCUCCUAAACAACUAACGGAUCCUACGUUUAAAAGAAGUAAUAAAAUAUGCACUAUUUAGUGCCACUUAUAAAAAAGUAAUAUUUUUCAACAAUCAUAUACUUAUCAGCAAAUGAUUAUUACAUUUAUCUCUUUUGUUGGGUAAUACUACAUUUAUAAACACAAUAUUACAUUAUUUUUUAAUUUUCACACAGGUGAUUAGAAAACUGAUAGUAUGAUGGUAAAGGAAUAAAAGUGUAACUUAUCACCAAAUGAUUCCGAUUGCUUUAAUUGAGUGUGCAAUAUUAAACAAUGAUUAUUUCUUUUGCUUUGUAUCAAUUAUUUUGAAGGAUGUGGGUCCAAUAUUAAACAAUGAUGACCUUUGCUAUAUGCACAAUCAACCAUUCAUUCACAUGCAAUUAUUUCUAUCAUUCAAUCUUCAUAGUUCUUAAUUUCCUUCAAAAUUUCAUCUAAAACUUUUUUCCUUGCUGCUUUACUAUAACCAAUCAGAGAUGGCUGCAGCUUUGGUUGGAGGUGCGUUUCUGUCUGCUUCUGUUCAAACCUUAAUGGACAAACUAACUUCACCCGAGUUUCGUGAUUAUUUCACAAGAACAGAGUUGAAUGAAUCAUUGAUGUAUGAGAUGGAAACAAGUCUACUUACUCUUGAGGUUGUACUAGAUGAUGCAGAGGAGAAGCAGAUCCUCAAACCCAGAAUCAAACAAUGGUUGGAUCGGUUAAAAGAUGCAAUCUAUGAUGCUGAGGAUUUGCUCAAUAAAAUCAGCUACAAUGCCCUACGAUGCAAGCUGGAGAAGAAACAAGCUAUCAAUUCUGAAAUGGAGAAGAUUACAGAUCAGUUUCGGAACUUGCUUUCAACUUCAAACUCAAAUGAAGAGAUCAAUUCUGAAAUGCAGAAGAUUUGUAAAAGGCUGCAAACUUUUGUCCAGCAGAGCACCGCCAUCGGCUUGCAACACACUGUAAGUGGUAGAGUUUCUCAUAGACUGCCUUCAAGUUCAGUGGUAAAUGAAUCUGUCAUGGUGGGUAGGAAGGAUGACAAAGAGACAAUAAUGAACAUGUUGCUAUCACAGAGAGAAACAACCAACAAUAAUAUAGGUGUUGUUGCAAUUUUGGGCAUGGGAGGUUUAGGAAAAACUACCCUUGCUCAACUUGUUUACAAUGAUAAAGAAGUUCAACAACAUUUUGACAUGAAGGCGUGGGCUUGUGUGUCUGAGGAUUUUGAUAUUAUGAGAGUAACCAAGUCUCUCCUUGAAUCAGUCACUUCUAGAAAUUGGGAUAUCAAUAAUCUUGACAUCCUUCGAGUUGAGUUAAAGAAAAUCUCGAGGGAGAAAAGAUUUUUGUUUGUGUUGGACGAUCUGUGGAAUGACAAUUAUAAUGAUUGGGGUGAACUAGUAAGCCCCUUCGUUGAUGGAAAACCUGGAAGCAUGGUGAUUAUAACAACGCGGCAACAAAAAGUUGCUGAGGUGGCAUGCACAUUUCCUAUACAUGAACUAAAACUUCUAUCGAAUGAAGACUGUUGGUCUUUACUCUCAAAGCAUGCAUUGGGCAGUGAUGAGAUUCAGCAUAAUACAAAUACAGCCCUUGAAGAAACAGGCAGGAAGAUUGCAAGAAAGUGUGGAGGAUUGCCAAUAGCUGCCAAAACACUUGGAGGACUUCUACGUUCAAAGGUAGACAUAACAGAGUGGACUUCAAUUUUGAACAGCGACAUAUGGAACUUAUCAAAUGAUAAUAUUCUUCCUGCUUUGCAUUUGAGUUAUCAAUAUCUUCCCUCUCAUUUGAAAAGAUGUUUUGCAUAUUGUUCAAUUUUUCCAAAGGAUUAUCCACUUGAAAGGAAGACAUUGGUUUUGCUGUGGAUGGCAGAAGGCUUCCUUGAUUGUUCUCAAGGGGGAAAAAAGUUGGAGGAAUUAGGCGAUGAUUGUUUUGCUGAAUUGUUAUCGAGAUCGUUAAUUCAACAAUUAAGCGAUGAUGCUCGUGGAGAAAAGUUUGUCAUGCAUGACCUUGUCAGUGAUUUAGCUACAGUUGUAUCGGGAAAAAGUUGCUGCAGGCUUGAAUGUGGUGACAUCACUGAAAAUGUUCGUCACUUCUCAUAUAACCAAGAAUACUAUGACAUUUUCAUGAAGUUUGAGAAAUUACACAACUUCAAAUGCUUGCGAAGCUUCAUAUCCUUUUCCUCCAUGACGUGGAAUUACAGUUACUUAUCCUUCAAGGUGGUUAAUGAUUUGCUACCAUCACAAAAAAGGUUGCGUGUGUUAUCACUAUCAAGGUAUAAAAACAUCAUCAAGCUACCAGAUUCAAUUGGAAAUUUGGUGCAGCUGCGUUAUCUAGAUAUCUCCUUCACUAAAAUCAAAAGCUUGCCUGAUACAACAUGUAGCCUUUACAAUUUGCAGACCUUGAAUUUAUCAAGGUGUGACAGUCUUACUGAAUUGCCAAUACAUAUUGGAAAUUUAGUCGGCUUACGUCACCUUGAUAUAAGUGGGACUAACAUAAAUGAGUUGCCUGUGGAAAUUGGGGGACUAGAAAACCUUCAAACUCUCACCCUUUUUUUAGUGGGUAAGAGACAUAUAGGGUUAAGUAUCAAAGAGCUAAGGAAAUUCCCAAACCUACAAGGAAAACUUACCAUCAAGAACCUGGAUAAUGUUGUUGAUGCCAGAGAGGCACACGAUGCAAACCUGAAAAGCAAAGAGAAAAUUGAGGAGUUAGAGCUGAUAUGGGGAAAACAAAGUGAAGAGUCGCAAAAAGUGAAAGUUGUGCUCGAUAUGUUGCAACCACCAAUAAAUCUAAAGAGCCUGAAAAUUUGUUUGUAUGGUGGGACAAGCUUUCCGAGUUGGUUGGGAAAUUCUUCGUUUUAUAACAUGGUAUCUCUGCGCAUCACUAAUUGUGAAUAUUGUAUGACACUUCCACCCAUAGGGCAGUUACCUUCUCUCAAGGACCUAGAAAUAUGUGGUAUGAAGAGGUUGGAGACAAUUGGUCCGGAGUUCUAUUAUGUCCAAGGAGAAGAAGGUUCUUGUUCUUCCUUCCAACCAUUUCAAUCCCUUGAGCGUAUAAAAUUCAACAGCUUGCCAAAUUGGAAUGAAUGGCUUCCCUAUGAAGGCAUAAAACUUUCUUUUCCUCGACUUAGAGCUAUGGAGUUACAUAAUUGUCCAGAACUAAGGGAACAUUUGCCUAGCAAACUUCCUUGCAUAGAAGAAAUUGUAAUAAAAGGUUGUUCUCAUCUAUUGGAAACAGAGCCAAACACUUUGCAUUGGUUGUCGUCAGUAAAGAAAAUUAAUAUCGAUGGGCUUGAUGGAAGGACCCAAUUGUCAUUGCUUGAGAGUGAUUCUCCGUGUAUGAUGCAAGAAGUAGUUAUUCGUGAAUGUGUUAAGUUAUUAGCUGUUCCAAAAUUGAUUCUGAGAAGCACUUGUCUAACACACUUGAAACUCAGUUCUCUUCCUUCUCUCACUACAUUUCCCUCAAGUGGUCUACCCACUUCAUUGCAAUCACUUGAAAUUGUAAAUUGUGAGAAUUUAUCCUUCCUUCCUCCUGAAACGUGGAGCAAUUACACAUCACUUGUGAGUCUUGAGUUAAAUCGUAGCUGUGAUUCACUUACAUCCUUUCCACUCGAUGGUUUCCCUGCCCUCCAAACACUUGACAUAUAUAAGUGUAGAAGUCUGGAUUCCAUUUAUAUUUUAGAAAGGUCUUCACCUCGGUCGUCGAGCCUCGAAUCACUUACUAUCAAAUCCCAUGAUUCAAUUGAAUUAUUUGAAGUCAAGCUUAAGAUGGAAAUGCUCACCGCUCUUGAAAGGUUGUUUCUAACAUGUGCAGAGUUGUCAUUUUCUGAAGGAGUUUGUCUACCUCCCAAAUUACAAUCAAUUGAGAUUUCUACCCAAAAAACAACACCGCCGGUUACGGAAUGGGGUCUCCAAUAUUUGACAGCACUUUCCUACUUGACUAUUCAAAAGGGUGAUGAUAUAUUUAACACCUUGAUGAAGGAGUCAUUGCUACCCAUCUCCCUUUUGUAUCUACGUGUCUUUGAUCUCUCUGAAAUGAAGUCCUUUGAUGGAAAUGGGCUUCAACACCUCUCCUCUCUCCAAUAUCUCUGUUUUUUCUUUUGUCAUCAACUUGAGACAUUGCCAGAAAACUGCCUCCCUUCCUCGCUGAAAUCACUUCUAUUGCUUGGAUGUGAAAAGCUAGAGUCAUUACCAGAAGACAGCCUCCCUUCCUCUCUUAAACUACUCGCUAUCGAGUUUUGCCCAUUGUUAGAAGAAAGGUAUAAAAGGAAGGAACAUUAGUCCAAAAUUGCUCACAUCCCUUUCAUAAGAAUAAAUGAUGAAGUCACAAUAUGAUAGACAAGUUGUGUUCCCAUUUCAGGUAUGUUCCACAGUUCCUACCAGAAAGCCAAUAAUCAAUCAUCUGUACGACACACCUCUUAAUAUUUUCAUAUCAUCUCAUGGGUCCUCUGCUACGUAUGUUUUUUUUUAAAAGAUGAAUUUUUAAAGACCAAUUUUUGUAUACAUUUUGCACACAAUAUUUUAUUUUGUUUUUUUUUUUAUUUCCAGAAUCAAUUAAUGUAGCUCGGGUAGUUUGAUAUAGAACUACAUAAGUCUUGUUGGAAAACUGGUUUCUUAUUAAUUUUUGGGCUUAUAAAACCAUCUUUGGUCUGUAAUAUUUGCACAGAAUCAAAUCUUAUGCACAUUUGAUGAAUAAAGCUGUAACUGCUACAUUUGUCUCAGGAAAUCAUAUCAAAAAUCAAUCUUUUACUUCUAUAUUUGGGAUAAUUCAACUGAGAAAUCAGCAGGAAAAACUCAAUAUGUUUUGUAAACAGUAAUCUAAAUGGAAUUGUCGAAAGAACAUUUUCUACAACAAUAAAAAUUUAACAAUCAUGUCCUUGGAGCUAAUCAAAGGAAAAUGCUUAUUUCAUCUUUUCAGAAGAUCAAAGUUCAAAGGCCUAUGUGGAUGAUAAUCAGCUCACUUGAUGAAUUGAAGAAAAAUGCUUAGUUGAACUUAUUUGAGAGGACCCAAAUGCAUGGUUGCCAUUGAUUGCCACAAGAUCGGUUUGUAUUUUAUUAUCAUUUGAAUGUUUCGUAAUAACCUGCAUGAUCCGAUCAGACAAAGUACAAUGUAGUAGGAUUUGUAAUAUUCUUAAUUUGUAACUUUUUUUUUCGGACGUGAUUCUUAAUUUGUAACUUUAAGCGAAUGCUCAUAUGAUAAAACCAUUCUCUGCUAAAUAUUCUUGUUGGCUGGUUUAUUUACCACAAAAAAAAGAAAAAAAAACGACCCUUUAGUAACCUUUCUGAUCAACAAUGCCUCAAAAAAUCCUACAAUAUCUGCUUCCCAAUUGGUAAGUAUCUUAAGAAGCUUCAUAACCCUUUGCUUCCUCUCAACCAUAAUCUACUGUAUUAAUUUAAUGUAAACCUUAGGACUUAUAACUCAAAAUUUGUAUAUCCUACUAAAUCAUGCUUUCAUAAUGAUCAAACUUCAAAUGAAAAUAUAUUAUUUUAGUAAAAUUUUGAAGAAGUAAACUAUUUGCUCGCAAUGACCCGUAUAAACUUUUCAUAUAAAUAAAUGGGAAACUUGUUGUCCAUAUAUCACUAGUACUUUUCUUUUAUGCCGAAAAUAAUGACUAACAUCACUCUUUUUUUAAUUUUUUUUUUAUGGGGAACAAAUUGUCCCAAUUAUUUCUAGUAUCAACAUAAAUGUUCCUUAUUUAUUUUUUUAAACAAUACACGUGACACAGUGAAAGUCGGUAAGACAACCUAACGACCACAUAUGUCUAGUCAUGGUUAAUAAAUAGGAAGAAAAAAACUUAUUGAGAUUGUCUUGUUUAAUUUUGUAAGGGACUGAAUAGAGUCUUUUUAUUUGUCAAGGACUCAUUUGAUCCCUUCACAUUUUUUUUAGAAACCCUACAUAUAUUUUGUUAGCGACCAAAACCAUCAACGAUUUUCUCAAAAAAAAAAGUUAAUAGUGUUUUUCACCCCUGUAAUAUAUGUCAUUUUCAAUUUUCGCCCCUGUAAAAUUUCGGUUUGAUUUGCAUCCUUGUAAAACUUUUUUUUUCCAAAAAACACUUCUCCCCCAUCCAACUCAACAAAUUCACUUACGUGGCGCUGAUUUGCCAUUUUUUUUUCAUUUUUUUUUAUUUUUAAUUAUCCACGUGUAAAAAAAAAUCCACAUCAGAUUUUACAUUAAAAAUAUUUGAAAAUAAAAAAAAUCAUAAAAAUAUUCAGUUUUUAUUCCAAAAAUUUAAUAAAUCGAAAAAUAAUUUUUAAAAAAUUCACAAAAAAUAUUAAGAUUUUUUCCAAAAUAUAAAAAAACAGAAAAAUAGUCGUAUUUUUUGGAAAAAUCGAAAAAAGCUCAGAUUUUUUUCAAAAAUUAGAAAAAAAAAACUAUUAAGAUUUUUUUCGAUUAAAAAGAUUUAAAAAAAUUCUGGAAUUUAAUUUUCAAAAUACAAAAAAAGUAAGUUUUCAAAAUUAAAAAAAAAAAAAAAAAAAAAAGGUCAGAUUUUUUUUAAAAAUUGUGGAAAAAAAUUUAAUUUUUAAAAAUCUGGAUACAAAUUUAGAGGGUUUUGAAAAAGUCGUGGAAAUUCCAAUUUUCCUAGAAUUAAGCUUUUCCUUAGAGGAGGUAGUAAUCAUAAAUCUUAUCUUUGUGGAAUGAAAUGAUUUUUUUCCCAAUAUUUUAUUAAAAUUGUGGAAUAAAAUUUUCGACUAAAAAAUCUGUAUUUUUUCUAUAUUUAUAUACAAAUUUUUUAAAAAAAAUUCAGAUUUUUUUUUUUAAAAAUCUGACCUAUUUGGUAAUUUUUAAAAUUUGCUUUUUUUUUAUUUUGAAAAUUAAAUUCAAGAAUUUUUUAAAAUAUUUUUAAUUUUUAAAAAAAUCUGAUUAUAUUUUCUGAUUUUUUCUAAUUUUUGAAAAAAAAUAUAAUUUUUUUUUCGAUUUUUAAAUUUUUUGGAAACAAAUAUGACUAUUUUUUUGUUUUUUUAUAUUUCUGAAAAAAUCUUAAUAUAUAAGAAGAUAGAAGAUUAGGUGUGAGCAUUAGGGUUAAAACAGUAAAAUUAUGCAAUAGGGUUUAGGUUAAAAUUAGGGCUUACAUGUUAACUUUAAUAUAUAAGAAGAUAGGUGUGAGCAUUAGGGUUGUUCAUGAAAAUAGGAGAUUAGGUGUGAGCAUUAGGGUUAAAACAGUAAAAUUAUGCAAUAGGGUUUAGGUUAAAAUUAGGGCUUACAUGUUAACUUUAAUAUAUAAGAAGAUAUUGUUUAGGUUAAAAUUAGGGCUUACUAGUUAACUUUAAUAUAUGAGAAGAUAUAUAAGAAGAUUAGGUGUGAGCAUUAGGGUUAAAAUAGUAAAAUUAUGCAAUAGGGUUUAGGUUAAAAUUAGGGCUAACAUGUUAACUUUAAUAUAUAAGAAGAUAAGAAGAUAUGCAAUAAAUUUAGGUUAAAAUUAGGGCUUACAUGUUAACUUUAAUAUAUAAGAAGAUUUUGUACAGAAUACUAGAAAAAUUCAUCGCACUAAUUUCAUGCCUUUUUUUUUUACAAUAUUUUGCACACUUUUUUUUAACCAAUUCCAUGCCUUUAUUCCAUCCCUAACAUGUUGCCUUUUUUUUUUUUACAAUAUUUUCUACACUUAUUUAAUACAUUUAUAGAUGGAAUACCCUAAUUUCCAUACAAACUCGGCUACCUUAAUUUUCAUGUAAACUUAGUUAUAUAUACCAAGCCCUAAACGUGUUUCUCUAAAAAAAAAAAAAAAAAAAAACUUAAACCGUGUAAAAAUUUCACACACAACACAAAAAUCAUAUAUUUUAAUAUUUAGAACUUUACAAAUGGAAAGACGCGACAUUACAACUUAUUUUUUUCAUCGUUACCAAUUAUAUAUUACAUUUUAUUAUUCGUAUGUCAAUCCCUUUACAAUAAACCAGAGCGAAGUACGGGUCAAAAAUCUAGUUAUAAAUAAUGGACAAUUAAUGUGGCGUUUUGGAGGGAUUAAGGUUUAGGGUUGAAUAGCGUCUUAUUUUUAAUUGACUAAGAGCUUCUUGAUGCUUAAUAUUUAGGGUCGUGCGUGAAAGUAGAUUUGGAGAACUUUAUCUCUUGCUUUCACCGCAAUCUUUCUUCUUGUUGUUUUCAGAGCUCUUAAGUAGUUCUUCGUUUCACCAGUCACCACAAAUAAGGUUGAAUCACUGCCAAGGUUUUGCAUCAUCACCAUUUGUAUUCUAGUAUGUCGUUGUGGACUUAAGUCAGUUGGUAGGAAUAAUGCAUAAUAUAUAAAGGUCCGGGUUUAAACUCCAACCACCACAAAAUGGGCUGGGCCGUAUGGGCCGGCCCGUUUAGCCCGAAUAAAUAUAGGGCUCGGGCCUAAAAUAUUGAGCCCGAAUUUUAAUAGGGCUUUUUAGCCCGGCCCUUAAAAGCCCGUUACCCGUUAGGGCUAGCCCGUUAGCCCGCAUAACAAAAAAAACUCCUAUAAAUUAUAUAUAUUUUUCAAAUAAUUCUUUUCUUAGUUGAUUAUCAAAGUAAAAAACAAAAGUGAAAAUUCAAUGAAUUAACACAAAUAUAAAUGUAAUAUAAAAUUAUAUUUAUUCGCUUCGUUAUUUAUAGUUUUAAAGAUCGAAUAUAUAAAUAUCUAUAACCAUAACGUAUCUAAUUUAUUUAAAAUCAUUUUCUUCGUCGUUUUAGUUUACGACGUUUGUACAAAAAUGUUUACAAUUUAUUUUUGUGUUAGACAUUAUUUAAACAUAUUAAAAAUAUUAUUUAUAAAAAAAUUAUAGUAGUGUUUUAUAGUACUUUUUUAAAAUAAAAAAUAUAUAAUUUUUAAUACGGGCCAGCACGUUUAGCCCGCGGCCCGUGUAGGGCCGGGCUCAGGUAGUAUAUUUCAAGCCCGUUUUUCUACCGGGUUUUUUUGACCCGGCCCUAAAGGGCCAGGUCGCUCAUUUUGACAGCUCUACUCCUAGGACUAGGCGUGUUCCGGUGUCUGACACUGACACUUGUAAUUACACUAAAUUAUGUGAUUUUUUCAAAUUAUUAACUGUGUCGGCGUGUCAGUGUCCAUGUCGUAAUCGAUGUCCGUGUUCGUAUCCGUGCUUCAUAGGUACCGAUCCAAAACCCACCUUAAUCAAGCUUCAUAUAGAAGUUCUUAGUUAAAAACUUCAAUAUCUUUAUGCAGGUAACAUAUUGGCAUACCAUUUAAAUAUUUUGAGAAAUUUUUUCUCAGAGAUUUAAGUUAUUUUUUCUUUUUCAAGUAGUAUCUAACCCCAACAAAGAGCUGAACCGAAAUUACAAGCAACGUUAAUAUGACAAUAACCACAAACUUCUAUGGAAGAACAUUGCAAGACAAGCAAUUUCCACGGCAAUAUGUUUAACAACUGGAUUAAUUGGUUUUCGAAAAGGAGAAACAAAACCAUCUUGUAUGUAUUCUUUUUGCAUUCCUAUCUUGUUUUAGUGCUUAACAUUGUUUGCCUACAUGUAUUCAAUUGCGGUUGCAUACUUGUUCGUUUCACAUUUUAUUCCUCCUCCUUAUAUUCUAUUUUGGUUACUAUCUCUUUUUGAGGUUGUUAAAGGGGUUGAGAUUAUGAUGCCCCAUGUUCGAAUUCGGAAUUUCCCAUAAAAUUUCAUCACAGUCAAGAUAACAAUUUAUGUAUUUUCCUUUUUAAAAAAAUUAUGUGAUUUCUUUUGAAGGGAAAAUUUGCACUUUUGAAGGCAAACUUUUAAAGGCUUAAUUUGCACUUUUGACUUCAAACUUUUUCAAUUGUACGAUUUUGAUCCUUCUAAUUUUUUUGAGGCAUCUGUAUCCCCCACAUUUGCACCUUUUCUAAUUUCAGUCUCCCUCUCAAUUUUCCCAAUUUCAUGUUGAGUUGGCAAAUUCUCAACGAUGUGGCAUCACUGUCACUAUGCCAACAUGAAUAUUAAUAAAUUAAAACAUUAAAAACCUAAAAAAUAAUUCAAUAAACUUUAUUAAAAAAAAAAUGAAAAAUGGAGAUAAAGAAGAAGACUAGAAAACAUAUCUUUUUGUCUCUCUAUUAACCAAGUAUUUAAACUAUAUUAACUAUCUAAUGAAUAAAAAAAAAAAUUAAGGAUAUGAUAUACAUUAAUCAUCUACUAAACAUAAAUUUAAACUAUAUAUUACCCAUAUAAUAAAGAAUGAACCGUAAAUAAUUAAGUGAAUGAUUCAAGAAAAAUCAAAUUUAAGUCUUGCUCAGAUUAUAUUUAUUUAUUUUACGGUCAAACUCUAGAGAUUACUAGUCUCGAUAGGAGGAUUAAAAAAAAAAACCACUAAAAGAUUUGUGUUAAAACUCAAAAUAACAAUUUUAAAAUUUAAUAGGAGGUUGAGUAAAAAAAUAUAAUUAGUGUAAGCCAAAAAUUAUUUAAAAAUUAAAUCUAAUUAGAGAUCUAAUUAGAGGUUUGUUAAAUUACAUAUGACUUUGGAGAGACAUAAUCAUUUCCUUACAUUUGCAUAUCACACUUGAAUUCCAUUCAUCAUGCGACAGCCGAGAGAGAAAAGCCCUGGUUUGAAGAUCCUCUGGAUUUGGACUUUUGGAACCGCUGCUAGUACCUUUCUUUUCCUUGCAUUUCAUCUUCUAUUAAAUCUAAAAUCUCUUUUUAAUCUCCUCAAAAACUACUUAAUUACUUUCUUUUUUUCUUGUUGCAGUACUUAUUGCGAAUGUGAUGCGAACCAGUAUAAGAGAUUUUCAAAAUGUCUUGAACGCUGAAGAACAACAACAACAAAAUCAGCAACAAAAUGAUAACGUUGUGAUUGAUGAUUCUCGUGUUUCAGAGGAGAGGGUAGUUGAAGACUAAUUCAAUUUGUAUGAGUAUUGAUAUUUUGAUAUUUACUUGUCUUUGCUUUGGUAACGAUGUUUAAACUUGUUGAGGAUAAAUGGGCACGCAACGUGUUUGUUGAAAGUCCUAGUUGAAAACUUAAAAUCAUGUCUUGGCUAUUAAUUUCUUGUGUGUGAUUUGAAUGUUGUCCAUGACUUAAAACUUUUAAAUUGAUGCGUGAAUGUGUGGUAGUAUCAGAGACAAUUAUCGACUUAAUAAUACCAAAGUUGUGCAACUGAUCCGUGGUUGGGUCUGACAUAAGAUGUUAAACUUUCAUAAACAUGAAGAAUUAAGGUUCGUAUCUCGGUUGAGAGAAAUAUUCACAUUUAAUUGAAUUUGAAUAUGAUUCUUAGUAGAGAGAACAUGAGAAAGGAAAAAAAAAAAAUUGAAGUUGUCUAUGAAAUUAUAGCACCAAUACUAUGUGAAGAAAAAUUGAGUAAUUAUGAGUGUGAAGAAAAAUUGAUGUUGUAAGUACUAUCGAUAUUGAUGGGACAAGACAAGAUGACAUGAAGGGAAACAUGAAUCAAACUAGCAUUUGCAACUCAGAUACAAAGUAGUAAGUUACUAGUGGAUUGGUGUGGAUUGAUAUUGAUAUUGAUGAAGAACAAACGUCUACAGGCUUGGCAUUUGGUUGAUUUCUAGAUGAAGAACAAUGUCUAUGCCUUAAUAUGCUUGACCUUCGAUGGACUAUGGACUGUUAUAGGUCGACUGUAUGAAAAAUAAACGUCUACGCCUUUACAUGUUUGCCUUUUGGUGGACUAUAGACUGGUAUGGGGCAACCAAAUGAACAAUAAACUUCUAUGACAAAACAUGCUUGACGCUUGGUGGAUUGUAAUAUCUUCACUUGACUAGCUCACAAGAUCCAACUCGACAUUAAUUUGAUUGUUCAAAUCAUGUAAACUCACCCCGUUUAACAAGAUCUCAAUCAACAUUGAAAAGUGUACUAAAGAUAGAAAUUUUAUAUUAGAAAGUGCACAUUGCAUUUAAAAAAAGAAGUAAAUAUUUUUUUUUUUUAAGAUAUAAUUACUAUUCAUAGAUUCCUUAACAUUAUACUAUGUGUGUGCAAAUGUACACAUUUCACAAGUUUAGUCUUUAUUUGAGGCAUAUCACAAAUAUAAUCAUGAAUUAACUACGGUUGAUUAAUAAACUGUCAACUAAUGAAUUUAUCAAUUAAACGGCCAGUCCAAUUUUAACAUAUUAAAUAAAAAUUAAAAUUGAUUAAAGUUUUAAAUAACUUGGCCAACUUUUAUAGUUAAAAAAGGAAGCAAGCACUACACUAUCCACUAAUGCAGGAAGCACAUUGUUUCAGCAAACAAGUAACAAGUGAAGUUUUGGUAACCUAAACAAUCAAGCAACUUAACCUAAACAAUCAAGCAACUUAAAACAGCAAGACUUAUGGUGGAAAAGCCAAACACAAUAUAAUUCUUUUUCCUAGAAUCACAGUAACUCAUGACAACAGCAACCUAUUUGUUCCACUAAUUCAGUUGCUUUCUGAAGCAGGCUUCCGCGCCAAAAAGAAGUACAUUGGUGUGAAGAUCUCUCUCCUGAAAAGAUAACAUAAGCAAGUUGUGUUCGAGAAAACGCGGCUCAGAAAAACUUUCACCAGUGUUAAUCAAUUUAGUAUUUAGAGUGUGUUUAGCUAAUGAUUUAAGGUAAUUUAAAAGAGUUUUAAAGAUGGUGCACUGUUAGUGUAAACAACUGUAUACAUGUAUGAUGCAUCUAGUGAGAAUAUAGUAUUUAGACAUGUCAACCAAGGGUUCGUUUGGAUUGACUUAUUUUUUAGCUUAUGCAAAACAACUCAUGCAAAUAAAUAAACUUUUAUGUAUUAUUCAUAAGCUUCAAGGCAGUUUCUGAAAAAACAGCUUAUGAGGAUACAAAUUUCGUUCAUAAGAACUUAUGAAUUAACAUAUAAGUUUAUUUUUUUGCAUAAGUAUUUUUCAUAAGCUAAAAAAUAAGGCAAUCCUAACGGGCCUUAACUCUUGUAACAUUAUUUUAAAAUUAAUAAUGAAGUAGGAACAUGAUAUGUUUUCAUUUGAUGUCAAUGUAAAACUGAUUUGCAGUGAUAGUGUAAUGUAUGCCCCUCAAUCUUAAUUUAUAAUUUAUUUGAAUAGCUUUUUGACCAAAAUAUGUUAAAUAAAGAUAUCUCACUGAUUUUUAUCUAAUAAUUUUGGGUUAAAAUUUAACUUUUCAAUAUGUAUACAGUUUUUGCCACACAGCCUAAUUUAUCAGCAAUUCACUCAAGGCUCAGAUGCACCAAGAGUAGAGACCUAACAGUUAAAAAAUCGCCGUAUUCAUGAGAAUUGUACAUUUUGCUUAAGAUGAAAAACUAAUUCCAUGAGACAAAUGGGAAUUGAGAAACUUACUUUCCACCUUCAACUAGACCCUCUGCAGCCUUCUCAAGGAAAUCUUGAACCCUUUGACUCCCCUUCGGAGCAAGUCCAACAAACUCCAGAGCCUUCACCUACAAAUGUAAAUUCAUAACACCAAACAACUAUUGAGUUUUGAGCACGAAAAGUUAUAAAUCCAAAUAUUCUCAGCUAUGUGCAUUAUCCAAAAUGCAAAAACAAAAUGUAUGAGACAGAUUCUAACACCCUAUUUCCAACACAUUUGAUUAUCGUUUGAAUUUCACAUAGAUCUCACUAUGGGAAUCAGAUCCACAUUCAUUUGACCGAGUAACAAAGUAUUACAUAAAGUGUGUUGCAAGUAAUUCUUAAAGUGUGUAAAGUGAAAUAAACAUUAGCUAUUAUGUUCAGAAACAAUACCAUAUUUCUAGUGAAAAGGCGUCCAACAGCCGUUAGACGAAAGCUGCUAAGUGAGAAGUGACUCUUGUCUAAAGGCAAGUACCAAGGAAGAGGAGAGUCCGAAGCUAGAUCUUUCUCCCAUAUGACCUUCACAUACAAAAAGAAAAGAAACUCCCAUUUAGCCAAUUAGGCUGAUCUCUUAAAUAUUCAAAGAAAAUUUGUCAGAAAAUAAAAUAGCAUCUGAUAUUAUCUUGAUAUUAUUCUAGAAUAUCUUGGUUUAUCCCCUUCGGUAAGUUUACAGUCUUAGCGUGCCUUAGAUUAUCUCCUAGGAUCAGUUUAUAAUCGUAGCGUAACAUAGAUUAUUCACUAAUCACUAUUUAUUUAGGACUGAGUUUAUGUUUCCCUAUAAAUAGUGAUUAGUGUUUAGUCUUUUGUAUCACAUCAAUAAUAUCCAAAGUUCUUAUUAUUUUUCUCUCGUCGUUUCAUCUAAUAAAAUCCCACAACUUCAAAGAAAAAAGUAAAUAUAUAAUAAUCAUGAAAGGUGAUAACUCAUAAGAAACUGAUGUUCACCUCAAAACCUGCUUGCUUAAGAGCUUCAAGACACUUUGUGGUCAAUCUAAUGUCAGGAAGCCCAUCACCAAUCUCAAUUUCUGCCUGCAGCAAGGAAUUUUGUCUUUUAAGUAUAAUAAAGUGAAUCAAAAGAUAACCUUAAAAUUCUUUCUAUACCUUCAUAUCAUACCUUGAUUUUUUGGUGUUCUUGGUUAUUGGGAUCAAAAGAAUCAGUCAUGCACCAUUCAUAAGCAGCAAAACAUUGGCCAGGCUUUAACACUCUAUAAAUCUCUUUGUAGCAUCCAUACUAUGCAUAAUACAAAAAAAGUCAGUGUCAGAUAAAUGUUUAGUUAUGCCAAGAUUUUAAAUAGUAGAUGCAAUUGCACCACAAUAUUUAAUAUUGCAGUCAAGUGUGAAGGCCUAAUUAAGGCGUAGAGACAUCAAAAACCUGGGUGCAUGUGUAGAUAGAAACCUAUAGUAUGGAAAAAAGAAGCAUGGAUGUGAAACUAAAUAGAGUUAGAAAUAUUUCACAUACAGCAUCUGGUGCAUGGCAGGUGGCUUCAAUAGCAUACACUGCAUCAAAACUAUUGUCUUCGAAUGGCAUCUUCAUGAAAUCAGCCUGCAUUAUCAAAUAAGAUUAAGCAUGUCAAUUAUGAUUCUUAAUCAUUAUUGUUUUAUUAUCAGGUUAUGAUAACAUGUUUGUUUAUGUUUAAUUUGAAAUAAAUUUUAAGAUAAAAACUUCAGGAUUUCAAUUAUAAGUGUUGUGAAUUCAAACCCUUUGUCAAAACCAACAAGAUAAAAAAUGUGAAGCAAAUAACAAUGGCAACCAACAACCAAACAGUCCAAGCAACAAUAUUCAACCUAGAACAAAUCUAGCAACCUAUGUGUAUAGAAAAACCACAAUCAAACCAAAGAACAAAGAUAAGACACAAGCAGAUCCUAAGAGAAAUCAAGAGAGAAAACUUAGGCCCUUCCUCUAAUGAGAUCUCACUACCCAAGGUGAAUAUAAUGUGUUUCCCAACCCAAGAAUCUCACCCAAAAGCACUCAACCCUUAGCCUUUCAGUUUCCUAAAAAUUUCCACUUUUGGUCUCUCAAGAUUACACAAAAAAUAAGAAGAAUAUGGCUGAAAUAUGGCGCCUGCUGCAACGUUCUUCCGGGUGCCUCGCAGAUGACGCAGUGUCAAAAUGCCUAAAACCCCAUUUUUCAACCCGCCUCGCAGAUGGGACAGAGGCAUACCCAAAUUCCAGACUUCCAAACUUUGCAUUGUGAGAUUUUAAGGCAUACACAACAAUAAGCUUUUCUUAAAAAAAAGCACAUCCAAACAACGUCUAAAUAAAAUAUCCAGGUGUAACAUUUAUAACUGGAGUAGAACAAUUUUAAAAAUAUUGGAACAAUAUGUGUUGAAAUAGAAGACAUCCCACUCCUAAAAAACAGAAAUCAUUGAUUUAUAAAAGGCCGACCUUGACGAAGUUGCAAGUCUUGUCCACUCCAGUUUUGCGAUUGAGUGCCUGUUAAUCAGUAAAAAUUGGCCAGUUAGAUCAAAGUAUUUUAGAAAUUUUAAAGUUAUGAACUGUAAUCAUUUCAUAAAACAUGCAAAAUAAUUAAUAGUCUUUUCAUCAAUAAGGCUAAACUUAUUCUAGAGGGACUAUGUGUAUAAAAUUUAUGCCAGAGGAUUGUCAUAUAAGUACAUUUUUCAUGCCUAAACACAAUGCAUCAUGGUUGUGUGAUAAAAAUGGAACAUUACAAACAGUAACAGUUCCAGCACCUAUAAGGCUUUAAAAACUAGAUAUGAGAAGGUUAAAUUUUUUGUGUCAAUGCAUUUAAUCUCAAAACACAUACCUUUCCCCUGGUGAUCUGGUACUCAUUAUUAUUCAAUCCUGUAACAGAUGUCGAGCUGCAAAAAUACCCCUUGAUGAUUUUUGUAAGCAACUAAAGGUAAAACAAACAAGGAAGAGCAAAGGACAAGGAAACAUAGAGGAUGGAUCCAAAUUCCCAGCAGUCAGAAUCAUGCUGUCACUUGAUGUUCUGACUUGGUAAAUCAAGUGCGAAAUACAAAGUAAGAACGCGAGUCAUCUGAUCUUGUUAGGACAACAAAAUUGGAAACUAGUUGAGUGCUUGAAUGCAGUACUAUUGUCAAUCGCGGAUUGCAGAAAAUAGCAAUUUGUUCAAAUUACGCUACACUACAGUGUUAUAACGCCACUAUUUGACAAUAUUUUUGUAAUAAAUAGCAUAUCGCAGAACAACAAUGAUUUGUUCAAAUUCCACUAUGCUAUAGCAUUGUAGCAUCACUAUUGGACUGCAUUGGAUCGCUGAGUAUUCGUAAGAUGGAUUUUCAAUUUACCUGAAUCGUGAAAUUUCUCUUAAUGGUCCUCCAAUACCACAACCAACAUCCAAAACCUAAAAACAAAUAAAGAAAAAGACUCAUGAAAUAUUAAGAAAGAACAUACUGCAAACAAGAUAAAUCAGUUUACUAUUUUGCUUUAUUGAACAUGAAAGAUGAAAACCUUCUGUCCGGGCGUAAGACCAAGUUGUAAAGCAAGGAAGUGUUCAUGUCGCUUGAUGCUCUCUCUAAGAGAUUCCCCUACCCAUCUGCAUCGGAAGAAAAGUAUCAGCACAAACAAAUUAACAGUGAAAUCGUGAAUUUGUAUGUGCAAAAAUGAAUAAAAUGGACACCUUGUUGCGAAAUGGAAAGAUUCCCCCCAGCCAAAUUCAUAAAAGCUUGUCGCAAGAUCAUAGUAUUUAUUAACCUGAAAAUAUAUGAAGAUCUUAUGAUGUUCCUUUUGCAGGUAAUCAAAUGGAAUAUAAUUAAAACUUAAAACAUGGCAUUCCCAUCUAUACAAAUCAUGUUAUACAACAUCAGAAAAGGAAGAUAGCUUUAAUGAGCCAAUAUUCAUUAAUUGUUAAAAUAUAAAAUAGAAACAAUAGCCAUGCAUCUGACAAGGACCUAGAUUGUCUGCUGUUGAAAAACCGCAAAGCAGCUACGGUCAAUAAAUCUCCAUUGUUAGAUGAAGAUUGGAUUGUUCAUGUUACGAAAGUAAAUUCUAAAUUUGAUUUGGUGAAAUAAAAAUAUAAAUCAUUGAUCGUCAUCCAACAACAGAGUUUUGUUGACUGAUGCAGCUGCGUGGAUUUUGCGACCGCACCAAAUCCAAAUCUGAAAAGAUUGGUACUACAGAUUAUAUUGUUUUGAUAAUAGUGCUACACACAUAAUUGGUUAUUGGUAAUAUAAAAAGACACCGUUGAUAUCUGUGUAGCACUAUUAUCACUAUAAUUAUAGCUAAUUAUCAGUUAUAUUUUGGUUGCUAAAUGUUGAUAUCUCUCACCAUAUCACUAUAAUUAGCUUUCCUUUCAUCCUCUUGACCUCCAUAGGAUGCAUGAUACUUCUCAUACCUGAAAACCAAAUGAUCAAUACAUUUUAUCAGGCUUUUAAAACAAUAACGAAAAACAAUAAUUCAAUUAACUUUUUAAAUUUUUUUACAUCUUACAACAGCUUACAAAGAUGAAAUUUCAAAGACACUGUUCAGGUUAACUUAAGGUGGAAUUCCUUGCUAAUUGAAAUUGACCUCACACAUUUACAUAGUCAUACAAUCUAAUUUGUUCGAUGUCAAUAAAACAACUCAUAUGAACAACGUUACAAAACAAGGGUCUGUUUGGAUUGGCUUAUUUAAGCUUAUUACCUAGCAUGAGUCUUGAGAGACUGUUUCAGAGAACAUAUGAAAACAGCUUAUGACAUUUUCCAUAAGCUUUUUCAGAUUCUCUUCAUAGAAAUAGCUUAUACAUAAGUGUUUAUCAUGAUAAACGGUUUGUGCUAUAAGAUGCAAAAAAGAAGUUUAUCCAAACAGGGCCCAAGUUUACAAUGUGAAGUCAAAAUAUGGACCCCAUCUGAUCAAGAUGGAACAAUCCAGAUCCACAACAACGUGAAUGUGUAACAUCAUAAAUAUCAUCUCAAACAAUGUCUAGGUUGUCAUUUAUAACUGACAACAAUAUUUUGAUUCAACUCAUUAAUCUAUUACCGAUCUGACUAUUCUUCAUCUGAUAUAUUCUCCUUACUACAAAAUCUUAAACAUCUCAUAUGUACAACUUUACAUAAUCAAAAUGUGGACUCCGUCUGAUCAAAAUCAAACGGUCCAAAUCCGCAACAAACCGAAUGUGUAACAUCAUAAAUAUCAACUCCAACAAAGUCUAGGUUGUCAUUUACAACUGUCAGCAAUAUGAUGUUAGGUGAGGCAUUAUCAGAAGCAAAAUCCAAAACUGGACCAGCUCGGUCGUUUUGAAUAAUAAUGCAUUUAUUGACCAACAUGACACAUUUUGUUCAAAUCAGAAUCUUUCCACACAGGAUGAUAAAGACUGGAACCUAUUAAUUACCCAAUUUUGUGCAAUCUACAGGAUUAUUGCUUCUUUUUUUCAUCUGUAUUUAAAUUUAAAUAAAAAUAUAAUAACUUAAUCUCCUUAUUAUAUUUUUAAAUUAAAUUAAAUUAAUCCCUAAAGUUCAAAGCUAUACACUAAUAAUCUCCCUUAGAUUAGAUCCAAGGAUUCAAUGUUUUUCAGUCAAAUCUACAGAAAAGUAAUACUAGUAGCUUUUCUUUAUGUAUACUUUUCAAUAAAAAUUUACAGAAAAGUUACAUGUAUUUUUCAUUAAAAGUUUACAAAUUCAUUUAAAGUUAGUAAAUUUAUUGAUCCCAGCAUCAUAGAGAUUCUUGAGUACAAAAAAGCAUCACAUAAAUUCUUCAAUAAAAUUGCAUUUUCAUGACAAAAUAUGCAAACAUUUUACACUAAUAAAUAAAUAAAUAAAACACAAGUUAGAACAGAAAAUCAAAACAUUCAAAAUCCAAAACAAAAAAUAUGAAAAAUUCAAAAUUGAAAACUAACAACUAAUUAAAGCUGAAACAGUAAAAAUAAGCUGAAGAGAGUUGAGAAAAUUGAAAAUAUUAAAAUUAAAAAACACAAUAAAAGUCUAAAUUCACAAUGCGGCCGUAAUUUUAGAGAGAGAGACGCACUUGUCGACGGCGGAGAGAACUUGAGCUUUUUCAAUCUUUCCACCGAGAUUCGAAGCCAAAUCCAUUGCUUGAAAAGGUUUUAAGUAGAACUCAAAAACGACCUCGUUUCGAUCUAAAUUACACAAAAGAGGAAAAAAGAUGAAGAAAAAGUGAAAUGGGAGAGAAAAUGGAAUCAAAUGUGAUAAAGAUGAUGAACUCACGUGGAUGUAGAGAGAGAGAGAGAGAGAGAGGUUUAGAGGUGUUUUAAUAAAAGAAGAAAAAGGAAAGAGGACAAAGAUAUGGAGUGAGUGUCAUGUGACGAUGUAUUUUAUGUCUGCGAUCGGGAAAGUACGCCCCCAUCAGCACGUUGGUUGGGUUGGCAUUGACAAUCCACUUGUUUUUUAACACUAAAAAUAAUUGGGAAUUUCUACCGGAUAAGUGAGAUGUACCAAUACUCUUACUUCAUAAUUUUAUAAAUUAACGAUUAUUUUUUAUGUAAUAAAUAGUUAUCUGUCAAUAUUUAUAUUUUACACAACAUCAUUUCAUAAGAAAAAAUAUCAUUUUAUUGUUUAUAAUAAUCAUAGUAACUUUUUUUUUACAUAUUAUCGUAAAAAUAAUGAAUGUUCUCAAUUAUGAGUGAUAAAAAUUAAAAAAAAAAUUAUUUCGUUGACAGAUGAAUAAGAUUUAGUUAUUAUAAUUAUAAAUGAUAAAAAAUAUAUAUAUUUUUCUUCAAAAAACAACUCAUUUAACUAUUAAUUUAAAGAGUGAGUAUAGCGGUACACUCAAAUACGAUAGAUGUACCAUAGAAUUUACCAAAAUAAUUAUGCCAACUAAGUUAAUAAGUUACUCAAACUAAUUCCCUAAAAAAAAAAAUCAAACUAAUACGAGUGGAUGUUAUAUAAGGUUAUAUUGUUCAAUAUCGUUUUAGAUAUAUUUUAAGUUUGAUUGUUAGAUAAGUUUAUAUAAUAUAAACCAUCUUAGUAAAUUUUUGCACAAAUCCAAAAUCACAUGUUAUUGCGAUUCACUAAGAUUGUAGAUUUAUGGAUUUUUAUUAAACACUAUUAAUUUUGAUGAGUCUCAAUAAUAUAUCAAAUGAUGUUAGAUUUGUGUGAAAUUUUACAUAGAUGAUCUAUAUGAUAUAAAAUUACGAUCCAACGGUCAAAUUUAAAAAAUAUAAUAAUAAAUAAAACGAUAUUGAACGAUGUAACAUUAUAUAUCUUAUUGUCUAUUUGAUGGUCAGGAUAAGAAGAUAUGAUAAAUCUUUAUAUCAUAGUCAUAUUUUCAUUAAUGUAUCAUUUUGAUCUGAUACAAUAAUCCUAUUAUAUUUAUUUAUAAGUAAGAACAAAAUGGCAUGUAAUAAGGACGUUCCAGCGAAGUUGACACCCCACUAUAAGCCUAUAAUUAUCAAGUGAUCAUAUAUUUUAUUAAAAAAAGGAAAAAAUUACAUAAAAAUUAGGGGACAUAAAAUCUGACCCAGUGAAUUCAAGUGCAUGAACCCAAACGGGAAAUACAACCAAUAACAGCAGCAUACUCGAUUCAAUCCUAGUCAAUUCUAACAAACGAUGAUUGCGAGCACCAACCAAGUCUAUAAGUUGGCGAAUGAAUUGACUGUCGACAGAACGGAUCACGUACCAUCAACUCCUUACACCAUGAAAAACAAGCAUUAAUGACUCUUUCGAGUUCCAAACAAUCUGUACCCCACCAAUUCAUUAAACAAAAUGAAUUCAAAGGAUCAAAACGGGUUUGGGCGAGUCUUCACUUAGAUCGAUACGGUGAAUGAAUUGAAUGCCAACACGGUCAAAUUCACAUUCCAAUAACCCCCUGUUAACAACAAUCACAACAUGCAUCAACGUUUUUUCAAGCCAGAUUAACACAAAGCAACCCGGAAUCAUCGAUAGCCAGAUCGUGGGAUGGUCAAUCAAUGGGACUGAGCACCACGAGCACAAUAACAGACCCUAACGAGUUUCAGAACAACAAACUAGAAAUCCGUCUACAAUAUCACAACUGAAACCAACGACAGUGAACCUUCGACACGGAGGCGACAGAUUUGAAAGCAAAUACCAUCAACCAACGAAACAACGCCACUUCACAACCCUUGACUGACCUUAGAGUCGACAGUGAUCUAUAAGACCACCAGAGAAGGUUAGGAUGCUACUGAGACUUGUACGUCGGAAGAACACCGAAUUGAACAGCGGCGCUGCGACGAGAACAAGAGAGAGCCGCCACAGUUCUCCACCAGAUACAAACAACGAUCGUCGUAGGAAAACAGAGCCGUCGCUAAAGAGGAUGGCUGGGCCAUCGUCGCACCACCAAAGUUCUACUGCUACAUCUUUACUGGCGAUAUUUUGGAAAAGCAAGGGGAGGUGGCAGAGCUAGGUUUGGAGAGAGGUUGGAGAAAGUUUAGAGAGAGAUUCUUAUCCUUUUUUUUUAACAACGGUUCUUAUCUUUUUUUAAUAACACCCAUUAAUCCUAUUAUUAAUCUUAUCAUGCCAUGCAUUUAUAUUUUCCGUCCUGAGUAUUGGUUGGGUUAGAAUUAUUAUAUCCUUUUUUCUUACCCUUAAUGCCUCUCUUCUACGAUCAACCUUUCUCCCUUUCUCUAAAGCAUCUCCGUCUUCGUCUCUCUCUCUCUCUAUGUUUGUCUUCGUCUCUCUCUACGUCUUUGUCUUCAUCUAUCUGGAUCACUCACCAUCAUCUUCCUCUUCUUUUCCUUAUUUUCUCAUUAUCUGCUUUCUUUCUCAUUGUUGUUGUGUGUACUCUGUUCUAAUGAAACUUGCAAGAAGCUAGAUCAAUAUCAAAUAAAACCCCUUUUUCAUAACACAUAUUAAACUUAUUUUUGCAAGUAAUUUAUAUACAAAACCCUCAAUUGAUUAUAAAUAUAUAGUUUUAAGCCUCGAGACGUGGUGGUGGUAUUUUUUAUAAAACCCCCUUAAUUUAUGUAAAGUAUACGGUGAUGGUAUUUUUCCAACUUCUAAUACACCUCAUUGGUGUGUGUGUAUAUAUAUAUAUUAAAAGAAUAUUAUCAUGAUGAAAACCACCUUAGAAAGCAAGUGGUCGCAACAAACAAUCCAUCCAUAAGGAUAAGAAAAAUGCUAUUUCAUGGUUGGUUGAUCAAUUUUGUAACGUAAAAGUACAAAAUGUUUGGUUGAUCUCAUGGUUUAAGUGGCUAGAAAGCUACGUAAAAGCAAGCUACUUGGGUUAAAUCACAUAAAAUGAAACUUAUAUAAAAUUGUAGGAAAUAUAUUGAUAUCAUUAAAUAAAAUAUUAAGUAUUAAAGAGAGUGUUCAAAAGAUAUUGUUCGCGGCAUUCCUCUUGCCUAUAAACAUAGAGAUAUAUGAGACAUUGAAAACUACUUGGGAUAUCACACGCUACAUUACAUAACAAAAAGGAUUGGUUCUUUGCAAUUUUCCAAGAGUUUAAAAGCAAAAUAGAUAGAGGGAAUGAUUUAUAGAGGAGAAAGAUACGUCGGAGAAGAACGAUGAAUCGACUUCGACAUCAAAUUUUAUUUCUUCUUCCUCUUAUUGCAAGGUUAUGUUUAACUAAACAUUGCUAUUGUUGGGAUUAGGUGCAAUUACUACGAGUCUGUUGUAAAUGUUUGAUCUGACUGGUUAUAUAUAAAUUUUAUUAUUCAUUAGUGGAAAGACGAACACUCAAAUCCUUAAUUUUUUCAGAGUUUAUUAUAUUAAAAAAAGGUGUGUAUUUUUAGGGAGUGCAAUAGAAAACCUGAGAUUUUAAUUUUAUGUGAAUUCAUGAUUUUGGUCUGACUUUUUUACUUCCGAUUAUACCUUUAAACAAAUUUAUUUAUAAGAUUGUUAUAUUGUUGAUGUCAUUCAAAAAUAUAAGUUGGUUUGUUACAAUAUAAAAGUGAAAAAUAUCUAUACAUGUUCUUUUUUCAAAAUCAAAAUUACAUAAAACGUAUCGUUCGUAAUUUAUAUGUAUUAACACUAUAAAAAAAUAAUUGAAUAGUGUAAUUUAAAUGCAUUAGUUCAUUAAAUUAUGUAGAUUUAAAAUUAAAAAUGAAUUUAAUCAUUAAGAGUAAAAAGUAUUGAAUAAAGUAAAGAAUAAUGAUCUGGUGAGACUUGGUCAAAAUGAUACAAGUUUGUAGAGGCUACAAAUAAUACUUGAUUUCUCAAUGGGUAUGAUUGGUUGGUGAUGUUGAAAGGUAAUUCAUGGGUUUUAAGAGUAUUAUAUAUAGUGCAAAUCAUAUGGUAGUUAAGUUAGUUAUGUUACUUGGUGUGUAAAUAACUUACUAAGUUGGUUUUCAUGUCUUGGGCUUCACUAGUACUUUGUAAGCCUGACUCAUAAAAUGUAUAAGUAAUCACAUUAUGAUGAUGAAUGAAGGAGUAAAGUGCAUAACCAUAACCAUUCUAAGAACCUACCAUAGACUAAAUUCUAACAACUCAAGAUUAAGUAUCCUUUCAUCCUUUGAUCAUUUAGUGAAGAUGACAAGCUCUUAUAUGGAGAAUCUUGGCAAUAGUUUCGGUUGCAAAUUACCAAUUUUUGACACCAAUAAUUAAGAUUGGUGGAACAAGCAAAUAAAUCGAUAUUUGAUUUGCGAGAUAUCUCUUAAAAAAAAUGUUACUGAUGUUCAACCUAAGAUCUCCAACUCAUCUUCCUUUACAUCAAACCAGUUUAGUUUAAAAAAAAAAAUCACAAUUAAAGUCUAAUAACAAAGUAAAAAGAAAAUUUAAAACAUAAACGUAAUCAGCAAAACAUAGACUCAUAAUCAAAGUCUAAAAAUCACAAUGAGGCCAUAACUUAAAAAAGGGAAAGAAAGAAGAAAACAAGAGAAUGAUAGAGAGAGGACGCACUUUUCAACGGCGGAGAGAACAUCAUCCUUUUCAAUCUUUCCACCAAUAUUUGAAGCCAAAUCCAUUGCUUUGAAAUGCUUUAAUCAGAAGUGAAUGAAAUGCCAGAGAGUAUGGAAUGAAAUGUGAUGAAGAAGAAAUCACGUAGAUGAGAGAGAGAGAAAGGGAGAAGGUUUUGAUGUAUUUUAAAAUAGAAAAGAGGGAGAGGACAAAGAUAUGGAGUGUCAUGUGACGAAGUAUUUUAUGCCAUGCGAUUGGGAAAGUACGCCGUAGGCUUACGGCAAGACCAAGUUAGGUUAGCAUUGGAAACUCCAUUGUUCUGCUAUGACUUCUAGAAAAUUGAUCUUCUGACAUAGAAAACUUCACAAUGACAUAAGUAAUUUACAUAAUUGUUCCCGGCAAUUAACAUUACAUAAAAUGGUAAUUCCGCAUGAAAUCAAACCGAAACAACAACAUCCACCAAUCACAAACAUCAACAUUUCAUAGUUUAUCAAUUAUUCGGUAACAUUACACAAAAUCGAUAAUGCGUUAACGUUUCACAAUUGUUUAAAAUUCGUCAAAUUUUCCACAUUAUGCAACACAUUACACGUAAUGUACAUUAACUUAUACUCCCUCCGUCCCUUAUUAUAGGACCCUUUUAGAAAAAACACGGGUUUUAAGAAAGUUGAUUAUUUUGUUAAAUUUGUUGACAAAUGACAUUUUUUUCCAUGUUUGCCCUUCUUAUAAUUGAAAUCGCAAUUCACUAUUUUACUAUAUUAAUUACCCACUACUACUUGAAUGUAAGUUUGAAAAGGUCAUUGCACAGAAGAAAAAAAAAAUGGAGCGUGAAUAACCACUACUACUUGAAUAACCAUUCCAUUUUUUUUUUUGUCCACAAAAAUUUGGAAUCAUUCUUUUUUUUCCAAAAUUUCAAAUUUGAAGCUCCAAACUUAAAAUUUUUACGAAUUAUUUUCAAAUUUCUUGCGCUUUUUUUUAAGAACAAGGAGCAUGAAACAACAAUAUAUAAACAUAUAGAGGACUAAACAUAUUCUUCAUGAAAAAUUAUAGGACAUGAAUAUCAUAAUUAUAAAGGCAGCCUUCAGUGCAUGAAUUGGGAGUUCCCACAUAAACUUAUUGCUCUUUUUUUUUAUCAAAGGAAAAAAGAAUUUAUUGCUUUUCAAAAAAAUAUGUAGAGUAAAUAGGGGUAAUUUUGUAAAGAAAAAUUAAUGCACUUGAAAAUAUCAAAAGGGUCUUAUAAAAAGGGACAAUUUUUUUUCUUCCUAAAAGGGUCCUAUAAUAAGGGACGGAGGGAGUAAUAAAUGCGAAACUCAAAUAUAUAUAUAUAUAAUUAGUUAAAGGUUAGUUACAUAUCACCUAAAAAAAUUGGUCAUUACAUUAUAUAUCCCAAAAAAUACAUCGGGGCGUAUCAACCAAAAAACAGAUUAACACCUACCAAAAUGUGUCAUAUUUCAUCUAAUAAAAGCAAAUAAUCUAAAUGUUCCAAAACAUCUAAAAAUUCGGUGUUUGCUUUAACCGGAGUGUCAUCAAACAUAAUUGGAUUGUCUUCAUUUGUUGGUUUUUUUGUUGGAACCAUUCUCUCUUUGUCCUCAAUCUCCAUGAGUGCUCGGAAACAAUCGUGUUGAUCCAAGAAUUUAUAAUCCCAUGUUUUUGCCUCAUCGCUCCAAUGAUUUCUCCACUCCGUGGAUGAUGGAGGUAGUAGACAACCAUCUUUCAACGAAAGAAGGACAAAAUGAUUUGGGAUUAAACCAAGGCAAAUCAUGUUGCUUUUCGGAUUAACUGGAGGCACACCUCUACGUGGGAAAAAAGUCUCGGAGACUCCAAUAUCAAGGGUAGUCAUCUCCACCACCGGCUUAUUGUAACAAGAUGCAACGAUGUGUCCCAUAUCUGGCAAUGUCAACCAUUUUUCAGAAGGUGCAAAGCUACUAGGAUUUUUGGGGGGAUGCAAUCCAUCCAAAAUGUACUUGUAACGGUCCUCGCUCGCAUAUACCUCUAUGUAUUUGUUCCUAUGCUCUUUCAACAUUUUAAUAAGUGCUCUCCGCACCAUAACAUGACUUUCUUCCGUCAAACCCACGCGUUCGGCAAUAGCCCUAAACCCACAAUGUCCGUCACCAAUAACAUGCACAAUUCCCUCAAUGUAUGGUCUCAUGAAUUUUGGCAUGUAAUACAUAGGACUCGAUGGAUUAUAAUUUCUUGAAACCAAGCUAGGCUUAGGAACCGGGACCGAAGAAAUGCCAAUACAAGCACCUUUUCUUUUAGGUUAUGAAGAUUUUUUUCGUGGUGAAGAUUGACUUUCCGGGUGUUGAGAAUCAAUAGUCUCCCACAUAGAUGGGAUCCUACGCGUUGUUUUUGGUGUAGUAUUGAUUUUUUUGGGAGCUCCUUUGGUUGGCACCUUUCUUGGAGGCGGUGACAACAUUGUGAUCUCCGGAAACGCUAACAACCGCAUACCCUCUUUGAUUUCUAGUUUCAAUUGGAAUGGAACUCUUACAAGACGUUCUUGGAUACCAUGCCACUCCUCCGCGACCGAUAUACUCUUCAUUACUUUCUUCUUCACCCAUAUACAACUUAUGCCAAUGUGGGUGUAUCUCAUCCAAUCGAAUGGGCUUGUUGUGACGGAUUGUCAUAGCAAUAAUGCAUGCACAAGGUAGGCCAUACAAUGUCCUUGGAACAAAACCGCAAGUUUUCUUCUCGAUGCACAAGGUUUUCCUAGCACGCGUUUUUUCCACAAAAAUAAAGUUCAUGGUUUGUCUAGACAUGUGACCCCCCAACUCGGAGUACAAAGUGACAUCUUUGUACCUAUGUUCCAAGACCGUAACGCUCCUACCAAACGAUGAUUGUAUCUCCCCAAAUUGGUUUGCCAACAUGUCAUCUAUUUAAGCCAAUUUACGUCUUAGCCGAUUCACCACUUACACUUAGUUACUCUAUGAUUCAUCCUCAUAUCAUUAACUAACUAAACUAUUACUCAUCAUUGAAUAAUCAUAGCACAUCAUGUUACAUCAUCAAGUAUUCCUCAUCAAUAAUUUAUCAAAAUCGUAAUAAAUUCAUAAUCCAAUUAUGGUUAAAUCACAACUUCAUUACUAGUCCUUACAUUCCUCUACACAUAAUUAUUAAUCCUACAAGCCUUACAUUGAUGUUAUACCAAGCCUACCCAAUUCUAAAUGCCAAGAAGGGUUAAAAUAGUGAAAUAUGAAGAAAAUGGUUUCACAGAAUCGUGUCACGAUUUUGGGAACCGUGGCACGAUUUUAUGUCCAGAAAACAAUGUAAUUCUGCCAGCAAAAUCGUGACACGAUUUUGACAACAUCAGUUCCAAAAAUCAAGUUUUUCCAAAAUACGAUUUUCACCAUUUUAAGUUAUUCCAAGGCUUUAAAUCAAUCUCAAACACACCGAAAUCAUCAAACUAAUGUCAUCUAAUCAAUAAUACAUUCAUUACAUCCCCCAUCAACUUAAUUUAAUCACUUUCAUAAACCCAAUAACCUAGCAAGAACAUAAAUUAUGAUGGAUUCUUCAUCAUUCAACAACAACAAUCAUGUUUUCCAUCAAAUUAAGCUAAAAACACAUAGUUAUGAAUUUAACAUAAUCAAAACUUUAAUUUCGUGCAACAACAAGAAGUUUAUAGCACUUUUAAUAUACUCAAAAUUAACAACUUAAUUAGAGCACGAAAAUUAGUUUAAAAUAACAUCAGUUUCAUAAUUUCACAAACACAAACAUGACCCAAAUAUCAUAUAAGAGGUUAUAAUUCAAUAUAUGAACAUAAUCUCUCCAUCCUUACCUCUAAAUCCCAAAAGCAAUGAUAUAAGCUCCAAUUUACUCUCCCUCUUGAGUUUCUCCAAGCUAGAUCUUAUUCUCCUUUGAAAUUCUUCUCUCUUUCUCUUUUUCUCUAUUUUCUCUUUUCUUCCACUUUGUCUCUUUUCUCUCAAUUGUGACAAAUGAGCUCCGGACCUAAUUUUCACAAAGACUACUUCUCUUAUAUACUAUUGGACUUAGUCAUACUCACUAAUGGGCUUAAUAGCUUUCUAUCACUCAUAAAAUAUUACUACCCAAUUGCUUUUUUGAAAUUCCCACUAUUACUCAUACACCGUGAUUCUAUUAAUUACCCUAAGUUGCUACUAACUUCGCUAAAUGAUCUUCCACGCCAAAUUAAUUAAAAUAUCGAUAACUCGAAAAUUACAAAAAUGCCCUUACUCCUAAAAUGACCAAAAUACCCUUAGUGCCUAAAAAUCCACUAAUCCCCAAAUCAAGCACAUUUUUUUAUUUUUUAUUUUUUGCGAAGCCAAGAGAUUGGACACGCAUCAAGGGGAAGCAAUGGCAUCCCAACUAGGUUGGCACCCCGCAAAACUCCCAUCCUAUACCGAUAAUCUCAGAGAAAAUUUUAUUAAAAAAAAGGAGAAAAAAGUACAAGAGGGGGACUAGGCCAAAACCCUCAAAAAACAAAGAAGAAACAACAAAAAAAGAAAAGAAAAAUGAAACAACAAACAGGAAAGAAAAAAGGAAACAUCUAACUACUUAAAUGAGAGCGAGGGAACCGACUCCAGUCCAAAAAGAAGUCAGUCUGAAGAGUCUGAGGCAACACCGAAAACCAAGUUGUGCCUUGUAUCGAAUGACCCAUAUUAGCAAGUAAAUCGGUGCUACUCGAGUCAUUCCAAUAAAGAAAAUUCAUUGAUCACCUGAAUCUGGGGUAUCACCAACUCCUCCCAUGAUUCAAAUUUUACUUGUUCCACAUCAUCCGAAAGCAUGACAGCGUGCAAAUCAUCAGGGGAAGCUAACUCCAAUAUUGGGCGUGAAGGCAAAGAGCCUUGGGGGAUCUCCUCAGACACACAGGGGGUGUCUGAGCUAGUGUUGGAGCCGCAAAAGUAGAACCAUCAACAGUAGUCGAGUUGAUUUAUGGCUCGGUAGGUUUAGGUGUUGCAAAUGCAAUGGAUGAACCUAUACCAUAGGGGUUCUCUUUAAUAUGCACCCACUGAGGUUUCAUGGAUGGUAUCUGCAUCUUCCCUUUUGCAACUUUAUCCUUAGACAUGUCUUCCUUCCUAGGGUACAACCAACGACAGUUUGUAACAUCAUGUCUAAGUGUCUGACAAUGCGAACAAAAAUCUGGAAUCCGUUCAUAAACUACCUUCCCGUUCGACGAGAAUUUCGUGAAAAAUCUUUUAGGAAAAUUCAAUGUCGACUAUAUUACGUGCAUAGUGUCCAAAAAGUCUUUUCAAGGUUCCAUCCAAUAUUCUUGUGGCAGUGCCAUCAAUCGGAUCCAUACUUGCGCAUGUGUAUUUCUCUGAUUAUGCAUAUCAAUAUCCACUGACCAUUCAAAUAAUCGUAACAUCCCCGGCUUCAAGUUCACAGUUCCCAUUGCCCAAACAAUUUGCAAAUCAGAUUCAGUGGCAAAAAAGAAUUCAUAAAAGCCCCUACCUAAAGAUAGCAACGUCCAAGGUGCAUAGUAUUCCAUUGUUUUCGAAGCUUGUCUUCAAUUUCCUUUGACGCAUAGGGUUUAUCUCCUUUUUGUUUAGAACCAACCUUCCACAAAGGUUUCUCUUACACACAUUGACCCCCUGUUCAUAAAUUGGCUGAGUAAUACGAAUAGAGAGAGUCUCACCACGCAUUGUAGGUUGUGGCAGAUUGUCCGUGCGAUGCGACAAGUGCUUGUGCAAGGGACCGCGGCGGCGGUUGUGGUGCUGGAACCGCCGUUGUGGAGGGCAGUGCCAUGAGAGAUGGUGCAGCUUUGGAGGGCGCAACUGUCGGCAAUAACAACUCUGCCUGCCAAUCGAACGGCUUAGCAGAAAGUCUUGAAAGAGCACCAAAUAGCACUUCAGUUAAUCACCAAUUGGAAAAUAGUGACCACCGAAUUUGUACAAUAGUAACAAAUCAAAAGUUAAAGAAACUAGCACUCCCAAAGAAUUUGAAAGACCUCGUAAAGUGAAUUCAAGGAUGCUAAAUACGGUAAAUAUUUCAAUUGUAAAUAAUCAGAGGUCAGCACCGAACAAUAAUAACAAGUAGCAAUGGAAAUGGAUGGAGAAUUAAAAUCAAUUUUACAAAAGAAGGGGGCUCUUACACACAUCAAAUAAACAAUUAAAUAAAUAUAAUAAAUAAAUAAAUAAUCAUAUAGAAAAUUGGGGUGUUACAUUUCAUAGCCAUUAAUUGAUGUGACAACACAUCAUUAGUCCGGUACAUGAGGUACAACCACUUCUUACUUUGGCGUCUGAUUUCCCACUUGGAUAAAAUUAUCCUAUCUUCACUUGGAUAUUGAAAUAUCCUAACACCAAGGCUCAUGAAUGCAUGAACAUAUGACUCACCAAAUGCAUAUGUUCAUACAAAACAUCACCAUCAUAAACUUCACCAUUUUAUAUACAUGUAUUGAUCAUCAUUUUAUACAUAUAUACAUACACCAUCAUGGAUUAUCAACAUCAAUAAUUAUCAUCGUGAAAAAUCAUCAUUAUAAUCAUCAUAAUCAAAAUCAUCAUACACCACAUCAAAGAGGUAACAUCACUUCAUACGGCGAAAUUAGCAUGUGAGAUGAUUAAUCAUUUACGCCUAGUUAAUCGAUACACCAUAUGCAUACUCAUUACUAAUUCAAUCGUUAUUCAUCAUGUUAACACUAUUAUUUAAUCAUUUACAAGUUAUCAUGCCUUACUUCAUCAUUUUACCAAAGUUCGUCUAUUUUCGCAUAUUUCAACAAAACCAAGUUAUAUGUUCUCAUGCAUUCUUACAUUCUAUAUCUAUGGCUAAGAUCAUAGUAGUACAUGCAUAUCAACAUCAUUCACAUCAAUAGAACAACAUCAUUUCAUUAAGCCAAUUUACGUCAUAGCCGAAUUGGUUUGCCAACAUCUCAUCUAUUUAAGCCAAUUUACGUCUUAGCCGAUUCACCACUACACUUAGUUACUCUGUGAUUCAUCCUCAUAUCAUUAACUAACUAAAUUAUUACUCAUCAUUGAAUAUUCAUAGCACAUCAUGUUACAUCAUCAAGUAUUCCUCAUCAAUAAUUUAUCAAGAUCAUAAUCAAUUCAUAAUUCAAUUAUGGUUAAAUCACAAGUUCAUUACUAGUGCUUACAUUCCUCUACACAUAAUUAUUAAUCCUACAAGUCUUACUUUGAUGUUAUACCAUGCCUACCCAAUUCUAGAUGCCAAGAAGGGUUAAAAAUAGUGAAAUAUGAAGAAAAUGGUUUCACAGAAUCGUGUCAGAAUCGUGUUACAUUUCAUAGCCAUUAAUUGAUGUGACAACACAUCAUUAGUCCGGUACAUGAGGUACAAACACUUCUUAGUUUGGCGUCUGACUUCCCUAAUAUAAAAAAUAUUGUAGCUGAUCCAGACGAUCCGGUGGAUCCGGUGUUGCAAAAGGAAUUAGAUUCGACCAAUCAUUUUUUAUUGAACAGCACCACCGCAGAUAUCUCCUUUUCUCCUUACUUAACAAAGGCACAAAAGAAGAAAGAAAACCAAGCAAGCAAGGUGACUUAUGCAACCCGUUCUCAUGGUCCACUCCCGACCUCUCAAUGAUUUCUACUUGAAUUUGUGAUUUUGCGGUUGGUAUUUGGACGAGGCUUGGGGCUCAAAUUGGUUUGACACUCUUCCAUUGUCGCUGUCAUUAGACUUCUUUAGGGAUCGACACGGCCUUCCUAAGUUUUGAUUUCCCUAGGUUGUCUUUUUUCUUUUUCUUUCUCGCCUUUUUUGUUGCUGAGGGUUUUGGCCUAGUCCCCCCUCGUUUAUAUUUCUUUUUCCCUUUUUAAUAAUAUAUAUGGAGUAGGUGGUAGAGGAUGAGAGUUCCGGUUGGGUGCCAACCUAGUUGAGAUGUUUCCGGCCUCCUUAAUGUCUAACCUAUUUCUUGACUUAUAAAAAAAAAAAUACACUGAUGAAAUAUACUAAUUGAAUUUUUAUAAUAAUGUAUGAUUAAACUUGGUUUCAAAUUUUACUAGAAAUGUAAGUGCGUAUCAUAUUUUUUAUAUGUAAAACAUUUGAGUAUUUAUUAGUGAAUGACAUACAAUGAUCAAUGUUAAAAUUGGUGAACACAAGUACAACUUUCUAUUUUAAAUAAUGGAGCACAAAAAGUACAGGAAAUGGAUUCUACUUUUGACUCUAAAGCAAAUGGAUUUUUCACCCUUUGAGAUUUGGUAACUUUAAGGGUUCAUUUAGUUCGCAUUUUUAGAGAGGAAGAGAGGGAGUAGUUUUUUUUUUUUUGUUUGAUUCAAUUUCUAUGAGGGAAGGAGAAGAGGAGCAAAAUCGCUCAUAAAUAAUUAAAAUAAUUAAUUUAAUUUGUUCCAACUAGAAUUUGAAUUUGAAUUUUUCAAAAUUUUUUUGUUAUUAACUCAAUUUCACUAACCACUUGAGUAAAAUUAUUCAUUUAAAUAAGAUACAAAUAUAUAACAAAUUAUAUUCUUUGAUUUUUUUAAGCAAAAAUUAGAAUGUAAAAGCAUUAGAUAAUAAUUUUGUUGGCCACAAUCUUUCAUUCAUUUCACAUUAUAUUCUUUAAUAACGAUUGCAGGGGAACUCGAACCACAAUCAUUCAUUCAUUCAUUCAUUUCACUCUCUUUUACUUAUGUAGAAAAAAGAAGACAAACAAAUUAAUGGCAUUAUAGAAGAUAAACAAAAAGCUCAUUAUAGAAAUUAAUGGCAUCCAUCCGUAUUAUUGCAAAUUAAACAGAAUUACAAAGGGUGAUGGAAGCAUCAUCUCUCAUACAAUACUCUCAUUUUUCUUAACAAGGUUUAGAGCAAAAACAUCUGCGACGGAAGCCAUGACAAUGUCCUCCAGUGAAACCCUCUGUUUUGCACACAUUAGCACAAUUGUGUUUAAUCCAACAUACUCCUUUGAAGCUAUGACUUUGAGAAUCACAAGUCCUUGCCUCCGGCUCUUCCACGUGAGUUGGCUGCAUCUCUGCCCAUAUCAUAAAAUCAACAAAUUGAAUAUAUGAAGUUAGAGAUCUCAUUAAUUCAUGCAGUCACAAUAUCGAUGUCCAAUAGAACAAGAUCGAAUAUAUCAGAUUUAUAGCUUUAUUUUUAUAUUAAAAAAACAAAUUAUGCACUAAAAUAUGGACCGUACGAUCAUGAUUCAAUGUUCAUCAAUAUGGUCGGUGGUGAUUUUGUGAGAUCUAUGAUCGCAUGAAUUAUGAUUUAGAUAUACCAUAUAAAUUGAGGGAAAUAUUAAACACAAUCAUAUAAAGUGUUUCAUAGCAAGUAACACCCACCUGUGGAUACUAGAAGGAAAAGGAAGAAAAAGAUGGUGCAAACUAAAGUGAUUGAACGAGCCAUAUAAGAGACUUUGCUUCGAAGAAGAAAAUAGAACUAGUUGAAACUUGUUGAACCGUUGAAGUGAAAUGCAAAUGGAGAUAGUCUGUCUUAAAUAGGGUAAUAGAAUUUUUUUUCCUAUCAAAAAUAGGGUAAUUUUUUAUUUAUUUUUGGAAUAAAGCUUCUUUUCUAUUUUUUAUAAAGACAUAAGAGAUGAUAAUAAAUGUUCCCUUGUUUUUUUGUUUUUUGAAGGAAAUAAAUGUUACCUUGUUGUUUGCCAAUGAAUGAGUAUUUUACAAGUACUAGAUUUAAUACUAGUGCACAUGCGAAUAACAUGAUAAUUUUUUAUUUUAGUAUGAUUUUUUUUUAUUUUGCAUGUGUUUAAAAUUUAUAUUAUAUUCAUCUACAAUUACAACUUUUUUAUAUAAAUAAGUGUAAAUAUAUUAACUUGAAUUAUCUCGUGCUAGAGAAAGUAUUUUGGCACACGUCAAAGGACCUCUUCCAAACAUCUUAAUGCUCUUACUUAGGUCACAAGCCUACGUUAUCAAACUCUGCUCGUGCUAGAGAAAGUUUUGAAUAAGUGAUUUUCAAUGAUUAAUAUAAAAUGUGAUUUUGAGUGAUGCCAAUCAUACCACGUCGUUUUUAACCAAUUCACUCAUCCUUCACUCCAAUGGUAUAACUUUUUAGAGUCAAAUAUAUUUUUACCAAUUACAUCAUGUAAAUAUUUUUAUUGUUAUUUUUAUUUUGUUAAUUUAAUAUUUUUUUUAUCAAUUAAUAUAUUUUUCAAGUUAAUUAUAAAUUACUUUCACCAUCAACUAUUUUGUAUAUAUUACCUUUUAAGUGCUAUGUUAGAUCUUGUAAAAAAAAAGUGCUAUGUUAGAUUGAAAUUAAACUAUUUUUUGAUUUUUUAUUGUUUAUGAGAUUUUAGGUUAUUUGAAUUAAUUUUUAUAGAAUUAAGUUUAGUUUUCUUUGAGAUAGCUGAUUGAUAAUCAAUAUUUAACAAAAAAAAAAUGGCUUAAUUGCAUUUUUUUCCCCUAUCUUUUGUCAAUUGUGCGAUUUUGCACCCCCUCUUUUUUUUUGAGCGAUUUUGCACCCCAUCUUUUUGCCCCCUUUCUGAUUUUGCACCCAUCUUUGUGUUCAAUUGCACUUUUGCCCCUUAUCUUUUUGUUAAUUGUGCGAUUUUGCACCCUCACUUAUAUUUUUUGAGCGAUUUUGCACCCUAUCUUUUGCCCCUUUUCCCCUCUUUUAAUGAUGAUUUUGAACAAAACACAGUUGGCAAAAGAUAGGGUGCAAAAUCGCUCAAAACAAAAGAGGGGGUGCAAAAUCGCACAAUUAACAAAAGAUAGGGGGGAAAAGUGCAAUUAAGCCAAAAAAAAUAAAUAAUAUCUUAAAUAUCAUUUAUUGUGAUAUAUCUCAUAUUUUAAUCAUUUUUUAUAUUUUCCUUUUAUAAUUAGAGUUUUUAUGUUUUAUUUUUUUGAGGUUGUCUUGUAGACCUCCAUUGAUACCUAAAUUGUUUGAUAAAAUUUAUAUUUUUGAAAUUUUUCAAGGUUUAUUUUAUGUUAAAUUAAAAUUUUUAUGCAUUAAUUUUUUUUUGUUUUGUUUAAGAGCUAUAGACAAUUUGAUCUCUUAUUUCUUUUUUUUUUUUUCGUUUCAUUAGGGUCUGUUAAAUUACAAAAACUAACAAAUUUGUGUCAUAUGUUAUUUUUCGUCAAGCAAUAUGUUUGUAAUUUAAGAGACAAAAAUUGAACCUAAAAAAAUUAAGGGACCAAAUUGUUUACCGAUUACAAGUUAAGGGACAAAAAUAAAACAAUCAAAAUUUAAGGGACUAAAGUGAACUUAAAAGAUCAAAACUAUAAAAUGCCGUAUAUUUUGAGCGUAUAGAUCGGAUAAUCAGUUUCGUUUUCUUCCCAUUAGUACGUAAUGAUUAAGAAUCCGGCUAAAACUGAUUGAUGAUUUUUCUCUUUUUAAAAUGGCUUAAUGAUGUGUUUCGUCCUUGCAAUUAGGCGUCAUUUAAAAAUUAGUCCCUGUAAUUGCUAAUCAUGACAAUUUACCCUUGUAUUGUUUAAUCAUUUAAAAUUUCGUCCUUUAACCAACUUAAUCACGUCAUCAAAUUAGCAAAAUGACAUGGAAAUGUACAAAAAUACCCUCAUCAUCAUUCGUGAAAUGACAUUUUUACCCCUGUCUUCAUCUUCUUCUCAUGAUAAAGACGAGGGUAUUUUUGUCCAUUCCCAUGCCAUUUGGUAAUUUGAUGACUUGGCAGUGAUUAAGUUGGUCAAAAAACGAAAUUUUAAAUGAUUAAACAAUGCAAGGGUAAAUUGCGAGGAUUAGCGAUUACAGGAACUAAUUUUUAAAUUACGUCUGAUUGCAAGGACGAAACACAUCAUUAAGCCUUUUGAAAUUUUUUUUUUUUUUGGUACAAGCCUUUUGAAAUUUAUGUACAACAUAAAGGUAUUGAUCAUUUUUAGCAAAAAAAUAAGAAGGCAAUUUAUCAUUUGUUAACUUCCCUAUAGUUCUAUUUGCAUGUACACAGUUUUUAUUAUUUUUUGACAAAAUGAAUGUGCAAAGUUAAUCACCAAUCAAUUAUCAAACAGUCCUCGUGAGCUUAGCUCAGUUGGUAGGAACAAAUCAUAAAAUAUGCAAGAUUGGGGUUCAAACCUCGAUCACCAUAAAAAAUAUCAAUUACCAAACAGAACUAUAGGAAAGUCUUUGUUUUAAGGAAUUAUAGGGAAGUUAACAAAUAAUAAAUUACCUUCUAUUUUUUUUUGCUAAUAAUGAUCAAUUACCUUUAUGUUGUGCGUAAAUUUCAAAAAUAGAAAAAUCAUCAAUCAAUUUUAGCAUGAUUCAUAAUUCAUUCAUUACGUACAAAUGAAAAGGAAAGAGAGCCGCUAUUUACCGCGACAUGAAGUUUCACGGAAUAACCUUUGUAAAAGUGAUUUUGGCGAAAAAAAAUAAAAAGUGAUUUUGGUUAUAAUAAAUAACAUUUCAAUAUUAAAAAUAAAAAGUGAUUUUGGCGAAAAAAACGGCGAUGGUUGUGUCAUUCUUGAUUUUUCGUUUUUAAAGCGUUCGUGGUAUAUGGUAUUUCUCAAUGAUAAAUCACCUUUGUUUUUUUUUUUUUUGCUAAUAAUGAUCAAAUACAUUUAUAUUGUGCGUUAAAAUGUCCUCAUGAACUUAGCUCAAUUGUUAGGGACAAUGCAUAAUAUAUGUACGGUCUGCGAUUCACACCCUGGCCACCACAAAAAAAAAAUUGUGCGUUAAAAUAUACCUAUACAUAAGUUUAAAAAAUAAAAUAAAUCAUCAAUUAAUUUUAGCAUGCUUCACAAUUCAUUACGUACAAAUGAAGAAAAAAAAAAUCUGAAUAUCCAAUCUAUAUGCUCAAAAUAUACGACAUUCCUUAGUUUUGAUUUUUAAAGUUAUUUUCAGUUUCACUUUAGUCCCUUAAAUUUUUAUAGUUUUAUUUUUGUUCCUUAACUAGUAAAUGUUAAACAAUUUUGUCCUUUAACUAGUAAAUGUUAAACAAUUUUGUCCCUUAACCCUUUUAGGUUCUAUUUUUGUCUCUUAAAUUACAAACACAAUGCUUGAGAAAAAAAGAACAUAAGGCACAAAACUAUUAGCUUUUGUAAUUUAAGAUACCAAAAUGCAACGAAAAAAAAUUAAACGAAAAAAACAUAGAGAUCAAUGUGUCUAUGGUUUUUAAACUAAAAUAAAAUAAAAUUAAGGGAAGUAAGUAAAAUCUAAAAAUAACUUAAUGCAUCAAAAAUUGAAUUUAGCUUCGAAUAAACCUUGCAAUUUAAAAAAAAAAAAUUAUCAAACAUUUGUCAAAAAAAAUAAAAAUAAAACUUUAUCAAACCAUUUGGGUAUCAAUGGAGGUCUACAAAGACAACCUCAAAAAAAAAAUAAACAUAAAAACUCUAAUUAUAAAAGGAAAACAUAAAAAAAUGAUUAAAAUAUGAGAUAUCACAAUAAAUGAUAUUUAAGAAUAUGAGAAUAUUGUAUGAGAGAUGAUGGUUCCAUCACCUUUUGUAAUUAUGUUUAAUUUGCAAUAAUACAUAUGGAUGCUAUUAAUUUCUAUAAUGAGUUUAAUUUCUAUUAAUUUCUAUAAUGAGUUUUUUGUUUGUCUUCUUUUACUACAUAUGUCAUUUUUAUUGAAAUAUAAACAAAUAGGUCCAAAAAAUUAUAUGUGUUUGUCUAAAUUUCAGGCCAAAUACACUAUAAAAUUGUUUAUCUAACCAUUACCAAGAGUUUUUUUUUUUUGGUACAACCAUUACCAAGAGUUUUAUUCUUGAGUGUAUAAACUAAUUAGGGUUGAGAGUUUUGAUUUAUUGUGCAAAUAAGAUUGGUUUGUUUGAUUUAGAUGGUUGACAAUGAUUAAAGGGUCCGUUUGUUACGGAUUAAAAUAAAAGAGAUUUUUACAUAUAAUAAUUUAGAGAUUAUAUUUUAGACCGUUUGUUAUAGCUUUUUUCAGAAGAAAAAAAAUAAUUUAAAAAAAAAUAAUAAUUAAAAGUUUUGUAUCCGUUUGUUAAAACUUUUUUAAAAAAUAAGAAUCUAAAAACAGCAUUAAAUGAGAAGGUGUUAAGAGCAACUUCACAAAAAAUAGAUUUUUUUAGAGGAGAGAGAAAAUAUUAUUUAAAAGAUUGAACUAAUUUUGUAACAGAAAUCCCUUUUAUAUAUAGUUGUAUCCAAACAAACUAAAUUAUUUGUUUAAAAAAAUGAUUUUUAUUAUGGUAUACAAACGCAAAAUAGAUUCUGAUUUUUCAUUUUUUUCUAGGGAAGUUUCUGAUUUUUCAUAAAUCUCUAAAUUGUUUUAUUUUAAUCUGUAACAAACGGGCUUUUAGUUUGUUUUGAUACAAAUAUAUAAAAGAGAUUUUUUGUUACAAAAUUAGUUCAAUUUUUAAAACCAUAUUUUCUCUCACCUCUAAAUAAAUCUAUUUUUUGAGAAACUGCACUUAACAGCUUCUCAUUUGAAACUGUUUUUAGAUUAUUUUUUUCAAUUUCCAAUUUUUUUUAAAAGUUGUAACAAACGGAUGCAAACCUCUUAAAAGUGAUUUUUUUAAGUGAUUUUUUUUAAAAAAAAACUAUAACAAACGGAGUUUAAGAUUCUUUGAAUCUCAUCUAUCUUUUUAUUGGGUUAAUAUAAGUUUCCUACUAAUUAUUAUAUAAAAGAAUCCUUAUAGAAGAGAAAUAUUAACCAUUCAUGUUACGAUUGCAUCGGAUGAGCGGAGUUUCUAAAAAUCAAAAUUGUUAAUAUCUUAUUUGUGAUCUAUAGUUUUUAGUUUUCAUAAACAAGUAUUUAUGUAAUAAAAGAAUUCAAGUGACUUAUUUUUUUUUUAAUGGCAAAUAAUAAAAGAAUUCAAGUGACAUAUUUUCUUUUAAUGGCAAAUGUUAGUACUACCUCCGGUCCUAUUUAUAAGAGAAAUUUAGGUCAACAAAAGUGAAUGUAUUUGGACUGAAUUUUUAACUAGAUACAUCAACUUUUGUUGACCCAAAAUUCUCUUAUAAAUAGGACCGGAGGGAGUAUUUAGAAGUUAUGUUAGUAUUUUUGUCUCCUUUGCCAUGAUUCAAACUUGGACCUUUUAUACCUUAACUCCUUUAUUGACCACUCAUACUUUCAUGAUAGGAAAAGAAUUAGAACCAAUUUUCGCAAUAAUAGCUUGUUCCAGAGCAGGAUUAACUUCAUUUUAUAUGUUUCGAAUCUAUUUACUUGUUUUUGAAGGAUAUUUAAACGUUCAUUUUCAAAAUUUCAAUGGAAAGAAAAAUAGUUCUUUCUAUUCAAUAUCUUUAUGGGGCAAAGAAGAAAAAAUAAAAAACAAAAUUCAUUUAUUAGCUUUAUUAACAACUAAUAAUAAUGAAAGUACUUCUUUGAUAAAAAAGUUUAUUUCUUUUUAUUAAUCUGUGAACUUUUUUUAUUGGUUUGAGAAUUAACGGUAUUUUUCUUUUAUGUUAUGUGUUUACAUUAUAGGGUUUGCUAAUGAUAAUGAGAAUGAUAUAACUGAAGCUACCCUGAGAAAUGCUGUUUCUGCUACUGAAGAGGGUUUUUUGGAUUUUGCAAAAAUGAAUUAUAUGCAUCAGCCAAAUCUUGGAUAUGUUGGUUCAUGCUGUCUUGCUGGAAUUAUAUGGAAAGAGACACUACAUGUUGCAAAUCUUGGAGAUUCGCGCGUUGUAAUUGGUACUAUGGUUAAUAAAAAGAUCCGUGCCGAGCAGUUAACAAGAGAUCACAAUUGUAAUGAUGAAGCUAUUAGAGAAGAACUCAGGGCAAUGCAUCCUGAUGAUCCUAACGUUGUGAUAAAUGAUAAUGGUUCGUGGCGUGUUAAAGGCUUCAUUACGGUAAUUUUUUGUUUUUCUUUUAAUCAAUUUAGAUAGAGUUAUUGUUUGAUUUGAUAUUGGUUGUAAUGUUUUCUUGUAUAUUGAUUAGGUAAGUAGAGCUAUUGGUGAUGCAUAUCUGAAGAGGUCUGAAUUUACUUUGCGCGAAUCAUUCCCCAAAUUGGAAAUAGUUCCGGAACCCUUUACAAGAGGUGUGCUAUCAGCAGAACCAGAGAUGCAUACUAGAGUUUUAACAGAUAAUGAUAAGUUUAUUAUAUUUGCUUCUGAUGGACUUUGGGAUUUCUUGUCAAAUAAAAAAGCUGCUGAAAUUGUUCAAAAGAAUCCUAGAAAUGUAUGUAUAUAUCUAUAACUUGUUCUUUUCUUGAUUUUUCCAUUCACAUUGAGAAGAAACACGAAGACUUAUUUAGCCUUUAGAAAAUGAAAAUAAGUCUUCGUGUUUUUUGAUUGACGACAAUUUGAGUCUUUACAGUUAUAUUUGCAGGCUUUUAAUUUAAUUAUUCUGUGGUGGAUUUUGCAGGGAAUUGCAAAAAGGCUUCUGAGUACCGCUCUAGCGGUAGCUGCUAAAAGAAGGAAGGUUACCUAUAGGAAGAUUCAGGCCGCUGCUACGGGACGCAACAAUGUGAGCCGGAGGUCUUUUCAUGAUGAUAUAAGUGUGAUUGUGGUGUUCUUGGACAAAACGUCGUUUCCGAGGCAGCCUGUACUUAAUUUGUCCUACACAGGCUCAUCUGACAUGCCUGUACAAUCAGAUUUUGCACAAUUUGGAUUAACCACUUCAAGGCUGCAGUCAUUGAGGCAUCGGAGUCUGAAGGAUAUUAUCCAGUUUGAAUCAGGUUCAUCACAUGCAUCUAGCUCUCAGGGCCCUCGGACUCCUCUGGCUCUGAACCCUCAAACCCUUGAGGGCGAGAGUUCUCGGGCUCAGAGCAAUCGGUAGAAUCUCAAACAGUGGUUUUUCCUCAGUUUUACGUAUCAUGAAAUUUUAAUAAGUGUUCUGGAGUUUGUGACACAAAGGAUUAUGUCUGAUAUGUAGCAAAAAAGCUUGUAUGGUUCUGCUUUGUUUUGGAAAUGAAAGUUCAAAAGUAUUCUGAAAUGUUGCAUAGUGUUUUUACAUUACUCUAAAUUAAAUUUCAUGGUUUCGUUCACUCUUAAUUAAUUUGAUUCAACAUUUGAUUCUACAUGGUAAUAAGGAUAUUCUUAAAUAGCAAGAAGAGAUUGUUGCUAGCUUUUUUAACAAGAAUUUGUUCUAGCUAGCAUUCCUCUUUUCUCAAAUUCAUGUAUAAAUAUUUACAGCAUAGACUAUGAUUGAAUCUCUGUCGACAACUUUGUUACACUAAAGUUAUCAAAUUUCAUAAUGAAUAUGUUUUAAAAAAAAAAUGUGCAUAUGAUGGUAUAUCUAUUUUAACUUAAAAAAACUAAAAUUUUGGAGUAAUCAUAAAUGGGUUUCAGCUAGUAAAGUUGUGGAUUCUAUGUACUCAUAAAUGGCUCUGAACCCUUAAAUUCCUUUGCAUGAAUCAAUAGCCAUGGAUAAUCCAGUUAGUGCUAAAGAUUGUCAAAACUACACAUCUAUUAUAUGGCCUCAAGGGAAUGAUUUUUGUUAUUAAUCAAUAGCCAUGUUAUGUGGUUCCAUUAUAGGGCAUGCUAAAGAUAAUUAGAAUGAUAUAACUGAAGCUACCCAAAUGAUGGGACUCCUUCCCAGACCCUACGUAUGCGGGAGCUUUAAUGUACUGGAUUGCCUUUUUUUGUUUCAUUUGAUAUUGGAUGCCUAGCCACUGAUAGAUAUGAGAUGCCUAGCCACCGAUAGAUAUGAUGCCACACCAUACCAAAAAAAUCACAAUGGAUGAGUAAAUGAUUCGCGGUCUCGGAAGAGCCGCACCCACCAGUACAAGAAGUGUCGUCAAGAGGAAUGAUGCGCUUACGGAGGAGGUUGUCUUAACUGUUAUAUUUAUGAGUUCUCCGGUCCUUUUAUUUAUUGCUCAAUUAUUUAUAUCAAUAUAUAUUAUCCAUAACUCACUAGUCUUCAAUAAAAGGCUAAAUUAAUUCAAUGGUCCCUUAACUAAUUUUUCAGUUUUCAUUUUGGUUCCAUAAAUCUUAAAAUCAUCAAUCUGGUCCCUCAACGUUUGCUCCGUUAUUCAAAAAAGUCUAUUAACUUUAACCUCAAAUAUCUAUGGUGAACCAACCUUAAGAGUGAUCCACCAUAGAUCCUAUUAAUUAUUUUAAUUUAAACUGUUUGAUUUUUUUUUUUAAAUAGGACUGUUAGAUUUUGAAGGUCCAUCAUAUCUAAUAGUGAUCAUCACCAACUAAUUUUUUUCCCUUUCACCGCUCAUUAACAACCCAUCAAAAUAUUCCAUAAACAAAAAAUAAACAUGAACAUCAUUAUCAUAUAAAAAAAUUAAAAUGUUGUGAACUGUAAAAUUUUUGUCACUAACAUUCAGAAUUGUAAGAACUUAAUAGCAGAGAAAGAAAGGAACAAAAUAGAAAUCCAUUUGUGUUAGCAUUGUAUAAUCAAAAACAACACAAAUUAAUAACAAAUGCAACAUCAAUAUUCAAACCCUAAUCCCAAUUUAAAUCCAAAUCCACACAAUUCAUCAAAAAAAUUGGUACUUUUUAAGUUGUGUUUUUUCUUUGGAUUUGUGUUGUGUUGAGAGAAGAAGAGUGAAAGAAUUCUAGAAAAAAAAUUAUGGAGAAGAGUAAGGAAAUCUGGAAAGGAAAAAAAUUGUGUUGUGUCUUUAGAUUUGUAUUUUGGAAAGAAAAAAAAUCUAGAAAUGUUGAUAUAGAUAUGAGGAAGAAGAAGAGAGAAGAUGAUGAAAGUGAAAAAAAUUAUGUGCUGAUGGUUCACUGUUAAAUACAAUGGACAUUCAAUCAAAUGGUUAAAAUCAAAUCAAAAAAUUUAGACAUUAAAAAACUAACAGAGGACACCAAAUUGACUAACGGAGCAAAAGUUGAAGGACCAUAUUGAUGAUUUUAAGACUUAUGGGACCAAAAUGAAAAAUGGAAAUUAGUUGAGGGACCAUUGAAUUAAUUUAGCCUCAAUAAAACUACCUAAUCCUGAAUACUCUGGUCCUCGAUAAAAUAAUUGUUUAAAAAAAAUUAAAACACAUUAAUAUUAUAUUCCUCACCCAUACCAAGAAUUUUAUUGAGUAUACACACUAAUUGUUUUUCAGAAUUAAAUCGAAAAAGGGUCAUAAUUGAAACCCCUUUCUUGAGACGUUUAUUGCUACUUCAAUUGGUAUCAAACACAGUCUCUAAAAAGAAAUUCAAGCACUUAACACGUGCUAGAGGAAAAGAUUUAGGAAGAAGCAAUGUCAAGAGAAAAGUACAUACCAGAAGGCCUGUCUUGUGCAUGGCCUCCGUUUUUCGAGGGAAAAAACUACUACUUCCAGAAAGGAAAAAUGCAACUAUUCAUAAAGUCUUAAGAUAGAGCACGCCCCUUCUGACCACUGUGAAGUAUUUUGAUCGUAUCUAGAGUUCUAGACGUUGGAAUGAGGUCAAACCAACGCCCAAUUAAAUCUAACAUGCAUAUCUACAACUUUCAUGAAUACACCAAAGCCUAAUUAUGAACAUAAAAGUUCCAGUUUUAUUCUUGUUUUGGUUACCGAAAUCUGCGAUUUCCCAUAUGCGAUUUAGCCUUGAUAGACUUUUCCUAACUCCGUUUUCAACCCUAAACUCGCCAAACAUGAUUCUAAUCUUCAAUCCAUGAUUACCCUAUCAUUCAAACACUAAUUCUUCGUUAACCUACCAGAUUAUCCACUCUUUUAAAGACUAAAACUCAAUUCAAAAACUUAAAACUAGUUUUCCUCAAUUCUCAUCUUUCAAUUCGUUCAUUGUUAUUCUCUCAUCAUAACAUCAACAACUUAUUAAAAUUUAAGACAACCCUCCCAUCAUAGAUUAAGAUACCCUAAAGUGCAAAGAUUCUCCCCCGUACUUCGAUGUUUUGCAAAUUGAUGAAUUCAUGCGGUUGAAUCUCUCCUUGACCGUCUCUUUAUGCCUCCUCUCCUCUCUAGUUUUCUUCUAUUGCCUCCGCUAUCUUUUUUCUCUUUUUUGUUGUAUCCCUAAUUCUCUAAUCUCCUCCUCUAUUUAUAACCAUCAAGAGUUUGUUUCUCACUCAAUCUUUUUAACAGGGUUACUAUUCGCACCUCUAUUUUGGUUACUAUUCUUGUUGUAACUUCGCCGCCUUGCUACUCACACCUCCUUAUGCUUAAUUCAUUAAAACACUACUCAUCUCACUAACUACCUCUUUUCUAUCCAAUUUUACCAAACCACCUCGAUCCAUUCGAAAUCUACUUUCUUAUUCUUUCCAAAAACUAUAUUUUCUUCCUAAAUAUUAUUUUCUCCCAGUGUUUAACCCGUCCAUUUUCUCCUUACCUAUUCUCCCAAUGAAUUCAAAUAAUUUAAUUAAUACUAUCUAACAACCAAUACUAAUAAUAACAAUAAUACUAAUGUGUCUUAGAAAAACAAUAAUACUAAUGUUAUCUAAUAAUAAUAUUAAUAAACUAAUAUUAAAAAUCGGGGUGUUACAUUUUUAGUACUUUUCUCUACAUUUGAAAUCAAAUAAGAUGUGAAUUAGAGGAGUUGUCAAUGGUUUGAGAAAAAAGUACAAGAGGGAUGACUAGGCCAAAACCCUCAAAAAACAUAGAAGAAACAACAAAAAAAGAAAAGAAAAAUGAAACAACAAACAGGAAAGAAAAAAAGGAAACACCUAACUACUGAAAUGAGAGCGAGGGAACCCACUCCGGUCCAAAAAGAAGUCAGUCUGAAGAGUCUGAGGCAAUACCGAGAACCAAGUUGUGCCUUGUAUCGAAUGACCCAUAUUAGCAAGUAAAUCGACGCUCGUCGAGUCAUUCCAAUAACGAAAAUUCAUUGAUCACCUGAGUCCGGGGUAUCACCAACUCCUCCCGCGAUUCAAAGUUUACUUGUUCCACAUAUCCAAAAGCACGACAGCGUGCACAUCAUCAGGGGAAGCUAACUCCAAUACUGGGUGCAAAGGCAAAGAGCCUUGGGGGAUCUCCUCAGACACACAGGGGGUGUCUGAGCUAGUGUUGGAGCCGCAUAAGUAGAACAAUCAAUAGUAGUCGAAUUGAUUUAUGGCUCGGUAGGUUUAGGUGCUGCAAAUGCAAUGGAUGAACCUAUACCAUAGGGGUUCUCUUUAAUAUGCACCCACUGAGGUUUCUUGGUUGGUAUCUGCAUCUUCCCUUUUGCAACUUUAUCCUUAGACAUGUCUUCCUUCCUAGGGUACAACCAACGACAGUUUGUAACAUCAUGUCCAAGUGUCUGACAAUGCGAACAAAAAUCUGGAAUCCGUUCAUAAACCACCUUCCCGUUCGACGAGAAUUUCGUGAAAAAUCUUUUUGGAAAAUUCAAUGUCGACUAUAUUACGUGCAUAGUGUCCAAAAAGUCUUUUCAAGGUUCCAUCCAAUAUUCUUGUGGCAGUGCCAUGAAUCGGAUCCAUACUUGCGCAUGUGUAUUUCUCUGAUUAUGCAUAUCAAAAUCUAUUGACCAUUCAAAUAAUCGUAACACCCUCGGCUUCAAGUUCACAGUUCCCAUUGCCCAAACAAUUUGCAAAUAUUCAAUGGCAAAAAAGAAUUCAUAAAAGCCCCUACCUAAAGAUAGCAACGUCCAAGGUGCAGCAGUCUUCCAUUGUUUCCGAAGCUUGUCUUCAAUUUCCUUCGACGCAUAGGGUUUAUCUCCUUUUUGUUUAGAACCAACCUUCCACGAAGGUUUCUCUUACACACAUUGACCCCUGUGUUCAUAAAUUGGCCGAGUAAUACGAAUAGAGAGAGUCUCACCACGGAUUGUAGGUUGUGGCAGAUUGCCGUAGGUAGCUUUGCCGUGCGAUGCGACAAGUGCUUGUGCAAAGGACCGCGACGGUGGUUGUGGUGCUGGAACCGCCGUUGUGGAGGGCAGUGCCAUGAGAGAUGGUGCAGCUUUGGAGGGCGCAGCUGUCGGCAAUAACAACUCUGCCUGCCAAUCGAACGGCCUAGCAGAAAGUCUUGAAAGAGCACCGAAUAGCACUUCAGUUAAUCACCAAUUGGAAAAUAGUGACCACCGAAUUUGUACAGUUUAACAAAUCAAAAGUUAAAGAAACUAGCACUCCCAAAGAAUUUGAAAGACCACGUAAAGUGAAUUCAAGGAUGCUAAAUAUGGUAAAUAUUCCAAUUGUAAACAAUCAGAGGUCAGCACCGAACAAUAAUAACAAGUAGCAAUGGAAAUGGAUGGAGAAUUAAAAUCAAUUUUACAAAAGAAGGGGGGCUCUUACACACAUCAAAUAAGCAAUUAAAUCAAUAUAAUAAAUAAAUAAAGGGCUAUGCUAUAUGUAGCGACAAAAAGUCUCGCGAAUAUCCCACGAAUUAUGUUUUAUAAGCUUUUGCCGUUUUCCAUUUCACAGUUAUUACUCUCUACCUUUUUUUUUCCACUCAAAACUUGGUCACCAACUACAUAUGAAGACACAUGAAGGCAGAAGCAAACACUGUAUGCUCAGAAAAAGACAAUAAGCAAAGGCAACUUUGUCACGUCUCUAAACUUUGGUAAUUGAAGAGAACCAAUAAAAUAAUACAAUGAAGAGAAUCUGGAGAUGGAGUGGAACAGUUUGAAACAAGGGGAGAGAUAAAUGGUAUCACCAAAAAGAGAUAAAACAAGGAAAUCACCGCUUUUGAGCUUUUCUCGUGUGAUAUUCGUGAAACUUUUGUCGCGAUGUUAAGCAUUUUCCAUAAAUAAAUAAUCAUAGAGAAAAUCGGGGUGUUACAUUUCAUAGUCAUUAAUUGAUGUGACAACACAUCAUUAGUCCGGUACAUGAGGUACAACCACUUCUUACUUUGGCGUCUGGUUUCCCUAAUGUAAAAAAUAUUGUAGCUGGUCCAGACGAUCCGGUGUUGCAAAAGGAAUUAGAUUCGAUCAAUCAUUUUUUAUUGAACAGCACCACCGCAGAUAUCCCCUUUACUCCUCACUUAACAAAGGUGCAAAAGAAGAAAGAAAACCAAGCAAACAAGGUGACUUAUGCAACCCGUUCUCAUGGUCCACUCCCGACCUCUCAAUGAUCUCUACUUGAAUUUGUGAUUUUGCGGUUGGUAUUUGGACGAGGCUUGGGGCUCAAAUUGGUCUGACACUCUUCCAUCGUCGUUGUCAUUAGACUUCUUUAGGGAUCGACAUGGCCUUCCUAAUUUUUUAUUUCCCUAGGUUGUCUGUUUUCUUUUUCUUUCUCGCUUUUUUUGUUGUUGAGGGUUUUGGUCUAGUGCCCCUUUAUAUUUCUUUUUCCCUUUUCAAUAAUAUAUAUGGAGUAGGCGGUAGAGGAUGGGAGUUCCGGUUGGAUGCCAACCUGAUUGGGAUGUUUCCGACCUCCUUAAUGCCUAACCUAUUUCUUGACUUAUAAAAAAAAGAUACACCGAUGAAAUAUACUAAUUGAAUUUUUAUAAUAAUGUAAUAUUAAACUUGGUUUCAAAUUUUACUAGAAAUGUAAGUGCGUAUUAGUUAAUAUCAUAUUUUUUAUAUGUAAAACAUUUGAGUAUUUAUUAGUGAACUCAUUCAUUUCACUCUCUUUUACUUAUGUAGAAAAAAGAUGACAAACAAAUUAAUGGCAUUAUAGAAGACAAACAAAAAACUCAUUAUAGAAAUUAAUGGCAUCCAUCCGUAUUAUUGCAAAUUAAACAGAAUUACAAAGGGUGAUGGAAGCAAAAGAUGGUGCAAACUAAAGUGAUUGAACGAGCCAUAUAAGAGACUUUGCUUCGAAGAAGAAAAUAGAACUAGUUGAAACUUGUUGAACCGUUGAAGUGAAAUGCAAAUGGAGAUAGUGUCUUAAAUAGAGUAAUAGAAUUUUUUUUCCUAUCAAAAAUAGGGUAAUUUAUUUAUUUAUUUAUGGAAUAAAGCUUCUUUUCUAUUUUUUAUAAAGACAUAAGAGAUGAUAAUAAAUGUUCCCUUGUUGUUUGCCAAUGAAUGAGUAUUUUAUGCGUACUAGAUUUAAUACUAGUGCACAUGUGAAUAACAUGAUAAUUUUUGUAUUUUAGUAUGAUUUUUUUAUUUUGCAUGUGUUUAAAAUUUAUACUAUAUUAAUAUACAAUUACAACUUUUUUAUAUAAAUAAGUGUAAAUAUAUUAACUUGAAGUAUCUGUGCUAGAGAAAGUAUUUUGGCACACGUCAAAGGACCUCUUCCAAACAUCUUAAUGCUCUUACUUAGAUCACAAGCCUACGUUACCAAGCUCUGCUCGUGCUAGAGAAGGUUUUGAAUAAGUGAUUUCCAAUUAUUAAUAUAAAAUGUGAUUUUGAGUGAUGCCAAUCAUUCCACGUCGUUUUUAACCAAUUCACUCAUGCUUCACUCCAAUGGUAUAACUUUUUAGAGUCCAAAUAUAUUUUUACCAAUUACAUCAUUUAAAUAUUUUUAUUGUUAUUUUUAUUUUGUUAAUUUAAUAUUUUUUUAUCAAUUAAUAUAUUUUUCAAGUUAAUAAUAAAUUAAUUUCACCAUCAACUAUUUUGUAUAUAUUACCUUUUAAGUGCUAUGUUAGAUCUUGUAAAAAAAAAGUGCUAUGUUAGAUGGAAAUCAAACUAUUUUUUGAUUUUUUAUUGUUUAUGAGAUUUUAGGUUAUUUGAAUUAAUUUUUAUAGAAUUAAGUUUAGUUUUCAUUGAGAUAGCUGAUUGAUAAUCAAUAUUUAAUAUCUUAGUCAUCAUCCAUUCGUGAAAUGACAUUUUUACCCCUGUCUUCAUCUUCUUCUCAUGAUAAAGACGAGGGUAUUUUUGUCCAUUCCCAUGCAAUUUUGCUAAUUUUAUGACGUGCGAGUGAUUAAGUUGGUCAAAGGACGAAAUUUUAAAUGAUUAAACAAUGCAAGGGUAAAUUGCCAGGAUUAGCGAUUACAGAGACUAAUUUUUAAAUGGGUUUGUCUAACAUGUGCAAUAUUGCACAUGAUAAGGUAACUAAAAGUAGCAAAUUUUUAUUGAAACCAACAAUUAUUUAACAAAAAGUUAUAUAUUUAAUACAAAAUGUUCAAGUUCCAAUGCAAAUUUACUAUUUUAAAUUUCUUAACAUGUGCAAAUUUGCACAUGAUAGAAAAACCCUUUUUAAAUUACGUCUAAUUACAAGGACAAACACAUCAUUAAGCCUUUUGAAAUUUAUGUACAACAUAAAGGUAUUGAUCAUUUUUGCAAUUUAUCAUUUGUUAACUUCCCUAUAGUUCUAUUUGCAUGUACACAGCCAAACCGUCCUCGUGAGAUUAACUCAGUUGAUAGGAACAAAGCAUAACAUAUGCAAGUUCUGGGGUUCAAACCUCGAUCACCAUAAAAAAUAUCAAUUACCAAACAGAACUAUAGGAAAGUCCCUUAACCUUUGUAAAAGUGAUUUUGGCGAAAAAAAAUAAAAAGUGAUUUUGGUUAUAAUAAAUAGCAUUUCAAUAUUAAAAAUAAAAAGUGAUUUUGGCGAAAAAAAAGGCAAUGGUAGUGUCAUUAUUGAUUUUUCGUUUUUAAAGCGUUCGUGGUAUAUGGUAUUUCUCAAAUCUCAAUGAUAAGUCAACUUUGUUUUUUUUUUUUUUUUUGCUAAUAAUGAUCAAAUACAUUUAUAUUGUGCAUUAAAAUGUCAUCAUGAAACUUAGCUCAAUUGGUAGGGACAAUGCAUAAUAUAUGCACGGUUCGAGAUUCACACCCUGGCCACCACAAAAAAAAAAUUAUGCGUUAAAAUAUACCUAUACAUAAGUUUAAAAAAUAAAAUAAAUCAUCAAUUAAUUUAAGCAUGCUUCACAAUUCAUUACGUACAAAUGAAGAAAAAAAUAUCUGAAUAUCCAAUCUAUACGCUCAAAAUAUACGACAUUCCUUAGUUUUGAUUUUGAAAGUUAUUUUCAGUUUCACUUUAAUCCCUUAAAUUUUUUUAGUUUUAUUUUUGUCCCUUAACUAGUAAAUGUUAAACAAUUUUGUCCCUUAACCCUUUUAGGUUCUAUUUUUGUCUCUUAAAUUACAAACACAAUGCUUGAGAAAAAAAGAACAUAAGGUACAAAAUUAUUAGCUUUUGUAAUUUAAGAUACCAAAAUGCAACAAAAAAAAAAUUAAACGAAAAAAACAUAGAGAUCAAUGUGUCUAUGGUUUUUAAACAAAACAAAAAAAAAUAAAGGGAAGUAAGUAAAAUCUAAAAAUAACUUAAUGCAUCAAAAAUUUAAUUUAGCUUCGAAUAAACCUUGAAAUUUUUUUAAAUUUUUUUUUUAUCAAACAUUUGUCAAAAAAAAAAAAAAAAAAAAAACUUUAUCAAACCAUUUGGGUAUCAAUGAAGGUCUACAAAGACAACCUCAAAAACUCUAAUUAUAAAAGGAAAACAUAAAAAAUGAUUAAAAUAUAAGAUAUCACAAUAAAUGAUAUUUAAGAAUAUGAGAAUAUUGUAUGAGAGAUGAUGGUUCCAUCACCUUUUGUAAUUAUGUUUAAUUAGCAAUAAUACAUAUGGAUGCUAUUAAUUUCUAUAAUGAGUUUUUUGUUUGUCUUCUUUUACUACAUAUGUCAUUUUUAUUGAAAUAUAAACAAAUAGGUCCAAAAAAUUAUAUGUGUUUGUCUAAAUUUCAUGCCAAAUACACUAUAAAAUUGUUUAUCUAACCAUUACCGAGAGUUUUUUUUUUGGUACAACCAUUACCAAGAGUUUUAUUCUUGAGUGUAUAAACUUAAUUAGGGUUAAGAGUUUUGAUUUAUUGUGCAAAUAAGAUUGGUUUGUCUGAUUUAGAUGGUUGACAAUGAUUAAAGGGUCCGUUUGUUACGAAUUAAAAUAAAAGGAAUUUUUACAUAUAAUAAUUUAGAGAUUAUAUUUUAGACCAUUUGUUAUAGCUUUUUUCAGAAGAAAAAAUAAUAAUUUAAAAAAAAAACACAACAAGAAAAAAUGCAUUUUGCGACUUUUAAAAUGACAGAUUGUGACUGUUAGAAGGGUCGCAAAUGUACAUUUGCGACUGUUCUCCAACAGACGCGGAUGUUGGGGUCGCAACUGUCUUUUGCGAUAGUUCAACGAACAGCCGCAAAAGGUAUUGCGACAGUUCCAAACAGUCGCAAAUGUAGAGCUUUCACUAGGUUUUGAAGGGACUUGCGACCCUUCACAACUGUCGCAAGGCAGGCACUUUAAUUUAAUUUAAAUGGGCUUGCGACCCUUCACAACAGUCGCAAAUGUUUAGUUUUUUUUUAAAAAAAAUAUAAAAUUAAAUGGUGCAAUUUUUGUUGACGAUAAUUCUUUGUUACCCAUCUCACUAUGGUGGGUAUUUGUACCCAUGACAUUUUAAGUCGGUUAAAAUGUUAACUGACGUCAUAAGAUUUUUUUUUUUAAUUUUUUUUUAGAAACGAGAUUUUCUUUGAUACCAGAGUUUUAGCAGAAUGCGGAAGACUUUUUCUAUAGAAAAAUUUAAAAUCUUUUGUCUAGUUUUUCGAGUUGUAGAGACAACUUGAGCUUUGUAAUUUAUUUAUCUCUUUUUGUUCUGAGAUUUCAAAAUCUCUUUUGGGUGGUGUUACUCUAAGGCUUUAAUCCAUGAUCGAUGGUUUUUCUGUUUCUUCAAAUAUAUAUUUCUCAGCUUCUAUCAAGGAAAAACUAUUUCUUGCUAAAUUUCUAAAUAUAGGUGACUUUAGGGUAACUAAAGGUGUAAAUAAUUCAUCAAUAUGAAUUGUAUUUUUUCCUAUAAAUUCUAUGCUAUGGUGUGAAUUACUCAAAGAAUAAUUAAUUCUAUUACAUAUUGUAAAAGGAUGAUUACCCUUUUUCAUAAAAUUCGAGUUUUCCAACUUAUAAUGAAAAACUAUAGAUCUAUCUAGAUCUUUAUCUUUUUGGGAUAAUCCCAUUUGUAAAUUUAUAUCAAAUUUUAUUUUUCCAUAUUUUAAAUUACACUUUACGUGUGCAAUUGUUGCUUGUCUUUUGUCUAAAAUCCUAGAGUCUUCUAGGGCUAUUUCUAGAGGUGAAUCAAUACAUUUCAUAAAGAUACUUUUGAUUAAAAUUUGAAUAAUUGAUAUAUGAAUAUAACCACUUUUUCUUUUUUCUUUUUCAGAAAAUGUUUCAAUUCUUUUUUCAAUUUGAGUUUUUUGUAUGGUAGAUAUGAAUAUAUUUCCUUGAGUAUUUGCAAUUGAAAUUUCUUCUUCUUCUAUCAUUAUUCCAAAUUUCAAAAUAUUUUUUCUUGAGAAAAAUUCUUUGAAUUUAUUAAACUUUCUUUUGAAAUUUUCUUCAGCAGUUAAAGAUAAAUCUGAUUCUUCUAUCUUAUUAUCUAUUAUGUCAUCAGCAUAAUAACUAGAUGUUCCUUCAAAGUAUGAAACCUCGGUCAUAUUCUAUGUUGUUUAUUAUGUCAAUACUAUGAUACUGAAAAGUAAAUUUUGAAUUUAAUAAAGAUAUAUUCAUACCUGAUUUGAUUUUCUUUGAGAUUUUGUUGAUAUUUUUGGUUUCAUUGUAGUUAGAUAUAAUAAUACCCUGUUUUUCCAAUUUUAACUUCCCUAUGCCCAAAUUUGAUCCAAAAACUUUUCUAACCAUUUCUAUACAUGUUAAGGCACUCAAAACCAUAUAAAACAUUGCACUAAAAAUAACUCAUGAUCUGAACAUCACUUCUACCAAAUUCAACGGAUUUUCUACUCUAUUAACAACCAAUUACAACUUCAAAACCUAAUUCUCAAAUUCUCAUAACUACAACCUACAACAUGCAAAAUUCAAUUUCAGAAUUAUACAACGUAGAAUUAGAGAAAGUUAGUCCCACCCUUACAAAAUAUAAUCAUUCGAAGAUUAUAUCUAGCUACAACGAAACCAAAAAUAUCAACAAAAUCUCAAAGAAGAUCAAAUCAGGUAUGAAUAUAUCUUUAUUAAAUUCAAAAUUUACUUUUCAGUAUCAUAGUAUUUACAUAAUAAACAUUAUAGAAUAUGACUGAGGUUUCAUACUUUGAAGGAACGUCUAGUUAUUAUGUUGAUGACAUAAUAGAUAAUAAGAUAGAAGAAGCAGAUUUAUCUUUAACAGCUGAAGAAAAUUUCAAAAGAAAGUUUAAUAAAUUCCACUACUACAAAAAUGGGCUUAUAUAGCGCUUUUUUUUUUACUUUAGCUAGCGCUUUGUAAGCGCUACUGUAAAUGGCGCUGGUAAAGGUAAUAUAGCGCUUUUUUCUUGUAUAAAGCGCUAUCUAAAGCGCUAUCUCAGUAUAAAGCGUUAUCUCAGUAUAAAGGUAAUAUAGCGCUUUUUUCUUGUAUAUAGCGCUUUUUGUCAAAAAACGCUGGCAAAGAUUCUCCUUAGAUAGCGCUUUCAUUAAUAAGCGCCAUCUAAAAGGGGUUUAAAAUAACGCAUACACUUGUAGAAAACAGCGUUUUUGUUUAAAAACGCUAUGUAACACUAGGUUUAGAUAACGCUUUAUACUGAGAAAAAGCGCUAGGAAAAGCAUUAAUUUUUUUUUUGACAGAUUUUUUUUAAUUUUUAAUUUUUUUUUGUCAGAUUUUUUUUUAAUUUUUACGGAUAGCAUUUUUUUAUUAAUUUAAAGUAAUAUAUAUAUACACACAUACAUUUAUAUAUAUAAUUUUUCUAAAGGAAAUAUAUAUAUUUUUGGCAUAUUAAAAUUGAGACUAUUAUUUAUCAAAUAAAACUUAAACACAUCACAAAAAAAAUUAUGUAUAUAUAGCAUAAAAGUCAGAAAUGUAUAGCCACUAAUAUGGUAACAUAAUAUGGUAACAUGGAUAUCUCUAAGUUACAACUAAUUAGUUAACAUAAAGAUAAAAAAUCUUCUAUGGUAGCAUGCAGACUUGAUAAAUCUUCUUGGUCGUCUCAACAUUGUUAUCCAAAACAAGCAGGCCAAUCAUUAUUCAUUUCCAAAUACAGCUAACUUUCUCCACCUGAAUAUAUAACAAAAAACACCAUUAAACAAUAAACAAUAACACUAUAUUAUAUUAGAGGAAAAUUCAAAAUACUACUCAUCGUUUCUCUAUUUUCAUUCAUCUAGAUCUUUCUCUCUAUGCAAUUAGAAAUAUAUAUACAAUACACAAAGCAUAGUUAGUUCUAGCUUAGAUUUUUUUUUAACAAGCAAAAAUGAGAUAUAUUAACACGGACACCGUAAUUGUUACCGCACAAGAUGUGCCAAAACAAUCACGGAAAAUGUCAAGGUCCAACCAAAUCAGUCAAUACCCAGACAUGAAAGCGGGUUCGACCACCAAUGAUGAGUACCAAAACUAAAUACAACGUUACACGCUUUUAACCACCACAAAGAAGUUGAUUAAAGAUAAUGGCUAUUUAGUCAUAUUAAAGAUAUGAUAUACAUACUGUGUGCUCAUAAUUCAAUGAUGUGUGAAGCUGACACAUAUUAAGAUAUGAUAACUAUACUUUUCCCUACCUUAAAAAAAACUAUACCUUUUGCUUAGUUGGAGGGUUAUUUCAUUAAUAAUCACAUAAUUAAUUUGUUUCUUUCCUGUGUAGUUGUUUCUCUUCCCACUAAAUUUGGAUAGUAACAAAUAUAGCUAGUUCCCUAGUUGUAGAACACAAUUUAUAAUUGACGUGUUAGGUGUGGCCAAUAAGUGAAAACUAAUGAAGAUAUAGUACCAAGUUACUAACCAUCUUUUGGUUUUGUAGCACGUGUGCUAACAGUACUGUAACUGAUAUGUGCAUACAACAAAAAAAAGGGGGGAAAAGGGGACUGAAUUGUCAUACAUAAACGAAUGAAGAAACCUAACAAUGAGAAGAGAAAAACCUCUAUUGUGGCAGCAAGGACAAAUACUACGUACUAGAGUUAAAUUGAAAUGGUUCCAACGACCUGUUCAAAUUUCAAUCUAAUAUCUACUUGACAAUUCAGGUUAACUCAUGAUCACAAGAGAAAAAUCUGCAUGCUAAUAAAGAAGCUACUAAUAUAAAUACUUUGCUUUGGCAUCAAGAAGUCAAGAGAGAUACAACAACAUAUUAUAUAAUAAUUUAAAACCUUUUUAUUUUUAUUUUUAUAAUAAGCUAUAAUAUAAAACCUAUUACUUAUCAAGCUAUAAUAUAAUAAACUGCAACUUAAAACAACUUAAAACAUGUAUUCUAAAUUCAAAUCAUUUAGUCCUAAUUUGAAAUCACUAAAAACAGAGACCCCAAGACAUGUUUGAUUUCAAUGUCAUUAAUAAUUAGUUAAUUGCAGUAAGAAUUGAUAGAGAACAUGCUUUCAAUUUUACCACAGUAUAAGAGUUUGCAGAGUAACGACAAAGACAAAUUAAAACCAAUUAAAGGACUGAAUACAUUGAAUUGAAGAUUACAAUAGAAGACCAAUCACAGUGCAAGAUCAAGACAUUUACCUAAGAAUAAGAUACGACUUUGUCCACUUCAACAACAGGACAGGAGAUUGCGGUUUGUGAUUUCCAACUGCAAAUACAAUUGCAUUAGUCACACUUGUAAUUUUCUACAAUAUAUCAAUAAUCACAACACCAACUAAAUUGAAGAAAAAUACCAAAUGGGUUAGUUUUAUUCCAUCUACGCAAACUUCAGACUAACCUGAUAAGAGGAGGCUUCGACGAGGGAAUCGAACCAAUAACAACGACGAUGGCUUGACGGCGGUGGCCAGAGACACUGAGAUUAGCGUGAGAAGUGAUGAGCAUAGGGAAUCAAUCAGAGAAGAUGGGUUUGAGGGGUUUGACGGUUGAAUCGAUGGGUUUGGGGGAAACCAGUCAUGAACCAACCAAGCAUAAAAGCAAUCGAUGAGAAAGAUUCAAAGAGGUAAUCAAUGGGCUUUUAGGGAGGAAUCAAUGGUCGGCGAUUGAUGGUUUGCACAAAUGGGUAGGCGAUCAGAUUCAAAGAGGAGAUGGGUUAAUUUGUUUGAUUUCACAAGAGAAUUUGGAAUUAAUAUUGGGGAACGUGAAGGAAGGAGUAGUUUUCUUUUUUUGUUUUGUUUUAAGACUUUCAAUGAAAUAAAUAAUUUUAUUUUUAAUAAUUUAAAUUAAAAAAAGUUUUUAAUUCAUUUAGGGAAGAAAAAAACGAAAAAUAUUAGAGAGGGGAUCGAACAAGGGACCAAGAGCUUGUUGGUGGUUGUUGUAUGCCACUUUGAAAAUCAAUUUAUUUCAUAAGAAGCGCUUUUUUUAAAUCAAUAAACGCUAUGUUUGUAGUAUCAACUAUAGCGCUUUAAAAGCGCUGUUUAAAAGUGAAUCAUAAAUAGCGCUUUCUAUAUUAAGCGCUAUCUAAGGUUAAUUGUUCAAUUAUUUUAUAUUUAAUAUUUUUUUAAGAAUUCUACGUUAGCGCUUUUGACACAAAACGCUAUAAUCAGUUUGCCUCAUAAAUAGCGUUUUUUUUAUAAAAGCGCUAUCUAAGCCCUCCGUGUUUCCUUAUAUAGCGCUUUAGUGUUAUAAGCGCUGCUAAAUGAGCGCUAUUUUUUCCCCAUUUUGUAGUAGUGUUCAAAGAAUUUUUCUCAAGAAAAAAUAUUUUGAAAUUUGGAAUAAUGAUAGGAGAAGAAGCAAUUUCAAUUGAAAACACUCAAGGAAAUAUAGUCAUAUCUACCAUACAUAAAACUCAAAUUGAAAAAAGAAUUGAAACAUUUUCUGAAAAAGAAAAAAGCAAAAUUGGUUAUAUUCAUAUAUCAACUAUUCAAAUUUUAAUCAAAAGUACCUUUAUGAAAGGUAUUGAUUCACCUCUAGAAAUAGCGCUAGAAGACUCUACGAUUUUAGACAAAAGACAAGCAAAAAUUGCACAAGUAAAAUGUAAUUUAAAAUAUGGAAAAAUAAAAUUUGAUAUAAAUUUACAAAUAAGAUAUCCCUAAAAGAUAAACAUCUAGAUAAAUCUAUAGUUUUUCAUUAUAAGUUGGUAAACUCGAAUUUUAUAAAAAAGGGUAAUCAUCCUUUUACAAUCUGUUAUAAAAUUAAUUAUGCUUUGAGUAAUUCACACCAUAGCAUAGAAUUUACACCAUAGAAUUUAUAGGAAAAAAUACAAUUCAUAUUGAUGAAUUAUUUAAACCUUUAGUUAUCCUAAAGUCACGUAUAUAUAGAAAUUUAGCAAGAAAUAGCUUUUCCUUGAUAGAAGCUGAGAAAUAUCUAUUCGAAGAAACAUAAAAACCAUUGAUCAGGAAUUAGAGCCUUAGAGUAACACCACCCAAAAGAGAUUUUGAAAUCUCAGAACAAAAAGAGAUAAAUAAAUUACAAAGCUCAAGUUAUCUCUACAACUCAAAAAACUAAACAAAAGAAUUUAAAUUUGUCUAUAGAAAAAGUCUUCCGCACUCUGCUAAAACUCUGGUAUCAGAGCAAACCUUGUUCCUAAAUAAAUAAAUAAAUAAAUUAAAAAAAUAAAAAUAAAAAUAAAAAAAUCUUAUGACGUCAGUUAACAUUUUAACCGACUUAAAAGGUCAUGGGUACAAAUACCCACCAUAGCGAGAUGGGUACACAAGUUGUCACCUAAACAAAUAUAUUAAUGAGUACUUAAAAUACAGAAAUAUAUAACUAAAAAUAUCUAAAUCCCAUUCAUAUGAAUCCACAAAAAUGUUACAAAUCAAACAAGGAAAACAUAAGAUUUUAUGAAACAGACUCCCAUCUUUAAGAUCUUUAUCAGUUGAGUAUCUUAACUUCGUGAGAGUUUCUGCCACACACACUGCUACAUAAACCUUAUUUGCAAACUUGUAGCAGAAUCGACUAAUACUCAACCGUUGUAACCCUCCAAUAUAACCUACAAAAAACAUCUUAUUUAAUCAAUCAAUGGUCAUCAUCUCUAUUAUCUUUAUAAAUCAAUAUGAAAUUCCAAUCAAUUGAUAUGAAACACACUGAACAUAUUGCCUAAAGACAUAGAACUCUUAGCAAUACUAAUAGCCAUACAUCCAUGAAUAUUUUACAUCUAUUUUUAUUUCUAUUGUUUGUUUCUGAACACAGAAGUAGCAUAGACCCAAAAAAUAAAUCAAACUACAGCCACCGUAAUUACGCCUAUUGAUCACCCCACAACCUGCUGGACCUAUGACAGCCCUCACGCAACAAAGAAAAAACUGCAUUGCACAUCAAGUAAAAACACAGCCUACAGACCCACAAAAACCCGCAAAACCUCCAACACAAUAGGCAGCAACCGUAGCGCAACAAAACACAACACCUAUCACAGUCCUCUAGUAGUCUAGUGUCGUAAUUUGCAGUUUUUCUUGUAGUUAAAUAAUAAAUAAAAGUUUUGUAUCCGUUUGUUAAAACUUUUUAAAAAAUAAGAAUCUAAAAACAGCUUUAAAUGAGAAGGUGUUAAGAGCAACUUCACAAAAAGUAGAUUUUUUCAGAGGAGAGAGAAAAUAUUAUUUAAAAGAUUAAACUAAUUUUGUAACAAAAAUCCCUUUUAUAUAUAGUUAUCCAAACAAAUUGAAUUAUUUGUUUAAAAAAAUGAUUUUUAUUAUAUAUUCUGAUUUUUCAUUUUUUUUUAGGGAAGAUUCUGAUUUUUCAUAAAUCUCUAAAUUGUUUUAUUUUAAUCCGUAACAAAUGGGCUGUUAAUUUGUUUUGAUACAAAUAUAAAAAAGAGAUUUUUCGUUACAAAAUUAGUUCAAUUUUUAAAACCAUAUUUUCUCUCACCUCUAAAUAAAUCUAUUUUUCUAGAAGCUGCACUUAACAGCUUCUCAUUUGAAACUAUUUUUAGAUUUUUUUUUUUCAAUUUCUAAUUUUUUUUAAAAGUUGUAACAAACGGAUGCAAAACUCUUAAAAAUAAUUUUUUUAAAAAUGAUUUUUUCUUAAAAAAAAACUAUAACAAACGGGGUUUAAGAUUCUUUGAAUAUCAUCUAUCUUUUUAUUGGGUUAAUAUAAGUUUCCUACUAAUUAUUAUAUAAAAGAAUCCUUAUAGAAGAGAAAUAUUAACCAUUCAUGUUACUAUUGCAUCGGAUGAGCGGAGUUUCUAAAAAUUAAAAUUGUUAAUAUCUUAUUUGUGAUCUAUAGUUUUUAGUUUUCAUAAACAAGUAUUUAUGUAAUAAAAGAAUUCAAGUGACUUAUUUUUUUUUAAUGGUAAAUGUUAGUAUUUAGAAGUUAUGUAGUAUUUUUGUCUCCUUUGCCAUGAUUCAAACAUGGACCUUUUAUACCUUAACUCCUUUAAUCCCAAGUGAGCCAUUCAUCUCCCAUUGACUCAUACUUUCAUGAUAGGAAAAUAAUUAGAAAUUAAAGAAAAUGAAGGAAGAAAAAUUAAGGUCCAAAACUUUCAUACGCUAUAAUAACAUAAAAGUUCUGUUAAAUCAUUCCCUUCAAUCAAAUCAUCCUACGAAGCACGAACACUCCUCCAAUUAGGCGUGUCGUGCCCGACACCGACACUUAUAUUUACACUAAAAAUGUGACUUUUUCAAAUUAUUAGCUGUGUCGGCGUGUCAGUGUCCGUGUCCGUGUCGUGUCCGGUGUCCGUGUUCGUAUCCGUGCUUCAUAGAAAUCAUCUUAUGUAGAAAUGUGUGGUCAAUAUAUCACAUAGAAACGUUUCCUUCAAUUUUCCUUUUCCCGCCAAUUCAUAAUAUUGCAAUGACAAAGUUAGUUAAAUUCUGUUAGGUUUCUGUUUAGAAUAUUUAGUUUUCUGUUGUCAGUUGGUUGAUAUACACACACACACACACACACAUACAUAUAUACAUAGAAUAUUCAUUCCUAAUCACAUUCACAAUUUUUCAUACUUUAAAUCAUCAUUCACAAUCAAGAUCACUCUAUUUUUCUUUUCCAAUCACAUUUUCUUUUCCUUCAAAGAUGCAUUCUUGGCUUGAAAAUAUAGUUAAUCUAUACAGGAACAUGAGGAAUGACAACUUUGCUUUAUUCGACGAAGACCCUCUCGGGAGAUCGAUUAAUCUCCAAAGCCAUUGCUAUGGAGAAUUUUCCAGUGCUGUUGUUCAAGCCAAUACUACUAUGGAAGAUCAAAGCCAAAUUGAAGUUGCCUCUAACAAUGCAGUCUUUCUUGGAAUUUACGAUGGCCAUGGUGGCACCCAAGCUUCCCGGUUCAUCUGUGAACAUCUCUUCAAAAAUCUAUUGAGUGAGUAUCUUUCUUUGAUAAAAAAGUUUAUUUCUUUUUAUUAAUCUUUGAACUUUUUUAAUUGGUUUGAGAAUUAACGGUAUUUUUAUUUUAUGUUAUGUGUUUACAUUAUAGGGUUUGCUAAUGAUAAUGAAAGUACUUCUUUGAUAAAAAAGUUUAUUUCUUUUUAUUAAUCUGUGAACUUUUUUUAUUGGUUUGAGAAUUAACGGUAUUUUUCUUUUAUGUUAUGUGUUUACAUUAUAGGGUUUGCUAAUGAUAAUGAGAAUGAUAUAACUGAAGCUACCCUGAGAAAUGCUGUUUCUGCUACUGAAGAGGGUUUUUUGGAUUUUGCAAAAAUGAAUUAUAUGCAUCAGCCAAAUCUUGGAUAUGUUGGUUCAUGCUGUCUUGCUGGAAUUAUAUGGAAAGAGACACUACAUGUUGCAAAUCUUGGAGAUUCGCGGGUUGUAAUUGGUACUAUGGUUAAUAAAAAGAUCCGUGCUGAGCAGUUAACAAGAGAUCACAAUUGUAAUGAUGAAGCUAUUAGAGAAGAACUCAGGGCAAUGCAUCCUGAUGAUCCUAACGUUGUGAUAAAUGAUAAUGGUUCGUGGCGUGUUAAAGGCUUCAUUACGGUAAUUUUUUGUUUUUCUUUUAAUCAAUUUAGAUAGAGUUAUUGUUUGAUUUGAUAUUGGUUGUAAUGUUUUCUUGUAUAUUGAUUAGGUAAGUAGAGCUAUUGGUGAUGCAUAUCUGAAGAGGUCUGAAUUUACUUUGCGCGAAUCAUUCCCCAAAUUGGAAAUAGUUCCGGAACCCUUUACAAGAGGUGUGCUAUCAGCAGAACCAGAGAUGCAUACUAGAGUUUUAACAGAUAAUGAUCAGUUUAUUAUAUUUGCUUCUGAUGGACUUUGGGAUUUCUUGUCAAAUAAAAAAGCUGCUGAAAUUGUUCAAAAGAAUCCUAGAAAUGUAUGUAUAUAUCUAUAACUUGUUCUUUUCUUGAUUUUUCCAUUCACAUUGAGAAGAAACACGAAGACUUAUUUAGCCUUUAGAAAAUGAAAAUAAGUCUUCGUGUUUUUUGAUUGACGACAAUUUGAGUCUUUACAGUUAUAUUUGCAGGCUUUUAAUUUAAUUAUUCUGUGGUGGAUUUUGCAGGGAAUUGCGAAAAGGCUUCUGAGUACCGCUCUAGCGGUAGCUGCUAAAAGAAGGAAGGUUACCUAUAGGAAGAUUCAGGCCGCUGCUACGGGACGCAACAAUGUGAGCCGGAGGUCUUUUCAUGAUGAUAUAAGUGUGAUUGUGGUGUUCUUGGACAAAACGUCGUUUCCGAGGCAGCCUGUACUUAAUUUGUCCUACACAGGCUCAUCUGACAGGCCUGUACAAUCAGAUUUUGCACAAUUUGGAUUAACCACUUCAAGGCUGGAUUCAAUGAGGCAUCGGAGUCUGAAGGAUAUUAUCCAGUUUGAAUCAGGUUCAUCACAUGCAUCUAGCUCUCAGGGCCCUCGGACUCCUCUGGCUCUGAACCCUCAAACCCUUGAGGGCGAGAGUUCUCGGGCUCAGAGCAAUCGGUAGAAUCUCAAACAGUGGUUUUUCCUCAGUUUUACGUAUCAUGAAAUUUUAAUAAGUGUUCUGGAGUUUGUGACACAAAGGAUUAUGUCUGAUAUGUAGCAAAAAAACUUGUAUGGUUCUGCUUUGUUUUGGAAAUGAAAGUUCAAAAGUAUUCUGAAAUGUUGCAUAGUGUUUUUACAUUACUGUAAAUUAAAUUUCAUGGUUUCGUUCACUCUUAAUUAAUUUGAUUCAACAUUUGAUUCUACAUGGUAAUAAGGAUAUUCUUAAAUAGCAAGAAGAGUUUGUUGCUAGCUUUUUUAACAAGAAUUUGUUCUACCUAGCAUUCCUCUUUUCUCAAAUUCAUGUAUAAAUAUAUAUAUACAGCAUAAACUAUGAUUGAUUUUCUGUCGACAACUUUGUUACACUAAAGUUAUCAAAUUUCAUAAUGAAUAUGUUUUAAACAAAAAUGUGCAUAUGAUGGUAUAACUAUUUUAACUUAAAAAAAACUAAAAUUUUGGAGUAAUCAUAAAUGGGUUUCAGCUAGUAAAGUUGUGGAUUCUAUGUACUCAUAAAUGGCUCUGAACCCUUAAAUUCCUUUGCAUGAAUCAAUAGCCAUGGACAAUCCAGUUAGUGCUAAAGGGAAUGAUUUUUUCAUGUAUAAGUAAUUAAUUCAUCAUUGAUUUAUUAUGAAUAUGAAAGAAAAACAAGUUCAGAGCAAUCAUCAACUCCUAAUCCUCAAGCACUUGAUGAAUCUAGAAGUAUAAAACUGGGUAUACCUUUCAAAGAUAGAAAAACAAAUUUUUAGUAUUGGAUUUGGAAAAGCUUCCUAGUGAUCAUUGGUUGAUGACAAAAAUUUCAUAUUAUCAUCCAAGUAAUAGAAAAUAAAUUAGGGGAUACUAUUUUCAAAAAGGCCCUUAUCAAGAAAAAGUGAUUAAUUUUUCACUAACAAGAUUCGGAAAUGCCCCUCGUAAGUGUAAUUCAGGUUUGUCAAUGCCUCUACUAAUUUUAAUUCACAUGGGAGAUCAAUGAUUAAAUGAUUAUUUAGUUACAAAUAUAGAGAGAGGAGUGUUUUUAUUGAGAUUGAAAAUCAGAAAAUCAUUUGAUAUUUAUGAAAAAUGACAAAUUUUAUAGAAUAAUUGUUGUUUUGGAAUUUGAAAAUUACGACAGAGCUUUGAAAUUAUUACCAGGAUCAGUCACGACCAGGUCGCUUUCUUUAAGACGUUUCGCGGCACUACUUAAAUUGUGCAAGGUAGACUAGCAACCGCGUUGUCUCCAGAAUAAAAACAGCCCAGAUUCCAUCUGUACGAUUAAAGGCUGCACUGCCAGAAAUCGCUCGAGAAUAACACCUCAAUAUGGUUUCGAAAAACCACUCUAAUAUGGUACGCAGACCACUCGAGAAACCAAAGAAGGAGGAAGAAAAGAACGGUUCGUCAACACAAACCGAGGGAGAUGAGAAGGGGAGAAAACCUGAGAAGAGGAUUCAAUUCUCGGUUUUGGAGUGAAGAAUGCAAAUCCCGAGCUCUCUAUUUAUAGAGGGGAUUUGACCUCGUUUUCUCCGCCGACGAAAACCAGAGAAGAGGAUUCGAUUCUCGGUUUUGGGGUGAAGAAUGCAAGAUCGAAUAUAUCAUAUUUAAAGCUUUAUUUUUAUAUUAAAAAAAACAAUAAUUAUACACUAAAAUAUGGACCGUAUGAUCAUGAUUCAGUGUUCAUCGAUAUGGUGGAUGGUGGGGUGAUUUUGUGAGAUCUAUGACCGCAUGAAAUAUGAAUUAUGAUUUAGAUAUACCAUAUAAAUUGAGGGAAAAAGUAUAUAUAUUAAAUAAAUAUUAAACACAAUCAUAUAAAGUGUUUCAUCGUAAUUAAUAACUUGUUAAUUGUGAUCGGAAAAAAAAAAUUAAUAAUGUUACUAUAAACUAUUUACGCAUCAAGAAACACCCACCUGUGACUACUAGAAGGAAAAGGACGACAAAGAUGGUGCAAACUAAAGAGAUUGAACGAGCCAUAUAGACUUAGCUUCAAAGAAUAAAAUGGAACUAAUUGAAACUUGUUGAAACAUUGAAUUGAAAUGCAAAUGGAGCUAGACUGUUUUAAACUAGACUUUUGACGUCGCACGGGUCUUGUCGAUUAUAAUAGAGACCAAUGAAUAAUCUUUAACACGUAAGAUCAUAGGUCGAUCAAUAAACACAAAUUAGAUUAUUAGAGAGAUACAAUAUUACAAUCAAAUUUAUUUUACUAUGUCUUUCAAUGACACUUGAAUCUUAUUAAAUUUUACAUUUUAGUUUUGAAAAAUUAUUCAAUUAAAGACUGUUAUUUUAUUUUAUCACAAUAUAUUAUUGGGGCAUUAUCUUCUCAUUUUUUUUUUUAAAUUUUUUUUAAAGAAAAAAGAUGAAAAGAAUACAAUAUUAUAUUGUUGUACUGGUCAAUUUUAUUUAUUAUUUUAUAGUUUUUUUUUUAGCAAAUUACUUUUAUAGUUAAACAUAAAAAAUUGACUUGUAAUAAUUGUUUUAAAUUUUCACUUACAUGAAAUACAAAGUCACUUCAAUUAAUAGAAUUUCUAAAUUACACGUACAGCUCUAAAAAGAAUAAUUACACUUUGAUAUUUAUUAAAAGUAAUAAUAUCUUGGGGAGGGGGUAUAAUCUCCGACAGGUAUAAUCUCUUCCAUUGAAUCUUUGUUUAAUAACUUUUUUUGGGGAGGGGGUGAGGAAAAAAGAAAAAUAUCUUGGGUUAGAUGGGAUACUUUGAGUAUGAGGAAGGAGUUUGGAGGGUUGGGGGUUAAGAGGCUGAGGGAGUUUAACAUUGCUUUGUUGGGUAAAUGGUGUUGGAGGUUGUUGUUGGAGAGGGAUGCUUUGUGGAGAAAGGUGUUAGUGGCUAGGUAUGGUGUGGAGGAUGGCGGUUUGGAGGAUGGGGGCCGGAGUUAUUCUUCGUGGUGGAGGGAGAUUGUGAGGAUUAGAGAUGGGAUAGGUGAGGGUGGAGAGGGAUGGUUUGGGUCUUGUGUUAGGAGGAGAGUGGGAGAUGGGGCAGAUACUGAUUUUUGGCGUGAUUGUUGGUGUGGAGAUGUUCCUCUUUGUGUCCGGUUUCCGCGCCUUUUUGGCUUGUCUGUUCACAAUUCAAUCUCAGUUAGGAAUAUGUUCCUGCUGGGGGUGGAUGUGGGCGGGGAGGCGUUGCGGUGGCGUAGGCGGUUGUGGGCUUGGGAGGAGGAGUUGGUAGAGGAGUGUAGGGCUUUGUUACUAACAGUUUCUUUGCAGGAUUCAGUGUUAGAUAGAUGGCUCUAGUUACCUAAUCAAGCUGAUGGGUAUUCAGUACGUGGAGUCUAUGAUAUGCUGACAUCACAGGAGCAGCCCCAGUUACACCAUAGUAUGGACUUAAUUUGGCAUAAACAGGUCCCUCUCAAAGUAUCUAUCCUUGCUUGGCGACUACUGAGGGAUCGGUUACCUACAAAACUUAAUUUGGCAACUCGUGGCAUUCUAUCUGGGGAUGAGCGGUUAUGCGUUGCUGGAUGUGGGAUUGUCGAAGAUGUUACUCAUUUGUUUUUGUCUUGUGCAACUUUUGGUGCAUUAUGGCCGAUGGUGCGGCAUUGGUUAGGAGUGGUAGGUGUCGACUCUCAAUCAACUUCUGAUCACUUUGUGCAAUUUAUACAAUAUGCAGGUUGUUCGAGAGGGCGACGGUCUUUCUUCCACUUGAUUUGGUUGCUUUGUGUCACGGUGGUGUGGAAUGAAAGGAAUGAUAGGCUUUUUAGAAAUAGACAAAGUACAGUGCCUCAAUUGCUCGAUAAAGUGAAGUUAACUUCGUUGUGGUGGCUCAAGGCUAGUAAUGUUGUAUUUAGUUUUGGCACUCAUCAGUGGUGGUCGAGCCCACUUUUAUGUCUGGGUAUUGAGUGAUUUGUUUGUAAUUUUUGUUUAGACUCUGACAUUUUUUGUGAUUGUUAGGCACACCUUGUGCGGUAACAAUUGCGGUGUCCGUAUUAAUAUAUCUCAUUUUUGCCUGUUAAAAAAAAAAAAAAAGUAAUAAUAUAUUUUUCUAAUUAAAUUACAUAUCAUAGAAUUGUAUUAAUUAUUUUGAAGAUGUGUGCUUGGUUGAAGAGUUGUGUAUUUUCCAAGGGGUAUAGCAAUAGAUGUAAUUUAAUGCAAUUCAUGGUUUCUAACAAAUUUUUUUGAAUUUCAAAUUGAAGAAGUGUUGGAAGGAAAUAUAUAAUUAGGGUUAGCACUUAGCAAUUAAUGUGGAUCAUUUGGCGGGAAUUUUCUAGGUUUAGUUGUUGCAAACCUAAUACUUCCUCCGUCCCUUAUUAUAAGUCGCAAAUAACUAUAUCAUCAAGAUUAAGAAAAGGUGGUUAGUAACAAUAAAGUUGUAGGUUCUUUUAAAUAAAUUUCCUAAAUUACCCCUAUUUAAAAUUUUAUCAUUUCAAAAUUCUUCUCUCUACUUUACUCCACAUUUAUAAUCCACUAUCUCUAAAGUUACUCUCCCAAUUACUCCAUAUGCAGUUAUUGGAACGGUAACCAAUAGACAUAUGAAAAGUUGCUAUAUUUUCUUCAAUUUUGAUGCUAACCUUUUUUUUUUUUUUUUUAUCAGUUUCACAAUAGAACCGAUGAAUAAAAAUUGGAUAUUUCAAUGUUCCCUCCAUAUUUUUCCACCAAUGUUUAUUUUGGGAACUAACAAUAUUCCAGCUUAAAUAUUCAAGUACGAUGUGUGUUCCAAAUCAUUGCUUCACAAAAUGACAAUAGAUAUUGAUUUGAAUUUAUUAGCUGCAGAUGAAGAUGAAGGUAUUGAGCAAAUUGCUUUAGGGGAAUCACAAAACAUUGUACCAGAUGUAACACCCCGUUUCCCAAUAUAAAAAUUUCUUAAAACAUUUAUCAGAGUAAGCAUCAUAAACACGGGAUAUCACAUAUAACAUGAUCCAAAACAGUUAAAUAAUAAUUUAACCAAAUAUCUUAAACAUUGCAGCGGAAAUUAUAACAUAAUCCAUAAAACGUCUUGGCACGCAGGCCCCAUCAAAGUAAUCUCAAAAGAGUUAGUUCAAUAUCACAAAUAGCAUAUUAUUCACGUAAUAGAACGAAGCAUGCAUAUCAUAUAGCCCUAUCCCGUUACGUAUCAGAGCGACCUAUACGACACAGUGAAGGCAAGGCCAUUCACGACGAAAACUGCACACUAAGCACGAUCACCUGCAAGUUACCCAUACGAAGGGCAACAUUUUCAAGCAGAAGGGGUGAGAUUUCAUAACAAAAUAAUAUUAAUCAAUGUAAUUCGAAUCAUAAAUUAACGUUAACAUCAUAAUCAGUCUUAAAUAACUUUGCGCAUCAGAUAAACAUUUAUCACGUAAUCACAUAUUCAAUCGUCAUCAACAACAUAGCAUAUUAGACAUGACAAUGCGACAAUGCUCUUAGACUCCUUAUAUGCAUGUGGUACCAAUCGUCAUCAUAAGUAUUAAUAUACUUUAAACGUGCGGAGGACAAAGCUCCUAAUAAAUCGUGUGGAGGACAAAGCUCCUAAUAAUCGUGGUGAGGACUAAACUCAAUGAAUGCUAAUGCAUGAACUCUAUCAACAAAAAAUCGUAAUCAUCAUAUCAAUAAGCAUCCAAUAAUUUGGAGCUAAACGUCAUCUUUAUUCAUCAUAUAUAGACAUUAUGCACUUAGUUAAAUAAUAGCAGCAGCAUAGUCAAGUCACACAACAACAGGAUGAUAUCAUUAUAUCAAUUCCAAUUCAAUAGCAUCAUAACAUUUCAUUCAUAUCUUACAUAAUGUAUAAUACAUUAAUUCAUGCUCAAUUAAUAUCAACAUAUCCUAAACGGCUUUACAGAUUGCAUUAAACGUCAUCAUUAGGUUUCAUUACCAAUAAGGGUUCGCUCUUGAAUCAAAACGUGCGACACAGAUCGCACAAACACUCAAUGCACUCCAAUCUGGAAGUGCUCACGAGGCGAGGGUUCCUACUCGCCAUGGCGAGUACCAGACAAAAACCAAACUAAAGCUGUUCUGGGUUUAAUCUUGUCCUACAUUCAUCCCUAAUCAUUACUAGGUAUGUUCAAGCACUCAAAGGCACUCAAGGUCCAACUAAAAAGUCGAAAAUGCAAAAUCUAACAAGUUCUCUGCCUUAGCUCGCUAUGGCGAGUAAGGUUGCUCGCUAUGGUGAGCUGAACCAAAAGAACUCGCGAGGCGAAGGGAAGGGCUCGCGUGGCGAGCGAUGAAGUUCAUCACUUGCGAGGCGAGAUUCAUAGCUCGCCAUGGCGAGCGAUGAAUGUCGCUACGGCCAGACUUGGUAUUUUCACAAAAAUCCGAUGAUUAUCAGGGUUCUAAGCCUAAUAUUGAUUCCAAAGUUUGUCCUAAACAUUAUCUAAGGUCCAGGAACACUUUCUAUACCAAUUUAAUCAAUUCCUACCGUUUAAUCAUUAAUCCUAGGGAUUUGACCUAGUUUUCGUUUCCUCCAAUUCAAUCAUAAAGCUUGCUAAUUAAUCAUCAGAAUUACAAUCAAUUAGUAUUACUAAGUUAUUAGUCUCACCCUUACUUGGUUAUGAAGAAAUCGCAGCUCUCUCUUUGAUCUUCUCUCUUCUAAGCUUUUUCUCCCUUUUCCAAAAGUUUUCACGUACAAUCGUUUUUCUAACAAUUAGGUCUUCUCCUAUUUAUAUCUCUUCCUAAUAACUUAUCUUAUCUCACUUUCUCCCCCAAAACUCUCUAAAAUCUCAAAAUAACCCUUAACUAAAUAUCUUAUAUUAUUUUCAAAUCUUUAUUUUAUUUAACAAUAAAAUAAAUCCCUUAAUCUUAUCAAAUCUUCCAAAACUCAUAACUUAUCACAAUAUCAACCAAACCAUCACGAUAGUCGUAAAUCAUUCAAAUCAUACCAAAAUCAUGCAUAUAUUAUAUAAUUAUAAUAUAAUCGCCUAAACUCGAUUAAAUAAACAAUUAACGAAGGUGGGCGUUACACCAGACCUUAACCAGGCAGUGGAAAAUGAUUUUACUGUUGGCCUUGACCUCAAUAUGAGUUCUGAAAUAAGAAGAAGUCAGAGAGAAUUUGAUUUGAACGAAGAACCAUACUUUACAGAGAAUAAUCCUCCUGAAGAUGACGAUGACACAAAUACAGAAGUGAAUGAUGAAGCAAUCCCAAAUUCCAUUUUCAAUUCUACUGGUACCAUACUUCUUCUCUUAUUGCUUUAAAAUUAGAAUGUAGUUCAAAUUACACCACUUUAAUUAAGUGAUGCUUCUUUCCAAUCCCUGCCAUUCCUUUACUCGUUCUUUCAUCCACACAAGAGGGCGCUUUUUUUAUGCUUAUUAUUUCUUUUAAUACGUUCCAUUCCAUAUUUAUGAAUUAAUUCACUACUUCUAUACCAUUGCAAAUAGCUAGCCUCUGAAGUUGCUUCUAUUAUUGAUUUAAUUUAAUGUUACUCUAAUUUUUUUUAUUAGGAGAUAUAAAUGAAGCACAAAUUGAUGAUAGCAGCAAGCGACGUAAAUUUUUAACCACUGAAGAAAGAAAAUCAGUAUCUCGUCUCUUGUUGCAAUCUAGUGUGAAUGGAAAAUUAAAGAAAGGUACAACAAAAAUGAUUUCUUCACUGUAUCCGGUUUCCAUAAGAGUUAUCCAACAUAUUUGGAAGCAACUAAAGGACGUCGGUGAUGUGUCUCAUAAAAAGACAAAAAAUUGUGGACGUAAGAGAGUUCAAAUCGACCACACUCAAUUCCGCAAUGUUCCUUUAUCAAAAAGGACUACUUUAAGAUCUUUAUCUUGUGCAUUGAAUAUAAGCAAGUCCUCAUUGGCAAGACUUCUUAACCACGGAACUAUAAGGCGUCACUCUAAUGCCAUAAAACCAUUUUUGAAAGAAGAAAACAAGAUCUCUCGAUUGAACUUUUGUUUGUCAAUGCUUGAACGUGGUAGCAUACCGCAUAAUCCAACUUUCACAGCUAUGCAUAACAUUGUUCAUAUCGAUGAGAAAUGGUUCUACAUUACCAAGAAGUCCAUGCAUUAUUAUUUGCUACCAGAUGAGGAGGAACCAUUGCGCACUUGCAAGAGCAAAAAUUUCAUUGCAAAAGUAAUGUUUUUGGUUGCUGUAGCCCGCCCGAGAUUUGAUGCAAAAGGGAAUGAAGUAUUUUCAGGAAAAAUCGGUGUUUUCCCUUUUGUCACUCAAGAGCCAGCUAAAAGAAACAGUGUUAAUAGAGCUGCAGGGACACUAGAAACAAAACCAAUAACUUCGGUAACCAAAGAAGUUAGUAGAACUUUUUUAAUUGAAAAGGUUCUACCUGCCAUCAGAGAAAAGUGGCCAAAAGAUUGUGUACGGGAUCCGAUUUUUAUUCAACAAGAUAAUGCCAGAACUCACAUUGAUCACAACGAUGCAGAAUUUUGUGAAGCGGCUAAAUUAGGUGGAUUUGAUAUUCGCUUAAUGUGUCAACCUCCAAAUUCUCCUGAUCUAAAUGUCUUAGACCUUGGGUUUUUUAGUGCGAUUCAGUCAUUACAAUACAAGGAAGCUGCAAAAACUAUUGAUGAACUUGUGAGUGCUGUGGAGCGUUCAUUUGAAGCUUUUUCUGCUGUUCAAUCUAAUCGCGUAUUUUUAACCUUGCAAUCAUGCAUGAUUGAAAUAAUGAAGACAAGAGGUUCAAACAAUUACAAAAUUCCACAUAUUAAGAAAGCAAUAUUACAAAGAGAAGGUCAACUCCCUACACAAAUGAAAUGUGACCCAUCUAUUGUGGAAGAUGUUUUACAAUCUUUGAGAAAUGAUUCUAAUUGAUGCCUAUAGUGAUCGGGUUGUGAUCACAUUAUCUUUAAUUAUGUGUUUUUUGCUUCAUUUCAAUUUCUAAUGUUACUUUUGCUUCAUUUUGAUGAAAAAAUUCAGCAUAUCGUAUAUAGUCAUCUUUUUUGUUUCAUUGUCAAACAUUUGCUAAUAACUUGAUUAAACAAUGACAAUUCAUAUGCUAAUACUAACGUUGAUGGGCAAGCUUGAUAUUAGAAAUAAAAAACAGUUCAUUUUCUCAAAUUCAUAGAUGAGAUCAAUACCACUCUAAUGAACUGAAACAUAACAAUGUUUAGUCAAAGAAAAACAAAAUGAAAUGCAUGAUAUGUAAAAAUAAAUUCCCCAGCAGCUGCUGCACUUGAACUUCUCAUACAAUCUCAACUUUUCUCCACUUGACAUCCUCAGUACCAGGUUGGGAGAAUGAUUUCUAACAUCUGCCUCACAACUUGAUUCAAUUCGGGUUCCAGAUACAGCUUUUCACCAUCAUCACAUGGAAACUUGUUUAAAUCAAAGUCACGUGGAGUAUUUUUCUCAACUAGAAGAGCAACUUUUUUCUCCUCUUCAUUUUGCAGCGCACUUGAGUUGAUUAAGGAAGUAUUGGAAUUUUUAUCACUCUAUUUUUUUCGUGAGCAAAGUCUUUUCUUGAGAAGUCUAAUGAACAACAAAGGAGCACUUUUCCAAUUUAUUUAUACCACUGUUUAGACUUUAGAAGAAGCACCAUUGUUAUUAAUGAAUGGGACGGUGGCACAGAGAAUUGAAAAUUAUUUAAGAGGAGUAUGUGCUUUGGAAAAUAAAACUAAUUUUGAAAAGUAGCCAAUUUCUGUUAAGGGUAAAUUGGGAAAAAUUUAAUUAAUGAGGUAUAGAUAUUAUAAAACGACUUAUAUUUUGGGACAAAUUUUUUAAAAAAAAGACUACUUAUAAUAAGGGACGGAGGGAGUAAGAUUAAAGAGUAAGGGAAUUUUCUAUUGGUCAUCGAUAUUUGUGACUGCAUGAAUUAAUGAGAUCUCUAAUUUCAUAUAUUCAAUCUUGUUCUAAUUUAUUAUGUUGUUGAUUUUGUUAUAUGGACAGAGAUUGAAGUGGAAGAGCCAGAGGCAAGGACUUGUGAUUCUCAAAGUCAUAGCUUCAAAGGAGUAUGUUGGAUUAAACACAAUUGUGCUAAUGUGGGCUUAACAUAGGGUUUUACUGGAGGACAUUGUCAUGGCUUCCGUCGCAGAUGUUUUGCUCUAAACCUUGUUAAAAAAAUAUGAGAAUAUUGUAUGAGAGAUGAUGGUUCCAUCACCUUUUGUAAUUAUGUUUACAAAAGGUAAAGAAGCAAAAAGGUUGUAGCGGAGACACCUUCAGACCCUCAGACAGAUAGUCAAUAUGUCGCUGCUGAGAGUCAACAAAAUCGGGAGAGUCAACAAGCUCAAGAAGCUUUUUUUAAUGAACAAACUAAGAGUAUAGUCAGAGUAUUGGGAACUUUUGUUGCUCAUAUUGUGAAGGAGAAGACUGUUGAAGAUGCACAGGAGGUUCUAGAGUUCACUGAAGCUAUUCAAAGCUCAGCUGGUGUUGAAGUUGGUGAGAUGCUAAAGAAUACAAUGCAGGUGAAGAGGGAGCCCAUGCUCAGAAUUUGUUGCUUUAGAUGUUGGAUUCUCAGAGGUAAUGUUUCUCGUAGUUCUCUCUCAGACCCUAUCAACCUUGACCCAACUUCACCUACAUAUAACACUGCUAAUCUAGAUGAUAUACCCUUAAGUAGAGUCUAAAAAAAUCUAGAUAAAGCUUUAUCCCCAUCACUGCCCACCCAAGCCUAAGUCUAAUAACUUCAAAGACAAAGAGUUUGAUUCUUUCUUUGUUAAACCUAUCCAAGAUGUAGAUCCUUAGGGAGACACUAUAGUUUGUCCUCCUUAUUUAGAUGUAGAUGCUAGGAUAGAGAAUCUGUCUAAGCAGAAAGAGAAGGUUCUCUCUAGAUUAGUACAGACUCAAGCUUAUCAGUCAGCCUUUCCUUCCCAAUCAUCAACCAGUGAUUCACCUGUUAUUGAUAAUCUGUCACAACAUUUAGAUGGUGAAUUACCUGAUUAUCAACCAAACUCAAAAAUAACCUCUGAUACAGCACCUGAUUUUUCUGUUCCAGAAAUCCAACAACAACCUGAAGCCCAACUACAAAUGGCCUCUGAAACUUGUACUGCAUUAGUUAUUCAUCCAGACUUCAAGCCAAACUCUCCCUUAGAAUCACAUUUUGAAACCUCAUCUUCUGAUCAUUUUGAAUCAACUGAACAUUCAACCUCUGAUGCUAGCAUUUCAGUAUUAGAAGACUAAACAUAUGUUGUUCAACCUAUCAAUGCUGUAAAACCUGAGAAUACCUUAGAAAAUGCAUUUGAUACCUUGCUCAAUAAAUCCUCUGUUCUUGAACCUCUUGUCAAACCAAUUCUUGAUAUAUCUAACAUGGAUAUAUUAGAUUCUGAUGAGGAAGAUGAACAUGUUACUCAUAUUGACAAAGAUUUAGGUUCUUUAUUAGCACCUGUAUCCAUUUUAGAACCUGAACUAGACACAUCCUCAUCUUCCACUUCUCAAAAUUUUCAAGAUACCCAAUCCAACUUCACCUCAACGAAUCAAUGUUCCACCACCUCCCACCAUUUUACUUCAAUCUACCUUUCUGAGAGAGGACUGUGAGAACAUUUUUAAGGAUCUGAUGCAACUUGUCAAGAUAAGGAAGGAUCCAAUCCACUCUGAAAACUAUGAAGGCAAGUGGAUUUCUUUAAGAGAAGUUGUUGAGAGAGUCUUCAAUGAUUUGAAAAUAUUAUCAGUGGAAGCUCAGAAUCAGUCACUCAACAACUGGUUUAAAGAAGUCGUCAGAAGUAUGGAAGUUGUGGAAGUCAGAAGGAACAUAUUAUAUAUCUCAGACUCACCCUUAUUCCUAGAUCUCUCCUCCAUUAUUACUCAUUCUAUCAAAGAGGAUCUGGAUACUUCUUGGUUGACUCAAGUGUAUGUCAUGCCUCAAAUACCAGUUCAUGAAAAGUUGAAGAAGCAAGAUCAUGAGAAAGACAAAAGGGUUGAGAAGCUUCAGCAAGAGCUGUUUGAACAAAAGAUGAUUUCUGAAGCUUUGAAGAAACAAAUGGCUGGUAUGAAAGAAGAGCAGAAAGCUCGCGAAGAAGCUCAAGCUAGGAGAUCAGAAGCUUUGAAAGAAACUGUGAAGAAGCAACCAUAAGAUAUCAAGGCUAUGAUGGCAGACAUGAUGGCCAUGAUGAAACAGCAACAACAGUAGAAACCUUAGAUUGCAUACCUUAAUUUCUGUUGUUUAUUUAUUUUUUUCUAUGCUUCUGAUGCUUAAGUUUCCACAACUCGAACAUCCUGGUCCUUAUUUAAACUGUUUAAAUUAUAAGCUAAUACAAAGCUCUUAAAUCUGAUAAAAUAAUCAUACACUAUAAAAUUGUUUAUCUAACCAUUACCAAGAGUUUUUUUUUGGGUACAACCAAUACCAAAAGUUUUAUUCUUGAGUGUAUAAACUUAGGGUUGAGAGUUUUGAUUUAUUGUGCAAAUAAGAUUGGUUUGUUUGAUUUAGAUGGUUGACGACCAUUAAGGGUCCAUUUGUUAUAGCUUUUUUCAGAAGAAAAAAAAUAUCAUUUAAAAAAAAAAAUUAAAAGUUUUGCAUCCGUUUGUUACAAUUUUUAAAAAAAAAAUCAGAAUCUAAAAACAGCUUCAAAUGAGAAGGUGUUAAGAGCAACUUUACAAAAAGUAGAUUUUUUUUAGAGGAGAGAGAAAAUAUUAUUUUAAACAUUGAACUAAUUUUGUAACAAAAAUCCCUUUUAUAUAGUUGUAUCCAAACAAACUGAAUUAUUUGUUUAAAAAAUGAUUUUUAUUAUGGUAAACAAACACAAAAUAGAUUCUGAUUUUUCAUUUUUUUUUAGGGAAGAUUAUGAUUUUUCAUAAAUCUCUAAAUUAUAAUCUCUAAAUUGUUUCAGGUCAAAAUCACUGUUAUUUUAAUCCGUAACAAACGGGCUAUAAAAGGGGUUUUUCGUUACAAAAUUAGUUCAAUUUUUAGGGCCCGUUUGUUACAUAUUAAAAUAAAAGUUGAUUUUGACAUAAAAUAAUUUAGAGAUUAUAUUUUAGAGAUUUUAUAAAAAAUCAGAAUCUAUUUUGCGUUUGUUUAGCGUAAUAAAAAUCACUUUUUUUAAACAAGUAAUCUAGUUUGUUUAGAUACAACUAUAUAAAAGGGAUUUUUUGUUACAAAAUUAGUUCAAUCUUUUAAACAAUAUUUUCUCUCUCCUCUAAGUGUCUGUUUGGGCUCACGUUUUUCUCCUCAAAACGUGCUUUUUCUUUGCCAAACGUGGUUUUCAACUUUUUUGUUUUGUUUGGGUACAAUAAAAGUGCAUCCAUGUUUUGGUGCAAAACGCUGGUGGGGAUGAUGCUGAAAUUCCUAGCUUCCACGGCAAAGCAAAAUUAAGUUUGGAUUUCAAUUUUAGGGAUUGAUACACUUUACCAAAUUACCCAUAACUUUCUUCUCCAUCUCAUCAGAUCUUGCACUCCAACCACCUGCACUCCAACCACCUGCUUAUUGCAUUUUCCUUUGAAACUCACAACCACAAAUCUGAAACCAUUAAAGGUAUUAAUUUGCCUUUGAUUGUUGCUUGUUGAACGGAGGAAUGGAAUAAAUUCAGACGGAGGAAGAAGAAAAGGUAUUGAGAGGACGAGCAUGUUACAGAAGAAUAAACAUGUAAUAUAUAAGAAUGGGUGGAGCUGUGGAGGUGAGAGUUCAUUUUUUUUCUUUUUUUAAGGAAGGAAGGAUGGAGGUGAGAGUUGAAAUGAGGUCAAUUUCUUCAAAAAAAAUAAAAAUAAAAAUGAAAUGAGGUCAAUUACCACUAUAUGUAUUUUUUAUUAAUUAGAGGUUCUAGAGAAUUCUUAUUUGGUUUUCUUUCAAAUUUAUUUUAUUAACAUUAUUUUAAAAUGAAUAUUAAAAAAUAAUUCAAUUGAAUCUACCAAAAUAAUAAUAAUAAUAAUAAUUCAAUUGAUAAAAAUAUAUCCAAAAAAAUCUUAUAAAUUUUCUUAAAAAAAUCUUUUAUAAAUAAAUACUUAAAAUGAAUUUGUGAACCAAUACAAAUCCAUUUAUGAUUUUAGAUAAGUCAAGAAUAAGAUAUUUACUUUUAAAUACAAUUAAAAGGAUAGUUUGGUCAUUAUAAAUUCAAAAUCAAUUUUGAUUCAAACUAUCCAAACAACGUCAACUCAUAAGAAUUACUUUUAGUAAAGUGUAUCCAAACAUAAAUCAAUUCAUAUUCAACUGACUUUUAACCAAAAUCAAUUCUCUCAAACUCAAUUCUAUCAAAAUCAAUUCUCGUCACCGCCAUAUCAAACACACACUAAAAAAAACUAUUUUUUGAGAAGCUGCUCUUAACAGCUUCUCAUUUGAAGCUGUUUUUAGAUUAUUUUUAGAUUCUGAUUAUAUUAAAAAGUUGUAACAAACAAAUGCAAAACUCUCAAAAGUGAUUAUUUUUUUAAAAUAAGUGAUUUUUUUCUUAAAAAAGCUAUAACAACCAUAUUUUCUCUCACCUCUAAAAAAAUCUAUUUUUUGAGAAGUUGCUCUUAACAACUUCUCAUUUGAAGUUGUUUUUAGAUAUUUUUUAAUUUCUGAUUUUUUAAAAAAGUUGUAACAAACGGAUGCAAAACUCUUAAAAGUGAUUAUAUUUUUUUUAAAAGUGACUUUUUCUUAAAAAAAAAAAAACUAUAACAAACGGGUUCUAAGAUUCUUUGAAUCCCAUCUAUCUUUUUAUUGGGUUAAUAUAGGUUUGCUACUAUUUUUUUUUUUAAGAAGUUAAAUUAGCCCAUCCAAAUUAAAUUUUCUACUAAUUAUUAUAUAAAAGAAUCCUUAUUGAAGAGAAAUAUUAACCAUUCAUGUUACUAUUGCAUCGGAUGAGCGGAGUUUCUAAAAAUUAAAAUUGUUAAAAUCUUAUUUGUGAUCUAUAGUUUUUAGUUUUCAUAAACAAGUAUUUAUGUAAUAAAAGAAUUCAAGUGACUUAUUUUUUUUUUUUAAUGGCAAAUAAUAAAAGAAUUCAAGUGACUAAUUUUUUUUUAAUGGCAAAUGUUAGUAUAUAGAAGUUAUGUUAGUAUUUUUGUCUCCUUUGCCAUGAUUCAAACUUGGACCUUUUAUACCUUAACUCCUUUAAUCCCAAGUGAGCCAUCCAUCUCCCAUUGACUCAUACUUUCAUGAUAGGAAAAUAAUUAGAAAUUAAAGAAAAUGAAGGAAGAAAAAUUAAGGUCCAAAACUUUCAUACGCUAUAAUAACAUAAAAGUUCUGUUAAAUCAUUCCCUUCAAUCAAAUCAUCCUACGAAGCACGAACACUCCUCCAAUUAGGCGUGUCGUGCCCGACACCGACACUUGUAUUUACACUAAAAUAUGUGACUUUUUCAAAUUAUUAGUUGUGUCGGCGUGUCAGUGUCCGUGUCGUGUCCGGUGUCCGUGUUCGUAUCCGUGCUUCAUAGAAAUCAUCUUAUGUAGAAAUGUGUGGUCAAUAUAUCACAUAGAAACGUUUCCUUCAAUUUUCCUUUUCCCGCCAAUUCAUAAUAUUGCAAUGACAAAGUUAGUUAAAUUCUGUUAGGUUUCUGUUUAGAAUAUUUAGUUUUCUGUUGUCAGUUAGUUGAUAUACACACACACACACACAUACAUAUAUAUAUAGAAUAUUCAUUCCUUCAAUCACAUUCACAAUUUUUCAUACUUUAAAUCAUCAUUCACAAUCAAGAUCACUCUAUUUUUCUUUUCCAAUCACAUUUUCUUUUCCUUCAAAGAUGCAUUCUUGGCUUGAAAAUAUAGUUAAUCUAUACAGGAACAUGAGGAAUGACAACUUUGCUUUAUUCGACGAAGACCCUCUCGGGAGAUCGAUUAAUCUACAAAGCCAUUGCUAUGGAGAAUUUUCCAGUGCUGUUGUUCAAGCCAAUACUACUAUGGAAGAUCAAAGCCAAAUUGAAGUUGCCUCUAACAAUGCACUCUUUCUUGGAAUUUACGAUGGCCAUGGUGGCACCCAAGCUUCCCGGUUCAUCUGUGAACAUCUCUUCAAAAAUCUAUUGAGUGAGUAUCUUUCUUUGAUAAAAAAGUUUAUUUCUUUUUAUUAAUCUUUGAACUUUUUUUAUUGGUUUGAGAAUUAACGGUAUUUUUAUUUUAUGUUAUGUGUUUACAUUAUAGGGUUUGCUAAUGAUAAUGAGAAUGAUAUAACUGAAGCUACCCUGAGAAAUGCUGUUUCUGCUACUGAAGAGGGUUUUUUGGAUUUUGCAAAAAUGAAUUAUAUGCAUCAGCCAAAUCUUGGAUAUGUUGGUUCAUGCUGUCUUGCUGGAAUUAUAUGGAAAGAGACACUACAUGUUGCAAAUCUUGGAGAUUCGCGGGUUGUAAUUGGUACUAUGGUUAAUAAAAAGAUCCGUGCUGAGCAGUUAACAAGAGAUCACAAUUGUAAUGAUGAAGCUAUUAGAGAAGAACUCAGGGCAAUGCAUCCUGAUGAUCCUAACGUUGUGAUAAAUGAUAAUGGAUCGUGGCGUGUUAAAGGCUUCAUUACGGUAAUUUUUUGUUUUUCUUUUAAUCAAUUUAGAUAGAGUUAUUGUUUGAUUUGAUAUUGGUUGUAAUGUUUUCUUGUAUAUUGAUUUAGGUUAGUAGAGCUAUUGGUGAUGCAUAUCUGAAGAGGUCUGAAUUUACUUUGCGCGAAUCAUUCCCCAAAUUGGAAAUAGUUCCGGAACCCUUUACAAGAGGUGUGCUAUCAGCAGAACCAGAGAUGCAUACUAGAGUUUUAACAGAUAAUGAUCAGUUUAUUAUAUUUGCUUCUGAUGGACUUUGGGAUUUCUUGUCAAAUAAAAAAGCUGCUGAAAUUGUUCGAAAGAAUCCUAGAAAUGUAUGUAUAUAUCUAUAACUUGUUCUUUUCUUGAUUUUUCCAUUCACAUUGAGAAGAAACACGAAGACUUAUUUAGCCUUUAGAAAAUGAAAAUAAGUCUUCGUGUUUUUUGAUUGACGACAAUUUGAGUCUUUACAGUUAUAUUUGCAGGCUUUUAAUUUAAUUAUUCUGUGGUGGAUUUUGCAGGGAAUUGCGAAAAGGCUUCUGAGUACCGCUCUAGCGGUAGCUGCUAAAAGAAGGAAGGUUACCUAUAGGAAGAUUCAGGCCGCUGCUACGGGACGCAACAAUGUGAGCCGGAGGUCUUUUCAUGAUGAUAUAAGUGUGAUUGUGGUGUUCUUGGACAAAACGUCGUUUCCGAGGCAGCCUGUACUUAAUUUGUCCUACACAGGCUCAUCUGACAGGCCUGUACAAUCAGAUUUUGCACAAUUUGGAUUAACCACUUCAAGGCUGGAUUCAAUGAGGCAUCGGAGUCUGAAGGAUAUUAUCCAGUUUGAAUCAGGUUCAUCACAUGCAUCUAGCUCUCAAGGCCCUCGGACUCCUCUGGCUCUGAACCCUCAAACCCUUGAGGGCGAGAGUUCUCGGGCUCAGAGCAAUCGGUAGAAUCUCAAACAGUGGUUUUUCCUCAGUUUUACGUAUCAUGAAAUUUUAAUAAGUGUUCUGGAGUUUGUGACACAAAGGAUUAUGUCUGAUAUGUAGCAAAAAAACUUGUAUGGUUCUGCUUUGUUUUGGAAAUGAAAGUUCAAAAGUAUUCUGAAAUGUUGCAUAGUGUUUUUACAUUACUCUAAAUUAAAUUUCAUGGUUUCGUUCACUCUUAAUUAAUUUGAUUCAACAUUUGAUUCUACAUGGUAAUAAGGAUAUUCUUAAAUAGCAAGAAGAGUUUGUUGCUAGCUUUUUUAACAAGAAUUUGUUCUAGCUAGCAUUCCUUCUUUCUCAAAUUCAUGUAUAAAUAUUUACAGCAUAAACUAUGAUUAAAUGUGGAUUCUAUGUGCUCAUAAAUGGCUCUGAACCCUUAAAUUCCUUUGCAUGAAUCAAUAGCCAUGUUAUUAAUCCAGUUAGUGCUAAAGAUUGUCAAAACUACACAUCUAUUAUAUGGCCUCAAGGGAAUGAUUUUUAUUAUUAAUCAAUAGCCAUGUUAUGUGGUUCCAUUAUAGGGCAUGCUAAAGAUAAUUAGAAUGAUAUAACUGAAGCUACCCUGAGGAAUGCAGUUUUUGCUACUGAAGAGGGUUGUUUGGAUUUUGUAAAAACGAAUUAUAUUGCAGAGCCAAUUAUAUUCUUGGAUAUUUGGUUCAUGCUGUCUUGCUGGAAUUAUAUGGAAAGGGACGCUACAUAUUGCGAAUCUUGGAGAUUCGCGUGCUGUAAUUUGUAUUAAGGUUAAUAACAAAUCAAAACAUGAAUCCAUGUUGAGCAGUUGACAAGAGAUCACAGAAUUAAUGACCAAGCUAUUACAGAAGAACUAUUGGUGAUGAAUAAUGAUGGAUCGUUGCGUGUUAUUAAGGUAUUUUUUAAUCGAUUUUGAUAGAUUUUAAUCGAUUUUGAUAUUGGUUUAUGACUGUUAUCAUGUUUUCUUGUAUAUUUAUUAGGUUAGUAGAACUAUUGGUGAUGCAUAUUUGAAAAUGCCUGAAUUUACGCUGCACGAAUCGUUUCCAACUUUUAACAGAGAGUAAUAAGUUUCAUAUAUUUGCCUCUGUUGGACUUUGGGAGUUCUUGUCAAAUGAGCUAGCAGUUGAAAUUGUUCAAAAGAAUCCAAGAAAUGUAUGUAUAUAUCCAUUAAUAUUGAUUUAUUAUUUAGCUUAUAACUUAACUAUAUAAUUGAUAUCUAGAAUAUUUUGGUCCUUAUUAAUCACUAAUGCUUAAAUGUUAUAUUUACAAGUUUUCUGGUCUUUAUAUUUAUUGCUCAAUUAUUUCUAUCAAUAUUAUCCAUAACUUGAUGGUCUUCAAUAAAAGCUAAAAUAAUUCAAUGGUCCCUUAAUUAAUUUUUUAGUUUUCAUUUUGGUCCCAUAAAUUUUAAAAUCAUCAUUUUGGUCCCUCAACGUUUGCUCCCUUAUUCAAAAAAGUCUCUGCCUGUUAACUUUAACCUCAGAUGUCUAUAAUGAACCAACCUUAAGAGUGGUCCACCAUAGAUCCUAUUAAUUAUUUUAAUUUUAACUGUUUGAUUUUUUUUUUUUAAAUAGGACGGUUAGAUUUUGGAGGUCCAUUGUAUCUAAUAUUGAAUCAUCACCAACUAAUUUUUUUUCCCUUUUUUCAUCUACUUCAUUUCUCUUCUACAUAAUAUUCAUCAUCAACUUCAUCACCGCUCAUAAAUAUUCCAUAAACAAAAAACAAACAUGAACAUCAUUAUCAUAUAAAAAAAUUAAAAUAAUGUGAACUGUAUAAUUUUUGUCACUAACAUUCAGAAUUGUAAGAACUUAAAAGCAGAGAAAGAAAGGAACAAAAUAGAAAUCCAUUUGUGUUAUCAUUGUAUGAUCAAAAACAACACAAAUUAAUAACAAAUGCAACAUCAAUAUUCAAACCCUAAUCCCAAUUUAAAUCCAAAUCCACACAAUUCAUCUAAAUUACCAACCACCACCACCAACCACCACCGUCCUACAAUCGGCGAUAGAAAUCGGCGGCAAAUCUGCUUUUCUCCGAUUCGUUUUGGAAAUGGGAUUCGAUUCGGAAGUGUUGUUGAGGGGAAACCUUCUUCGUCAAGUGCGUUGUUGUUGUUGUUGUUGUUGGUGGUUAGGGUAAAUGAAAAGAAGAUGAAGGUCGAAAUGGUGAGAAAGUGUGGACGGAGGAUGAUGAUCUGAAGAAAAAGGUGAAAAUGGUGCUAAGUAUGAAGAUCAUGAUUUUAGUUUUUUUUCUUUUGGAUUGUUGUUGAUUUUAUUUUAACUUUAACUCAAAAAAAUUGGUACUUUUUAAGUUGUGUUUUUUCUUUGGAUUUGUGUUGUGUUGAGAGAAGAAGAGUGAAAGAAUUCUAGAAAAAAAAAAUAUGGAGAGGAAGAGUAAGGAAAUCUGGAAAGGAAAAAAAUUGUGUUGUGUCUUUGGAUUUGUAUUUUGGAAAGAAAAAAAAUCUAGAAAUGUUGAUAUAGAUAUGAGGAAGAAGAGAGAAGAUGAUGAAAAGUGAAAAAAAUUAUGUGCUGACGGUUCACUGUUAAAUACAAUGGACAUUCAAUCAAAUGGUUCAAAUCAAAUCAAAAAAUUUAGACAUUAAAAAACUAACGGAGCAAAAGUUGAAGGACCAAUUGAUGAUUUUAAGAAAUAUGAGACCAAAAUGAAAAAUGGAAAUUAGUUGAGGGACCAUUGAAUUAAUUUAGCCUCAAUAAAACUACCUAAUCUAGAUCACUGGUCCUUGAUAAAAUAAUUGUUUUACAAAAAUUAAAACACAUUAAUAUUAUUUUCCUAACCCUUACCAAGAAUUUUAUUGAGUAUACACACUAAUUGUUUUUCAGAAUUAAAUCGAAAAAGGGUCAUAAUUGAAACCCCCUUUCUUGAGACGUUUAUUGCUACUUCAAUUGGUAUCAAGCACAGUCUCUAAAAAGAAAGUCAAGCACUUAACACGUGCUAGAGGAAAAGAUUUAGGAAGAAGCAAUGUCAAGAGAAAAGUACAUACCAGAAGGCCUGUCUUGUACAUGGCCUCCGUUUUUCGAGGAAAAAACUACUACUUCUAGAAAGGAAAAAUUCAACUAUUCAUAAAGUCUUAAGAUAAAGCACGACCCUUCUGACCCCUGUGAAGUAUUUUGAUCAUAUCUAGAGUUCUAGACGUUGGAAUAAGGUCAAACAAACGCCCAAUUAAAGCUAACAUUCAUAGCUACAACUUGCAAGAAGGCACCAAAACCUAAUUCAGAAUAGAAAAGACCAUGUUUAUAUUUAUUUUUUUUGGUUACAAAAAUCGAAAAGAGCACGAUCUUGUGGACCCAUGUGUAGUAUUUUGAUCAUAUGUAGAGUUCUAGACGUUGGAAUGAGGUCAAACCAACGGCCAAUUAAAUCUAACAUGCAUAUCUACAACUUUCAUGAUACACCAAAGCAUAAUUAUGAACAUAAAAGUUCCAGUUUUUAUUCUUGUCUUCGUCACCGAAAUCUGCGAUUUAGCCUUCAUGGACUUUUCCUAACUCCGUUUUCAACCCUAAACUCGUCAAACAUGAUUCUAAUCUUCACUCCAUAAUUAACCUAUCAUUCAAACACUAAUUCUUCGUUAACCUACCGGAUUAUCCACUCUUUUAAAGACUAAAACUCAAUUCAAAAACUUAAACUAGUUUUCCUCAAUUCUCAUCUUUCAAUUCGUUCAUUGUUAUUCUCUCAUCAAAAUUCUCAUCAUAACAUCAACAACUUAUUAAAAUUUAAGACAAUCCUCCCACCAUAGAUUAAGAUACCCUAAAGUGCAAAUAUUCUCCCCCUUACUUCGAUAUUUUGCAAAUUGAUGAAUUCAUGCGGUUAAAUAUCUCCUUGACCGUCUCUUUAUGCCUCCUCUCCUCUCUAGUUUUCUUCUUUUGCCUCCGCUAUCUUUUUUCUCUUUUUUGUUGUAUCCCUAAUUCUCUAAUCUCCUCCUAUAUUUAUAACCAUCAAGAGUUUGUUUCUCACUCAAUCUUUCUAACAGGGUUACUAUCCGCACCUCUAUUUUGGUUACUAUUCUUGUUGUAACUUCACUGCCUUGCUACUCACACCUCCUUCUGCUUAAUUCAUUAAAACACUACUCAUCUCACUAACUACCUCUUUUCUAUCCAAUUUUACUAAACCAUCUCCAUUUGAAAUCUACUUUCUUAUUCUUUCCAAAAACUAUAUUUUCUUCCUAAAUAUUAUUUUCUCCCGUUGUUUAACCCAUCCAUUUUCUCCUUACCUAUUCUCCCAUUGAAUUCAAUUAAUUAAAUUAAUACUAUCUAACAACCAAUACUAAUAAUAACAAUAAUACUAUUGUGUCUUAAAAAAAACAAUAAUACUAAUGUUAUCUAAUAAUAAUAAUAUUAAUAAACUAAUAUUAAAAUCGGGGUGUUACAUUUUUAGUACUUUUCUCUGCAUUUGAAAUCAAAUAAGAUGUGAAUUAGAGGAGUUGUCAAUGGUUGAGGAACAAAUUGUAUUGUUUUCACUAAAGUCGUUGUAAUUCACUUUUAUUCAAAAUCAUGCAACUCCAUAGGUGUUUUGUUGUGAGAAAUCAUGUAAAUCAACAAAUCCAAACAUCAAGUGAAGGAUUAAGGAUAGAAAGAUUGAAGAUCAGUGGUUCUUAGAAGGUUUUUGAAGACAAUACAAAGUGAGAAAAACUCAUUUCAAGUUCCUAGGAGUUUCUAGACGGAAGAACGAUCGAAAACGGGGAGAAAACACAUGAUUUCGCAUAUAGGGGCUGCCUCAGGUGCCCCUCUAUGCGCCUCCUACGCACAACCAUGGGCAGAAAUUUCUUGUAGCUUGUUUUUCUAGCUAAAACGGUGGAAAAAACUUAGUUUUCUUCUCUUAAACCCUAAGUAAUCAUUUACUAUAAAUAUAGACUCUUGCACAUAUUAUUAUUAAUUCAGAAAGUUAGUGGUUCAAAGCGAGGGUCAAACAUCAGAGUUUUCAAGGCAGAUGAUUUCCAUCCUCCUCUUGUUCUCUCUAGGGUAUAUUUUUCUAUUAUUUUGUUAUGAUGUAUGUUGUCAUGAGAAACUACACCUCUUUGGUUAGGGUUCUAAGAUGAACACCUUCUUAUUUGUUGGUUUCAAAUAAUAAAUUUUUCAUUUACUUAUGUUUUUCUUGUGUCCUAUUCAAUUCAUUCUUGCAUGUGUUUAAUGCUUUUUUAAUUGAGGAUAUGUAUCGGUAAUCUUGAAACUUGAUCUGUAGAGAAUUAGUAGGAUUGACGACCCAAAUUUGUUACUUUCUUCAUAGCAGAUUCAAUUGCUUAUUUCUUAAUUAUAGUUAAUGAAAUUAAGUAUGAACCUUCGUAAUUUCUAAAUGUUUUUUUCCGAUAACGCCAUAAUUAUAACUAGGUUAUCUUACUACAGAAGUUUUCGUUAGAGUUAAUAAAGAUUUCUAAAUUUAUUUUAUUAAAUCAUAACUACAUACCACAUAACUGAUUUUUUCUAAGUUAAUUCCAACAACGACGAAGGGGGAUUCAGGGAUUUCCAAAUCAUCGUUAAUCAUCUGAAUCACAAGCCUAAUCUUGCAUUGGAUAGAGCAAUUAAUUAAACCAUGCAAACAUAUUCAAAUCUCUUUUAUUUUUCCUCUUUAAAAUAAGUUUUGCUAAUUGCUAAGUUGAACGGCAAUCCUUGUGGAGAACGAUAAACUUACUAUUUUAUUACUCGUUACGAUUUUGUGCACUUGCUAAUUUCGUCGAUGAAUAGCCUAAAAUAUCAUAUGUUGCUCCGCGGUUAGGAGUUUGGAUUAUAUAAUCCAAAUAAAAGGUAUUGAAAAAAAUAUAUAGGAUACACAAGAAACACAUAGAAUGAGAAAUGGGCUUUCCAUUGUCUGGUAAAUGCACAUUUUUCUUGACUAGAAACAUGAGUUGACAAGAAACAUGUGUAUCGGUAUUUAUAAGGCAGAAGUAAGGUUUUUGCUAUUAGGCUUUCACUUGGACAGAUAAGAGACACUUGUAAUGAUGGUGGCAUUUAGGGUGGGUGAGGGAAAGAUUUUUCCACCAUAGGAGAAUUGAUUUUAACCGUUAGAUCUAUUCAAGAACACAAUUUUACGAUAGUCCUUCAAUAGCAUAUCUCCCUUACAUUCUUCUCUCUACCCACAAGAACAUAACCACCGACAUUCUCUCUCCUCCCUUGCCUUUGAAUUUUAAGUUUAAAGAGAAACCGUGUGUGCUGUGUAUUCUAUGGAUUCAUUGCUUGUUGGAUCUUUUCCCAAGUCAUAUUCAUUCACCACCACACUAGUAUGAAUUUACUUCUUGCAUUUCAUUUAUUUUCAAGAAACGAAAAUCACAGUCGUACCCAAAUUCACAUAAUACCUCUUCCAAACCAAACAAUUCUUCCUAACUGGUGUUUUGUUUCCAUCAUCAGUGUCCAUUCAAAACCUGUUAUGAACAUCAUAGUCCUACCCAAAUUCUAAUAUUGAUAAAUGAAAAAUCUUAAAAAUUUGAGAUUUUUGUAAGAAACCCAAUUGAAAAUUCUGAAGAUAAAUGAUUAAUUGAACUCAGUUAUUAUGUUAAUCGAUAUGAAAAUUUUGAUCUUAGUUCUUCAUUGACAUUGAUUUGUUUUCCGCCGCCCAGACAUGCUAUGAUGCUGGUGGUGGGAGGAGAAUGGUUGGGGAAGAUAUUGUGAACAAAAAUCUAAUAUAGAUAGAUCAUGAUAAAAUCAAUGCACCCUUUUAAUCUAAUGGUUAAAAUCAAUUUUCCCAUGGUGGAAAUUUUUUCCCUCACCCACCCUAAAUUCCACUUGUAAUGUUAUGUGGGUGGUUACAACAUUAGACACGGACUAGAUGGUCCAGAUUAAACGUACGGACCGUGAUCCAGUGGGAUUUGUAGCAAAUUGAUGAUAUGAACUUGUUUUGCAUAGGGUCUUGAUUGGACUCGGGUCCCAACUAGGAAGGAGCCUUGAUCCAAUCAGAAACAACAUGCAUUAGCAAAACUAAUAGUCAAUUACCAUCUUACUCGUUUCGUUAUCAAUUAUAAGAAAAUUUUGAUUUUUUAGGUUCAUUCAAUUAAUAUAUGUGAUCUAUAUUAUGAACCACAUACAUCAUUAAUUGAAUGAACUUAAAAAAUCAAAAUUUACUUAUAAUCGACAACAGAUAGAGACUUUAAUGAUACAUUCAUCCAAACUCGAAACGGAGACUUUACAGUCGUAUGCAAAUUUUAUGUUGUGCUUACCAAUUUGUAUAAGAUAAUAAAAAAAAAAUCCAAACAUACAAUUAUUGUUUGUUUAUUUUAAGAUGGUCUCUCACAAUCAUAACAUCCUGAUCUUAUGAAAAAUAAUAUUCCCUCUGAUCUCAUUUAUAAGCAAAUUUUCACUUUUAGAUUCAUUGAAUAAAUGAUAUAUGUGGUAUAUGAUAUACAAAAUCAAAUAUACAAACAUAAAAUUGAUUUUAAACUAUUGACAUGUUUGUGAAACUGCCCUUUUGGCUUCAUGUUAUUAUUCUUCAAUUGACUUUUAGAUAAAUAUAUUUAAAUAUAAAUCAAUUAAUAUUUAAAUCAGUUUGAAAUAUUAACCAAAGUCUACUUUAGUCACACAAUUAAACAACUAGCAAAUACAACAAAUUGAAGUUACUCUAUAACUACACUCUACCGUUUACAUUACACAAGAGCCAUCCAAUAGAGAAAAUAAAAGCACUCAAGGUCAAGAGAAGCAUCCACCACACCACUGAAAAUUGCUUUCUAAUACAAAUUAGAGGUAGUUAAGUGGACGAUUUGUUUAAUUCUCCAUCUUAAACGUCACCUAUCUCUUCAUGCCAUUUUUUAAAUGUAUAUUUUCUAGUGGACAAUGUUUAUGUAUCAUAGUCACAAAUCUAAACAAGUUAGGCGCACAUAUAAAAAAGGACAAAAGAAAAUAGAUUUUUUUUAUUAUUGAAAUAAUUAGAUAAUGUGUUUUUAUAUUUGUGAAUCUAAAUAUUUGGCUUUGUGAUCAUUUUCUUUUUUAUGUUAAUAACCCUUCCGUUUAUAGAGAAAGGGAUUCUUGUGAUUCGGAAUUCGGUUGAAAUGUAUGUAAAAACUGAUAAAAAGUUGUUGAUCGAAAUCAUAUUGUGAUCAUAUAAUAACUAGAUAAACGAUAUUUGCAUAACUAUUUUGUAAUGAUUUUUGUUGAAAUUCUUUCUCUCAUACUCUAUUGUAUUUAUACUCUCACUUUAUUGCUUUAUUUUUUAUGUCAAAUUCUACAUUUUUUUUAUAACUUUAUAAUUGUCGCAUAAGUUUACCAAAACAAAUUCACGGUUCCUGUCAACUUCAAUUACGUCCCUAGGCUUCAAUGAGAGGCCCAUACACUUUGACUUCAUGCAAAUCAGACCAGCAAGUGGAGCAAAGAUUUAUUAAUGAUGAAAAAAUAGAGAUCAGUGGGUUUAUAAAUUCCUUCUGGAAUUUUCAACGUGAAUAUAUUCUUUCUUGACCGGUUAAAAUUCCUGUUAUAAAAAAAAAAAAAAAAAAAAUUCCUAUGUCUCAUAUAAGAUGAAUGGUUAAAAAUUCUUAUGUCUCAUAUAAGAAUAUCUUAUUUUAUAAUUCUAAUAAUAUAUAUUUUUUCUAUUAUAUCUUUAUUGGUAUUAAUACAUUUUCUUGAGUAACAUGUUUUUAAAUUCUAAUUCUAAUUCUUAUAUUUGUACCUUUUAAGUAAAUAGUCAGAAGUUCGAUAUCUAAUUAUUGUUUUUACAAAAUGAUUAUUGUGUAUUAUUCGUUGCUAAAUUAAUAAAGCCUUAGAUGGCCACAACCAUUUAGGCACACUCAUGUAUUUCAAAAAAAAAAAAGGUAGAAAUAAAAAAUAAUUAAGCGCACAUGAUAUGAUAUGUUUGUAUGUCUAAGUGAUGUGCUCAAAUUAUUGUUAUCAUACAAGUAUUUUUCAUUGGUUAUAAUAUCGUGAUGAGCAAUGCUCUUUCUCACGAGAGAAAUCAUCCCGAGUCGAUAACGAAAAAAUACUUAGCCAAUUAAAUUCGUUAAUUACCGGAAAUCACCAAAAAAUCACAACUAACAUGAUUUUUAUUCACAACUGAAAUCACCAAAAAUUAACUCAUACAUCGACAAAUUUUUUAACCAAAUUAGAAUUUCAAUUUUUUUUUUAAGGAAGAAAUUCAUUGCAUUUCAUUAGCUAAAAUGUGUCAAAUACAUGAGGGUACAUCAUCUAUAAUAUGAGGAUAGAAUUAUAUAGGGUUGCCUGAGCUAACUCGUGAGCGACCCUAUUCGCUUGCCUCCUGUUGAACUCUACAUGCGAGUUCUGAAAUCUAUCCACUAACAUUUGGUUACAAGUAGUAAUAAUACAUCCAAAUUCGCUACUAUCAUCUAUAUUUUAAUUGACACAAUCAACAACUCUUUUACAGUCAAGUGCAAAGUUCACAUUAUCAAAUUGUUGAUUAGAGAUCCAAUCCAAAGUUGUGUGCAUACCGACAGCCUCCCCUACAUCUAUAUCACAGAGAGGAGCAAACCAUUCCGUCUUUGCAAGAACAAAAACACCAACAUCAUCUCUAAGACACAUGCCCAAACCAGCCAUAUUAAGAUAAGUGGAAAAAGAUGCAUCUAUGUUGCAUUUAUACCUGCCUUGUGCCGGUUUUUUCCAAUUAUCCUCUUCUUGCCUUGUAGGCCGCGCCUGAGGCAUGGUGGAUUGGGCGUUGUUGCAAGACCUGAUAGCUUGAGCUGCUCUCCACUCAUCUAGUAGGUGGGUUGCGCGUUGGAGCACCUGCGAGCUGAGUUCAUUAUGUUGCUGCCAAAGUUUCAUGUUACGACUCUUCCAAAUACUCCACAUAAUUGUGGCCAUGAGCUCGCACUGUCCUGAAAAAAAUUGUUGCAAAAGAGUGAAAAUAAGUGCAUGGAUAUUAUAAUCUUGAUGAAGAAUCCUGUUUAUUGGGUCCCAAAAAUUCACAUCGCGCCACACUUGAACAGCUUUAAGACACUCAAUAAGAAUAUGGUCAUAAUUGUUAUUGCUCUGAACACAAUCAAGCGGGCAAGAGACUCCUCUACUAUCUUCAAACUCUUUGGUAUUGUUAUUAAUAUAAAAAAAGCAUUGAUGCCGUGUCAAUAAAUUUUUUAACAACUUUUGGAACAACCUUGUUGUUCUUUUUUUCUAUCGGUAAAAAACAAGAGAGAGAGAGAAGAAAAGAGAUAGUAAGAAUCUAAUGUAAGUAUGAGAGAGAAAUUUAUUCAAAAGUUAUAUUAAAAUGGUUGUACAAAUAUCAUUUCUCUAAAUAAUAUCAUCUUAAUGUACAUUUUGAAAAAAAUUUAUAGACAGAACUACUCAAUCACAAAUGAAAAAAUAUUAGUGGCCAAAAUUACUCCAAAAGAUGUGAGGAGCUAAAGUCGUAUAGCUGCAAUACUUUAGAACUGCAAAAGUUUAAGCUUCAUUAGUGAGGCCAACUUUUAGUCUCCAAAUUACACUAUGUUAUAUUGAUACCUAAUUCUAAAUUCUAAAUCUUUGCCCCCACAAACAUAUUUAAUUUGAAGCUAUAGUUGUAGGGUGAUGGUCGUUCAACUAGCUUUUCUUAUGACAAGUCAAGUGGGUUGAUGGCUUGAUGCUAAUAGUAGACGGGUAAUAAUAACUUGUGUUCUAAAAACACAAUUUAAAGAGCUCAAAAUAAAAUUAAAACAUAAUUUAUAUUAAAAAUAUAAUUUUUGAAAAUUUUAAGACAUUAAAUAUAAAUUUGUAAAAAUAAUAAUUAUAUAUUUAGUUUUUUAACUUAUAUCUCAAAGAUGCAAGUUAGUUUUUCCAUACUAGACUUGGGAACAUUUUUUUUAUUAAUUAAUACUCAUGAUGCAAGUUAGUUUUUUUUUUAUUAAUUUUGAGUACUUAACUUCGUGGAGCAAAGCAUGGAAGCUCUUACUAUUAGAAAGAGGCUCGAUUUUGUUUGGAAACCCUUUCAUUGCGUAGGAUACAGGUAUUGACGAUAGUGUGCUACUCUAAUUCUCUUCUUUACAUCAACCUAUUAAUUGUUUUUAUGUGAAGUAUCAUAGUCUAUCUAUGCAUUGUUAAUUAAAGACAUUAAAGAGCUUCUUUUAGAAAGAAAUGUCAUUGUUUGUCACACCAUUCAAGAAAGAAAUCAAUGUACGGUUUUUUUUUUUUUUUUUUAAAAAAACUUGCAGCUUCAUAAAAUAAUGAUUUGUUAGAACUUAAAACUUUUUAGCUUAAUUGCACUUUUCUCCCGUAUAGUUUGUCAAUUGUUCAAUUUUGCAUCCCAUAAUUUUAAACGAGCGAUUUUGUCCCCUAUAGUUUUUCCCCUUUCUGAUUUUAUAGUCCCCAUGACAUUUAGUGCUGAUAUGUCUGUUUUUUUAUUAAUUAAUAUGUGCCACGUGUGUAAUUUCAUUUUUAAAAAAAUAAAAAAAAUGGAAUUACACACGUGGCACACAUGAAUUGAUAAAAAAACCAGCACUAAAUGUCACGGGGACCAUAAAAUUAGAAAGGGGGAAAACUAUAGGGGGCAAAAUCGCUCGUUUAAAACUAUGGGGUGCAAAAUCGCACAAUUGGCAAACUAUAUGAGGAAAAAGUGCAAUUAAGCCAAAAAAAAUUCAUUAGGGAGUAGUUUUGUUCCAUUUUUCUUUUGUUUUUGUUUGUUUGUUUAGCCUUGUAAACACUUCCAUUGUAGGCUUUUUACUAACAAAAUCUUAUAUUUGAACAUCCCUAAAUUUCAUAAAUCAUCUCUCUCUCUCUCUCAUGUCGUCUAAUCCAUAAUAAUAUAAUAAAAAAAAAGGAAAAAUAUACAAAAGAGGGAACCAAACCAAAACCACGAAAAGAGAAGCAAAACAUAAAAACAAAUUAUGAAAAAAGAUAGAUUGACAAACCAAAGUAGUCUCGAAAAAUCAGCUGAGCGCUUAUUGAAUCCCCCUCCAACCAAAUGCUUAAUCAAGCAGCAAAGAAAAUCAAAUGCCUAACCUCUCAAAAUUUUCAAAAAUUGUAAAUUGGCCCCUUAAAUUAAAUUUACAAAAUUAACUCAAAAAUUUAAAAUUUGUAAAAAUAGCCAAACAAUAUUAACAAUGAAAUUUUUUAUUACUUUAUACAAACAAAGAUAUUGAAAAAAAUUGAACAAACAAAUAUGGGAUGUAUUAACAUCCCCGUGAGCUUAGCUCAGUUGAUAGGGAUAUUGCAUAUGCAGGAGUCGGGUUUCGAACCUCGGACACUCCACUUCUCCACAAUUAAAUUGUGUGAGCUCUAACCACUAGGCUACUUGACAAAAAAAAAAGACAGAAAGUCUCCUUAGCGCAAAGUGUACCAAGAAUACCUCUUGUAAUUACAAACUGUCAACAAAUGUUACACAAAAAGGUUAGUCAAUACCUAAAUACGUCAAGGGUUCGACCACCACCUAUUGAAGCCAUAAACAAAAUUGGCAUUGUUUGCUUUAAGCCACCAUAAAGAAUAAUACUUUACUUUAUCUAAUAGCUGAGAUAUAGAAUUUUCUAUAUUUUUGAAUAAUCGACUAUUACGUUCAUUUUAUAUAAUCCAAACACAGAAGCCAAACAAAUUGUAAAAUAGAGCGCUGAGCUCACAAACCACCUAAAGAAUGAGUAAAUUAAAUGAAAUAAUCUAAAAUACUAUGAGGAGCCGAUCCUAACAAACCAAUUCAGGACCGCACCAAAUGUCAAAGGGAAACUAUACAUACCGCUAGACAAAAUAAGUGUUGAACCGUUUCCACACUUAUUGAAAAAUAAAAAGCCAAUUCAAUUGAAAUUUAAAUUAUCUAGAAUUUUAGAUUAUCUGAAAUGGAGUAAUCUAGUUGAGCCAAAUUGGCAACAAGGUUGAGAUCAUCGAGGUACUAGAGAUAGCCCCACCAUGGACACUAGCUCCUCACCAAAUUUGGAUUAUGAAAAUAACAGCUAUGGUGAUCCUUCUUUGUGUGGUCCUUUAAGCCUAGGCUAUACUUAUUCAUCAUAAAUAUUUGGAAUUCACUUAGGUGAGGCUAGCUAUUGCCAAACUGUUCGUGUAGAUCCAGAUUUUGAUUGAUAUCAUCAAGUGGCAUUUCAAAGACAAGUCAAUGUAAUUUUGACAAAGGAAUCUAUAUGUAGUUUCAAAUGCACCGUUUUUGCUAUUCAUCUCAUAAAAAGGUAGUUUUUACAUUUUUUGAUAAAGUUUUUACUUUUAAAAAGACAACUUUUUAUACUUUUUAAAAUAAAUAAAACUUAUUUUUUACGAGAGAAACAACAAAAACUGCACGCAUAAAUUUGCAUAUAAGUUGCCCGUAAGCUUAGCUUAAUUGACAGGGACAUUACAUAAUUUAUGCACGGGAAGGGAUACCCCACUUCUCCACAUUUAAAAUGUAUGAGCUCUAACCACUAGGCUAAUUGACAAAAAAAAAUGCAUAUAAGUUUAAUCAUAUGACAAAUUCAUGCAAUUAUGACAGAACUUAUUUUUAAUACCAAAUACUCCAAUUUUAACACAAUUCAUACGGGCAAUUUUUAAAAUUGAAAUUUUCAUAAUUGUUAAUGACAAAAUUUGGCUAACAUAAUUUUUUUUUGAUAAAUGUCAAUUGAGGAGGUAUGAGUAUGAGCUAAAUUUUCGUCUUCUAUCCCUUCCAUGGACCUAUGUAUGUUUGCUUGCCUAUUCACCAUUCUUUCCCCCUAGUUACUCGUUGUCUAUCUCACAUUAUCAUUUCUCAUCCCUAACUCUCAACUAAUUGAUAAAUAAUACUUGUACAACCAUUAUCAUAUUUGAACAAUAUUCUCUCAUACUCUUAUUUUAGCUUAACCAAGGUUCUGAGUUUAAAUUCACUCUUAGGCAUGCAACAAUGUUAAAACUUUCAUAGAGAGUUUGCCACUUAUUUGGAUUCCACCAUAAUACUCGAGUGAUUGGUCUCUCCAAUUGCGCGCAAAAGAUACCCGAAUUACACCAGAAAAUAUUCUCAUUGUACUCUCUCUAUUGUUUUUUACCAAUAAAAAAGAGAAAAUUAUUAUCCCAAAAAUUGUUGUAAAAUAGUUGUAAAAAUAUCAUGAUUACAAUUAAUUAUCGUACCUCUCAUUCGUUUCUCAAUUCUUUAUUGUAUAAAAAAUAUUUAAAUCUAUAAAAUAUUUUCAUGAACAUAGUUCAAUCGAUAAAAAUAUUGCAAUAUUUAAAAAUCAAUGUUUAAAUCCUAAAUUCCACAUUAACUCACCUUAAAUGGUGGAUUUCUGACCAUUAAAAAACUUGAAAAAAAUUAAUAUAGUAUACGAAUUGAGUUUACUCGAUCCCUUUAGACAUUCUCUUCUCCAUUGAGUUUUAGUUAAGUUAAAAGUCGACGCAAUCGUGCAAAUUCUAGCUUGUUCAAUCAACAUCAAACGAUCUAAAUUUCAACUUUAAUUUUUUUAAGGAAACUUUAAAAUUAAACAAAAUAAUUUAAAAAUAUUGUAAGAUUUAAACGCUAUCAUCUUGAUCGUAUGGUUCAGAAAUGUUGAAUGCUUCUAAGUGCAUCCACCACCAACCACAUUUAAUCAAAUUCCAAAAAAUAUCUCAUCUUUUUGAACCCUCUGCCUACAUAUUCUCUGCCUUCAAUUAUCCUCUAUCUCUCGCCGCGUAUCUCUACUAAUUAUUAUUAAAACAAAGCAAAACAUGAAUGUGAGAUUUCCUUAACUUUUCAGAGAAUCCCAUUCUUAUUUCAACCACUUUCUCUAUCUGUUUUAAAAUGAGCGUCGCUUUAGUCAAUUGUAUACAGAUUAAGAAAUUAAAUAAAGUAAUCAAAUAUCAUAGCAAUUUCACUACAAUAAUCUUAUUUUAUAAGAAUAAGACAAAUUUAAAGUAGAAAUGUAGAGUGACAUUCAUUUUAAAACAACUUUUUUAUAGAUAAAUUGACACUCAUCUUAAAUCGGAGUAUUAUAUUUUCUUCUUAUUGCUGCUUUUCUCAAACGUUUGAACUUUGAAGUUUAAUUCACGUUUGAAACACACCAUUCAAGAGUUCACACCCCAGAUUUGACUUAUUCCAUAAAAAAAUGAAUUAGUUCAAAAUUACCAAAAACCCUCAAACAAAAAACCUUAAAAUACGCCAAUAAUUCAUUUCGAUUUGCACAGCCCAACAAAUACAAUGAAUCAUGGAACACGCAAAGAAUCAUAAAAAAAUAAAAAACCAAUCAAUAAUAAAUAUAAGUAAAUAAAUAAACAAAAUAUUUAAUAGUAUUAAUUAAUAAUACGGGUUAAUUGUUUAAAUUGGCCCUAUAAAAUAUGCGAUGUUCAAAAAAUGAUCCUAUAAAAUAAAAAGUACAUAUUUUAACUAUAUAAUUUGAGAUUCUUCUUAUUUUUUACCAUAUAAUUAUAAUAUACUUAUGGUCCAAAAUAAAAGUGAUCAAGAGAUUGAGUUUUUUCAUUAUUUUUUCACCAUAAUCUUUAGGAUGUUAAAAUACGGUUUUACACAAAAAAUUAGACAUAUCCCGCCAGGGCAGGAUUUAUUAUCAAUUUUUAUUCCCUAUAGUUAUAAAUUUCUUAAGCAAUUCAUAAUUAAUUAGUAUUUAUUUAUUAUCAAAACUUUGUAGUGAAGGUACCUAUGCUGUUUUAGCCAUGCUUAAAAAAUUAGAUAACAAAUUUUGACGCGUGAGUAUACGCUUACUUGGAGCAAAAUUGCAAUUUCGCACAUUUUGAUUGAAAAAUAAAAGUAAAUGAAAACGUCUUUAAAAUACUAUAGAACUUCGUAGAUUAUUUUUAUGUAUUUAUAUGAAUGUCUAUGCAAACAAUCAGCUCAAAAUUCAUUUGCUAGAUUGAGGUUUUCGUUGUUUUAUUUUGAGUUUUUAUCGCUUUAAAAAUUCAUAAUUAAUUUGUCCUUAGUUGAAAAAUGUUAAUUUAUUGUGUAAAGUUAAAUUUUAACGUUCUAACCAUGCCUAUAAAAAGUCAUCUUUCAAAUACUAAGAACCAUAAAACCGAUUAUAACAAUAAAAAAUAUAAAAGUAUUUCAAGCGUGAAGUUAACUCAUGUUAAGGUUAUUUUAGAAGUUUGGUAUGGGAAUGAGAAAAAAAAAAAUUGUUCCAUUCUUUCCCCUACUUACUCAUUCUCUAUCUCACAUUCUCAUUUUUCUUCCCUACCUCCUAACCAAUUGAAAAAUGAUAAUUGAAUACCCUUUGAACAAUUUUUUCUCAUACUCUAAUUAUAUAUUGAGUCUAUCGACAAAUUUCAGAUAGUCUAGUCAACAUCAAACAAUCUAAAUUUUAACUUAAAAAAUUGAAAGAAAAAAAAACUAAAAAAAUAUUUCAAGAUUUGAACGCUAUGCUUUUUUUUUGUUAAAUAGCUUAGAGGCUCAAAUUCACCUUUUUCAAAGUAAAUAAGUUGAGUUAAGCUCACAUUUAAUAUGGUUCAGAAAUGUUGAAUGGUUCUAAGUGCACCUACCACCAACCACAUUUAAUCAAAUUCCAGAAUAGAUCCUAUCUUUUUCAACCCUCUCGCCGCAUAUCUCUACCAUUAAUUUAUUUACACAUAGCAAAAUAUGUAUGUUAAAUUUCCUUAACUUUGCAAAGAAUCCCAAAAUCAUUUCAACCUCUUUCCUUAACUCUGCUUAUUGCUUUUCUGCUUAUUGCUUUUCUCAAACGUGACUUAAAAGCUUAAUUCACGUUUGAAACGCCAUUCAAGAGUUUUCCCCAAAAUUACCAAAAACCCUCAAACAAAAAACCUCAAAACACGUCAAUGAUUCAUUUCAAUUUUCACAGCCCAGAAAAUACAUUGAAUCAUAAGAACAAGCAAAGAAUCAUGAAAAAUCAAAAAUAAAUAAACAAAUAAACAAAUAAAUAAACAAAAUAUUCAAUAGUAAUAAUAAUUAAUAUUAAGAACCCUUAAGGCUAAAACCGAUUAUAACAAUCAAAACUCCUCAAGAUACAUAAAAUUAAAUCAAAAUUUUUCUUCUCUAGAAUCAAACGGAAUAAAGAAUAACAUCCAAACUACUUCCACCAAAACCACCAGAAGAUUUGCCACCGCCGCCGCAACCGUUGACAGCAGCUCCUCCUUCAGAAUGAGGCGGAGGAUGAUAAAACUUCCUUCCCGUUUGAGGACAGUUGGAAUAAGAUCUUGCAACAAUCCUCAUUCCUUGAUCAACAAUCUCAACCCACUUUCCCAUCUCUGAAAAAAAAAAUUGAAAGAAAAAGAAAAAAAAACCUAUUUUCUCUUCUUUCAAUUGAAAUGAAUCUAUGAAAGAAAAGAAAAUAGAAGAGAAAUGAAAAAAAGGGUUUGUGUUAUAAGAAGAUGAAAGACAUUUGUAAGAGAGAGAAUGCGUUGUGAAAACAGAAGGCGUUGUUUGUGUGUAUUUAUAGUGCGGUAGUGUCAUUUUUGGACUUUUUUUCACGCGACCUUUUCUUCGAAUUUUCAUUUUUUUUUUUGUUUUGUUUCGAUGCUAGUUGUUAGAAAGCGCGUUUGGUUUAACUUUUUUUUUUUUUUUUUUUUUUUUUUUUGUGAAAAGUAGUUGCCAUUUGACUGUUUUGAAGAAAAUUCAGUGUAUGUGAUGUUCUGGAUUCUUCGGUAAUAAAUAUAUAUAUAAAAAAAAUAUGGUGAAAAUUUAUAUUAGUUGUACAAAAAAGAUUGUUAAAUAGCAAAAAAAUUAAAAAUUAGAUGUACUAAUAUUUAUUAAAAAAAGGAGUAAUAUUUAAUGAUUUCUUUUAUAAAAAAAAGGCAUAAUACUUGACGAGAAAAAUUAUAUUGGACUAAAGUUGUAUUUGAUUUGUAAAAUAGUAAAUACUAGAACUUUUACAUGUGCUACCGCCUGAGUCAUAAACAAUAAAAAAGUUAAUAAUAUUGCAAUAUGAUCUAUUAGAUAGAUAAGAAAACAUAUAACAAAAUUCAAUAGUUAAAAAAUGGAAGAACUUAGCUAUAAAAUAAAAUAAUUGAAACAUUUUGAUCCCUUAACUCAAUUAGUAGUCCUCUUAGAGUCCACUUCUUCCCCAUACUACAAGGGAAAGGGAAAAUGUAAAAACUACCAUUAAACCAGCCCAAGCAAGACUUACUAUAUCCAUGUAAAUUUUAAGCUAAUAUUUUGUAACGAUUAAUCUUUUUUCAUUCUAUUUUUUGGAUCUAUUUAUAAGAGAUAUACGAUUACUUUUUGUUCAAUUUAUGAGUCUUGUCAUUAAUACAUUUAAUUUAAUACAAAAUAAAUCUUUUUCCAAAUUUCACAAAGGGCCAAGUCAAAUUUUUACAAUAAAUUUAUUUUCUUAUGCCAAUUAUUAUCCUUCAGUUCUUCAAUAUGUAAUGACAAUGGAACCUCUCUACCGUAAAAGAGGGUACACAUAAGAGAGUUUGCAAUAGUGUCAUUUGAGAUUGCAAAGUCAAUUAGUCAGGCAAACAUAAGAGAGGGUGGGUAUUGAAAACAAAAACCCUUAAGAUGAGUUUCUUCCAUAUGUUGUUUUAGAUAUUCUAAUUUGCCAAAGGCCCCUGCAGCUUGAGGAAUCACCAUGAAGCGUCAACAAAGGAACACGUCAGAACAAAGGAAGGGGGGGUGCAGGGAUUAGUAAUUCACAAAGAAAGAAUAGCCUAGCCAUUUCUCAUGGAGUAUAAGAAGCUUUUAGUAUGUAUAUGAAGCUUUUUCACAUAUAUAACACACAUAUUGUCAUUCAUGUAGUGUAGUUUACUCUUACGUUGAAUACAUACUGUGCUUUCUGACUGCAAUUUUUGUUGCAUUGAAACUUGGGGGAAUAUAAGUUCUUUCUGUAAUGGGGGAUGUUGAGAAUGUGUUACAGUCGUCAAAGAAAAGGGUUGUUGGAAGGAAGCUCACCUGCGACACUCUUAUUGACAAUGAGGAAGAUGACGCUGACCUAGAAGCCGGGACUUUCAAGAAAGCAGUGAGGAGGUUCUUGCAACCAGAGAAUAAUCAAAGUAGCACGUCUCCAACAUAAUAAAUCUGCGCCAAACCCUUUCGCUGGUAUACUCUUGCCUGCUCCUACUGAAUCCACUGCCAAGUCUAGUGAAGCUACUACUUAAUUAAACGCAGCCAGAGAAAGCUAAGAAUGAAGAAACUAAGCAGCCAGAGAGCAAAGCUCCUGGGGUCGAGGACAAAUCUACUUCAAACAACGACGUUGCAGACAGAAAAAAUGCAGGUAAGGAGCUUGCACAGACACAAACACCAAAACAGGACACAUACAUAUUACCACCAGUCAACUAUCACUCCUUACUGGCUCCCGUUUCAUUAUGUUGUCGUUGCCGCAUAAAAGUUUCCAACCCUAAGCUUCAAAAGAUGCUUCUUUUGUUUACAAAUUUGAGAUAUGUCAUUCUGAAGCUGAGACUGUGGAACAUUUAUUUGAUGAACUGUAAUUUGUCCAAACUAGCUAUGUUUGCAUCGCCUUUGGGUUCCCAUGCUCCCUUUAAUAUGGACCUGCAUAGCUAGUUGUUAGAUUGGCUAUCUUGUGCUGUUAAGGAUGACUCGCAGCUGUUCUGCACUAUCCUCUGGAUGCUUUGGUAUGCUAGAAAUCAAGCUGUUUUUAGUGGGGCCACUACAGACCCCGUUAAUUUAGCUCACAGAGCUGUUCAGUUUAUUCAGACGUUCAAUCCUGCUAAUGUCAAGCAAAGGCCUCAACCACCCCGCUAAAGGAGGGACAAUGCUGGCACGUUCCAGGAUGUAUCCCAUCAUAUGUUUGUGGAUGCUGGAUGUUUUUCAAGCGGACAAACAGGAUGGGGGCUGAUUCUGAAAAACAAGACACAGACAGGAAUAGUUACUCAUAGCAAGUGCAAAUUGGAAUCGGUGGAGGUAGACCCUUGCUUGGCCGAAGCACUAGGAGUGAGAUGGGCGCUUCAAGAGGCAAUGAGGUUAGGCAUCCAAAGAUUGAUGCUCUCAUUGUGGUGAAUUGUGUCAACAGAGCUGGUGUAGUAGCAUUAGCAUCCAUUGAACCUGUAAUUGUUGAUUGUUGGAAUUUAAUAGAGCUAGUCCCAUUUGUAAUGGUUACUCAUGUUAGUAGGAACUAGAUGCUGUAGUUUUAACAUGAGAGAACUCAUUCCCAUGUUGACUGACAUUUGGACCAUGUGACCGUGUGAUUCAAGGCUUGAAUUUGUGUUGUGGAAUCAGUAACAAGCAAAUGCAAUACAAAAACUACCGACUAUUGAGUACAGACCAACAAAAUGGGUUUGCUAUCUGUUUCGUUAAAACCUAAAUUAAGUGCUUAUAGAAUAAGUUAUUUCUAUAACAAAAGAUAAAAUAAUGUUAAAUUUUUUUCAUAUAAGAUACAAGUUGUUUUCAUAAGCCAUCUUAGAGAGCUUACUGAAAUAACUCGAAAAUAGCUUAUAUACAUGUCAUAAGUUGUUCCCAUCAGCUCUUUCCAAUAGUCCGACUAAAUGCAUAUGCCAGUAGAUAAUGACCUCAUCCAAACAAGCCCUUGAUCUUUAUAUGGAAACAUAAAAACAACAGUAUAGCACCUUUCUGAUCUUUUAUAAGGUGUUGAGAAACUAGGCAUACAUUUAGAAAGCAGACGAGUGCAAAGAAACGAAAGUCGAAAACGACCUCAUCACACAAUCAAAAAGCUUUUAAUCAGAAAACGGAGUAGAUAACUUUUUGUUUUAAAUAAUGAAGAUGAAAAAAUCUAGUUCAUAUCAUAAAAACUCUAGCUAACUGUUGUAUAUUUCAGUAAACUCACUCUGCGUAUAGAUUUUCACAUAGCAACCAAUCCUUCAGUUUCUCCAAAGGUCUACAGAACAAGGAGGAGUAAUGAAGUAUAACAGUUUUCAAUUUGUUAGAUACUACCUCAAAAAGAAAAAGUUACCUGAAACUCCAAGGGGUACAAUUUCUUGGAAAAAUUUAAGUAUUAUUAUAAACUAUUGUAUUGAACCUUUGUGUCUAAGCAUGUAAGUCAUUUGUUUGAUUGAAUGAACUUGUAGACAGAACAAGACAUAAAUAUGAAUUUGAAUAAGGGAAAAGAAAUUUUUGAUGAUUGGAGUCUUGAUCAAGAAAACUUCGAUAAUUUGUAAUGUAAAUCCAUAUAGUUUAUAAGUAAGACUCUUUCUUACAUAUAUUUUACAUAUAGUUUUGAAAAAUUUGUCAACAUGUGAGACGGAAGUCGAACAAAGAAUCUCUUAGUUGGAGAUAUCUUUGGAUCAAAUUAAAGAGGCUAUAGUGAACUACAUGCGCCAACAAGUUGUGGUGUCUGAAGUCAAUGCUUCUACCCCUAAUAUGGAAAAUCUAUUACAAACCAAUUGGCACAUGCAUAACAACAUUCUCUUUGAAAGAACGUGAUUUCAAAGGGAAUGUUGUUUUGCGACAAUUGGUUUGUAAUAGAUUAUCCACAGUACGGGCAGCGGUGCUGACA
RNAcentral lists this long non-coding RNA (105764 nucleotides) under Medicago truncatula (barrel medic). RNAcentral describes it as "long non-coding RNA (MTRU_LNC000312)". The stretch from base 1826 to 1990 matches the Rfam family "MIR2606 microRNA precursor family". Lineage: Eukaryota; Viridiplantae; Streptophyta; Magnoliopsida; Fabales; Fabaceae. The record is from RNAcentral.